UUUUUUUUUUUUUUUUUGCAUUUUUCAUGGCAGAAAUGUGUUUUUACGAGCACUUGGAGGGCAAAGAGGGACGGAGAACUAGAUACCUCCAGUUUUUUUUUUGGCCUACGAGCACAUUUUUUUAAGCCUCCGGUUGUUGAAACUUGAAAAUUUUGGAGGUAAUGAAUAAUAAUUCGAUUUCAAGUUUGAGGAAAUAUAUAUAUAUAUAUAUAUAUGUGAGGGGGAAAAAAGAACUUAAAAAUUCAAACUUGAUGAAUUAUGGAUUAUAGUACAUGCUAGUGCACAAUCUAUUUCAUUAAAAAUCUUGAAUUGUUUAAAUCAUCUCGGAGAGGGCCUUUUUGUGUUAUUAAAAAAACGAAAAAUUAUCCAAUCUCAGCAAAACCAAACUGACGCCUCCAAAAUUUCUUUUAUGCCUUGUUUUUUCACCCCAUGGAAACAGUAGUACAAUAUAAGAGGAUGAUCAAUAAGAUAGUAAUUAGAAAGCCAAUAAGAUUAUAAGGGUGAUUAGUUAUGCUAAUGAAAAAGUUGAAAUAUGAAAUUAGAGGGAGUCGGGCAGCUGAGGAGGCAUGUGCACCUUAAAGCCAGUCUUUGUCACGUGGGGUACAUUUGACACCACACAGAAGCCCAGCAUGUCUACCUUUGUAUAUUUAUCAUUUAUGACGGGGAUCUUUUUCUAAUUCUUUUCGUUACUUUUUCUCUCCUCUAGUUCAAUUUAUCUUUUCGUCUUCAAUCAUCGGGAAUAACAAUUUCCGUAGCUCAUUAUUUAAAUAGGAAAAUAUUUAUUUUCACUCUAUUUUUUUUUUGUUAUUUGAACUCCAUCAUUUAUUUUAACAUAUAGUCUAAUAAAUAAAAAUUACAUGAUUAAAAUGAUAGUGAAAGUAUGAUUACUAAAAAUGAGAGUGUAAAUAAUAUUUUUCUUUAAAUAUUUGAUUACAUCAUAAAUAUGUUCUUUUAAUUACUUUUUAUUUUUUAAAUUAUUCGUUUAUCUAACAUACAUCACUUCACUAAAAAGUUAUAAUAUAUUAUUCUAAAAACAAAUUCAAAUAAUCUUUAAUCCAAACACAGUCCUUAAUUUCUUCAAAUCAAUCGACAUUAUGUUCAAAUGGGAUGGUACACAAUUGAAAUAUCAUCAAGGUAUAAUAAAGCAAAUACAUUGCUGUAAUACUCUAAUGACCAGAUAUGAGAAUAGUUUCCAUGGCAAAUUUCUAUAAAAUAAUAAUUAUACCCUUCAAUAAUAAAAAGGUUGAAUCCAUUUUCAAAGGGUAAACCUGUCAUUUCAUAACUGGCUGAGGCAUUAGAAAGCCCGCCGUGGAUUGGAAGGUAAUUCUCCUUAAAUUGCUUUCGGGUUGCUCUUUCGGCAAACUUAUGUGUUUGUUCUAAUUAAGAGUGUGUUAUUUCCGUUGCUGGAAAAAAGGAAUGGAAAGUAAUUGCCAUAAUUAAUGAGCAGUGAGAAUGUAAUUAUACUAACUUAUGCAAUUACUUGGUAGUUGGUACUUGAUGUGACAUGAUUUUCAAGAUGAUGAAUAUUUAAUGCAAAUAGCAUGCUUUUAAAGUCCAACUAGUUACUCGCUUUUCUCUGCUCAUCAACAAAAUUUGUGGAAUUUAAUAUCAUCACAUAAAUUAGAACCUCGACAUUUUCUUAGUUAUUUACCAUUAUAGACAAACCUUAAAGGUUGACACGAAUGUAGAACUUCUUGUGCUUUUAAAAAAGGGAGCUUUUUAACUUAUAAAAACUAUAUAUGAUUAAGGGAUUGUAGGCCAUUGUUCCUCACUCAUUUGGAACGAUUUGUUUGAUGUCCGUUACAUUCUAACACUAAAGUCCAUAAGUUUCCCCAUUGUGCAAUGCUAGACGAUGAUUGUAAUCAAGAAAAUAUUUUUAAAGAAAAAAUUCAUGACUGAUCGAAGUCAUGCGAUAAGAGUACAAAGAGAAAAAAGGAAUCUGCUAUUAAAAAUUUAAAAUUACCAUCUACUCUAAAGAGCUAAUUUUUUAACUCUCUGCAGAAAAUUACCCCGUUUGGAUUGCACUUUUCUGAAAUUUUUUUUAAUAGAAAAAUUACUGUAGCGAUUUGAUAUAUGUGAAGGAAAAAAAAAGGUGAUAGAAAAAUGUGUUCACGGAAAACGUAGCAAUUUUUUCUGAGGAAAUUCGCAAUCAAAACGAGACAUUAACAUUUUGCCCAAAAACAAUAACACUAGUCCAAUUUUAUUUAUGCAUUGUAAGAUUGUAGGCCAUUGUUCAUCACUUAUUGGAACGACUUUUCUAAUGUCCAUUACAUUCUAACACUACAGUCCAUAAAGUUUAUAAAAGCUAUAGAUAUCAGACAUUUUAUAACGCUAAACGGAUGACUAUAAUCAAGAAAAAUAAAAAAUUCAUGACUGAUUGAAGUCAUGCGAUAAGAGUACAAAGAGAAAAAGGAAUCCACUAUUAAAAUUUUUAAAUUACCAUCCACUCCAAAAACCCUAAAUUUUUAACUCUCUCCAGAAGAAAUUUAACAUUUUGUAGAAAAAUAUAACACUAGUCCAAUUUUAUUGUGUAGCUUUACUGUACCAAAUAAAAGAACUCCCAAACUAAAAAUGGGAUUGAGGUCCAUUUUUGGGAGGACGAGGGCGAGGGUGUGGUGUUUGGAUUGUAUUUUCCGUCAUUUUUCAUGGAAAAAUUACUGUAGCGAUUUGAUAUAUGUGAGGGAAAAAGGUGAUAGGGAAAUGUGAUCACGGAAAACGAUAAUAUUUUCCGACGAAAACCUUCAAUCCAAGCAAGGCCAGUUUGUCAAACGAAGAAGAUGAUUAAUUAGCCAUGGAAGAAAAGGGAAGAAAAUUGUCACGUUCAUAGUAGAUUGAGUGAUCUUCGUUCGCGGACGCAUGGAUGGCAAGUGUCGUAAUAAAUAAGAAACCCGUGACCUGCUGUUUACCCGCAAAGUCCUCUACCCUCCUCAUUUUUCGUUUUUAUUUUAAAUUUGUUUCUUUCAUUUUAUAACGGUCAAAAAUUUAUAUCCAAACUGGCCACUAACGCCGUCAUUGUCAUCCUUCAAAUCUUCUUCGACCUCCGCGGCUCCGACUUGAAACCAUAAAAAAAUUACUCAACCAAAUUAAUAGAAAGUGGGUAAGAAAUUUCGAACGCUCCGUAACGGCCAUAUUUUGAGCUUCGUUCCAAAUUCGGUCUCUCUCUCUCUCUUCCUGUACCUCUCGCUGUCUCCCACACACACUCACACACUCAGCUCUCAGCUCGCUCUCUCUCUCACCAUAUAUUUUAUUUAUUUAUUUAUUUAACCUUAAGAUUCAGCAAAUCCAUAAAAACUUCACUCCCACUCUAUCUAUCUAUCAUCGCUCUCAGCAUAAUAUUGACUGUCCUUCUACUUUCUCUCUCUAAAACUCGCACACAAUUGCCAUCGUGCUGCUCCCGUAUACGAGAUAUAGAGAUACGUAGAUACAUAUACUAGAUUAUAGUGGUAACAUUUAUCCGGCAAUUGAAGCUGUCAGCGGCCGGCAUUUGGCUUCGUGGUAAGUUUUAGACGAUGCAGCAUUAUCCUCGUACAUACAAAUAUAUAUAUAUAUAUACACACACACACACAUCCGCGAGAAUCGCAUAAAUAUUCUCGUGUAUAAUUAGCUUGAUUCCUCUGUUUUUAUCGCUUGUUUUAAUUUUUUUUGACUGUUUUUUGGCCAUCCAUUGGAUAUCUGAUCUUUGAAUUUGCGGUUGUCAUUUCUUAUGGUCAUUUCUUCUUCUAUUUUUUUUUCCUCUUUGAGCAAUACUUCGUCGUUUUUUAUUGUUGUAUUUUUUGAGAAAUGCGAGAUUUUGUGCGCUGGAUUUGAAUUUGAGUUGACCCGGCUGGUUGAUUUGAAGCUUACUGGUGGUUUUGAUGAGUUGUUAAUACAGAGAUUGUCAAUACACAAAAGGAAAGAAGAUCUCGUUGGUGAUUUGAAGAGCGAAGUUCAGUAACAAUGGAAUCACAACAACAUAGAAGAGGAGGAGCCGGCGGAGGCAAUGGCUUCGCAUCGGUUUCACCAUCCCAAACGCCGAAGUCGAGUGAUAAGGCGGCGAGAGAUCUACGAUCGGGGGAGGGGAGUAUGAGUGGGAAGCAUGAUAAGGAUAAAGGCGUCAAUGUACAGGUCAUUGUCCGGUGCAGGUGAGUUUUGCUGAAUUGAUCACAGGCAUUCUCUUGGGGGUGUUUAAUCUAAGUCAAUUGUUAUACAAAGAUUUGAUUGUGAAUUUUUUGCAGGCCGCUGAGUGAUGAAGAGACGAGAUUGCACACGCCGGUCGUGAUAUCUUGCAAUGAGAACAGAAGAGAAGUGUGUGCUGUCCAGAACAUAGCUAAUAAGCAAAUUGAUAGAACGUUUGCUUUUGAUAAGGUUUGGCUUUUCUCAGACCUGAUGAUUGAUACUUAUUCUGUUAGCACAGAAAUGAAGAAUUAUCAGCAGCUGAAAACAAAUGAAAAAUGAAAAAAAAAGUAAAGAAAAGAUAGAGACGUGAUCAAUUGUAUCUUAGAAUAGAGAAUAGAGAGUGAGCUUACACCGAAAUUAAAUCAAUAUAGAGCUGGAAGAACUAUUCAUUUCCUUGGAAUUUCCGGUAUUAUUGCAUUUUUUAUAUGAGGCAAAAAAUAUGAUUUGGUAUAAUGUUGUUCAGGUCUUUGGCCCGACAUCCCAGCAAAAGGACUUGUAUGAUCAGGCUGUCUGGCCUAUUGUCUUCGAAGUUUUAGAGGGCUAUAACUGCACGAUUUUUGCCUAUGGGCAGACUGGAACAGGGAAAACUUAUACGAUGGAGGGAGGAGGAAGGAAAAAGGUACGUCUUUCUUUCUUUUUUGGCCUACGGAACUUGUAUGUAUGCUUUAGUAUGUUAAUGCAGCUUCCCUUUCUUAUUCUUGUAAUAAAUGGUUGAUUUUUCACCCCUUUAGAAUGGGGAAUUUCCUAGUGAUGCAGGUGUAAUUCCAAGAGCUGUCAAGCAAAUAUUUGACAUUUUAGAAACUCAGCAUGCUGAGUACAAUAUGAAGGUGACUUUUUUAGAGCUCUACAAUGAAGAGAUAACAGAUCUCUUGGCUCCUGAGGAAGCCCCAAAAUUCUUGGAUGAUAAAUCAAAGAAACCAAUAGCACUUAUGGAGGACGGUAAAGGUGGAGUUUUCGUGAGAGGCUUGGAGGAGGAAAUUGUUUGUACUGCAAAUGAGAUUUAUAAGAUAUUAGAGAAAGGUUCUGCUAAAAGGCGUACAGCUGAAACCCUUCUCAACAAACAGAGCAGCCGUUCUCACUCGAUAUUUUCUAUAACUAUUCACAUAAAGGAAUGCACACCUGAAGGGGAGGAAAUGAUUAAAUGCGGGAAACUGAAUCUUGUUGACUUGGCUGGUUCUGAGAAUAUCUCCCGUUCUGGUGCUAGAGAGGUGAGAGACAUGUCGCAAAUUGUAUCAAUGCUUAAUUUUUUCUGCAUACGUCUGUGUUCAUACAUUUACAUGUGAAGGAUAAUAUGUUUGGCUGGAACUUGAUCUAAAUGUCACCAGAUAGUGCUUUCACAAUUUUCGUAUGGGGAGAAAACUUGAAGGCGACAUUACAUGUUCUGAAUUGGCUUGAUAACCCUUAAUUCCGCAGGGAAGAGCAAGGGAAGCGGGUGAAAUCAACAAAAGUUUGCUUACUCUUGGUCGGGUGAUAAAUGCUUUGGUGGAACACUCUGGUCAUAUACCAUACAGGUACUGUUCCCAUUUAGUUAACCAGUCAAAGAGAUUUGCAUGGGUAUGGGGAGUUAAUGGUCAACCAACUAUAUCACUAUGGGUGUCAGGGAUAGCAAACUAACAAGAUUACUGAGAGAUUCUUUGGGAGGAAAAACAAAGACAUGUGUGAUUGCCACUGUAUCACCCUCCAUUCACUGCCUGGAAGAGACGCUCAACACUUUAGAUUACGCUCAUAGAGCCAAAAACAUAAAGAACAAACCAGAGGUCAGUCUUCUGUUAACCAUUCUUUCGUCAUUACAUGUAGUGAUUUCCUUCUAUGUUUCUCCUAUUGUGUUCCUUCAUAGGAUUUGCGCUGUCUUCAUUUAUAUCCUGCUAAAAAAUGUUGGUUUGCUUGCGGUUUCAGAUUAAUCAGAAGAUGAUGAAAUCUGCAAUGAUUAAAGAUCUAUACUCUGAAAUUGACAGACUGAAGCAAGGUUUGUUGAUUGCUCUAUGUCUGUUCAUGCAAGUGCGUUGUGUACACUUCCAUAAAUACAGAUAUCUUUUGGUUUACAGACUGGUUAAGCACAUUAGAUAAUUUUGCACAUGAUGUGACAAUAUUACAUUGAAUCUAUUUAACAAUCUUAUGUUCAUCAGAGGUGUAUGCUGCUAGAGAAAAGAACGGGAUUUAUAUACCAAAAGAUCGUUAUCUGCAGGAUGAAGCCGAGAAAAAGGUCCCAAUCUGGUCAUUUGGUCUAAUGAUGACAUGUAUUACCUGAAAAUUUCCCCUGAAAAUUAGUAAUUUUGUAUCUAAUUUCAGGCAAUGGCUGAGAAGAUAGAACGCAUGGAGCUUGAUGUGGAAUCCAGGGACAAGGUAUGCUUGAGAAAUGAAUCUUUAAGCUUGUCUUUUCUUGUUGCCACUUGCAACACUUGAUUGAUUACACUUUAUGCUUUUUGAGCAGCAAUUUGUGGAGCUUCAGGAACUUUACAAAUCUCAACAGCUAUUGACAGCAGAGUUAAGCGACAAACUUGACAAAACUGAGGUAAAAUUAAUUUAUUUUGUUGCACUCAUAAUAGUUCGUCGUGCUUUCCCCUCUCUUUUGCUCAUGAUGUCACAACUAUAUUUUUGUUGUGCUCCAGAAAAUGCUGCAGGAAACUGAGCAUGCUUUGGCUGAUCUGGAGGAACGGUUUAGACAAGCUAAUGCCACAAUAAAAGAAAAGGAGUAUCUGAUAGCCAAUCUUCUGAAGUCUGGUGAGGCCAAUGUUCCACCACAGUUUAAAGUUGUUCACAUAUAGUCCUAAAUGCUAAUGUUGCUGCAUAAAUAAUGCAUCUAUAAUUAUUUUCCUGUUACUUAGGCUACCAAGUCAUUCUAAUAACUUUUUUCAAUUUAUGAUUUUUUGUUGCAUCUAAUCUGCUAGCCUGCAAUGCUUUCCUGUCUCCUAAGCAAUUUUCCUUCUUAUUUGACUCUAAUAUUCAGUAAUAUCUAGGUCAGAUCUGUGAUGUUAUAUACAUGGGCCAUUUCAUAAUUUUUGCUUGUGUAACUUGCCUUGGUAAAUGGGAAACAGAAAGGAGUGAUAAAGGCCCACAACGAGCUGAAUAUUUUUUUUGAUAGACAUAAUUAAGUUUUUCCAGUUUGACUGGUGAUAUGAGGUCCCUUUACUUUCAAUAUUUUAGUCCGUUUACUUAUGCAACUUGACUUUGGUUAAAUGGGAAAUGCAAAAGAGAGACAGAGGCCCACAAUGAGCUGAAUUUUUUUUGCUAGACACAAUUAAGUUUUUGAAUUUCUCUGCUUGCUUUUUCUCACCUUAUGUCCUAAUAACAACUAUCCAUCAUGUAAAAAAAAUCUUUCUAUAAUUCAUCAAGACAUUAUUAGAACAGUUUUCUGACAUCAUGUGGUCUUCUUCUACCAGAGAAAGCACUUAUGGAGCGGGCGUUUGAUCUUCGAACAGAACUGGAGAAUGCUGCAUCAGAUGUCUCCAAUUUGUUUGCUAAGAUUGGUUUGUAUGCUAAGCUUAGUGAUCUAAACAGAAUAGGGAUGUAUUAUGCCUAAAACCAUGCAGUUUAAACCAUGUAUAAUUGCUUAUCCAGAGCACAAGGACAAAAUAGAAGAUGGAAACAGAAUUCUUGUCCAGAAGUUCCAAUCACAGCUAACGCAACAGCUUGACAUCUUGCAUAAAACUGUGGCAGCUUCAGCCACACAACAAGAGCAACAAUUAAAGGAUAUGGAAGAAGAUAUGCAGUCCUUUGUAUCCACAAAGACAGAGGUAUUGUAUACAUGAAAUAGCAUAAGCUUGUAUCUGCACAGAUUGUUUGUCAAUGCAUUCACGUCUCUCUUGUGUGCUAGGCUACUGAAGAGCUUCGAAGCCGCCUCGAGAAGUUGAAAACCAUGUAUGGUUCUGGUAUAGAAUCUCUUGACAGUUUAGCUGGGGAACUUGAUGGGAAUUCACAGUCAACUUUUGGACAUCUAAAUUCUCAGGUCUCUGAGCAUUCAUCCUCUCUGACAAAGGUGAGUAUCUCUUGACAUUGAAUGGCUACAAUCAUGAUGUGCCUCAGUAUCUUUUGCUUGAUCACUGUUCAAAAAAUGCAGCUUUUCAAUAGCAUUGCUUCAGAGGCUGAUAAACUGCUGAAUGAUCUUCAAAAUAGUCUUCACGGUCAGGAGAGCAAACUAAUUGCAUUUGCACAGCAGCAACGUGAGGUUGGCAUUUGCUUAAGAAACUAAAGAAACAUGCUUGGCUUGAUAACUUUCCAUUCUCUGAUCUAAUUUGAGAGAACCAGCUAAUGUUACUCACAUUGACAUCUUCUGCAGGCUCAUCAAAGAGCUGUCACGACAACAAGAUCAAUUGCUCAAAUAACUGUCAACUUUUUCAAAACUUUGGAUGCGCAUGUUUCACAAUUAGGCCAAAUUGUAGAAGAAUCACAGACAGUCAAUGAUAAACAAUUAUCUGAUCUAGAAAGGAAGUUUGAGGUGAUUUGACCUUUUUCCCACUUGAACCUAGUUUCUGCUCUAAGUUGUGGCCUUGCUUUAAGUUUGAUUCUGUUUUGGUUUCUUCCUUCAAUGUAGGAGUGUGCUGCCAAUGAAGAAAGGCAGCUCUUAGAAAAAGUGGCAGAGCUGCUUGCUAGUUCAAAUGUCAGGAAGAAACAACUGGUAUGAGCUCAUAGACUAACACAUCAGAAGGCAAUCUGUUCUUGUUCUGCUUCACUAAAUUAUGAUUAUGCAGAUACAUAAACAAUCUUUACCUGCCUAUGGAAGUAGAAGAAUAAAAGUUUUUUCUUUUGGACUUUUUUCUGAAACUUUGAAUCCUCUAUUGUGAAAGUAAGAGUUUCACAAACUGUUACAACUGAAUCAUCAAUACGGGAAAAGUAGUCAAAUUAGAUGAACCAAUACUAGUGAUGUUGAACAACAUCAAAAUUCUAGUGCAGUUUGGUAGGUUUAAGAACAAGUGAUGUCAUUGCUCUUCUGGUAGCACAUUCAUUUUCAUUUGUUACUUCUAUUCUCUGGCCAAAUAUUUGGACUUUUCCCUAUAUGCUUAUGGCUCUUGCCAAAUUUUUGAGUUGCUCAUCCAAAAGAGUAUGAUAAUUCCAUUCUCCAUCAAACCUCUAGCUAGGGCAUGUCGAAUUGACCACUUCUAUUCUCUGGAUCACAGGUGGUGAUGUAAAGUGUAAAUUGCGGGUGGUGGCUCUGAAAUAGUGUUUUUCAUUUCGUUGAUUCUGUGGUACAACUUUCAAAUCCUUAUAGAGUUUCAUUUCCUAUGUACUAGGUGCAAACAGCAGUUAAUGGCCUCCGCCAGAGUGCAGCCACUAGAACUAAUCGAUUACAACAGGAGAUGUCGACAAUGCAAGUUGCAACUGCAUCUGUUGAAGCAGAAUGGACAAAUUACAUGGAGCAGGCUGAAUCCCAGUAUAUUGAGGAUAAUGGUGCUGUGGAAAGUGGGAAAAAGGAAAUGGAAGUGGUUCUUCAGAACUGGUAUCGGUUGCUGCCUAUGUUUCUUUUAUGCAUUAUCAACUUGCUAUGGCUGUUGAAGUCUGAAUUCUCCCCUAAGUGUCUCUCGUGAAAUUAAUUUACUUUUGCAGCUUGCAAAAGGCAAAAUUGGGUGCACAACAGUGGAGUGAUGCCCAAGAAUCCUUGUUCAAUUUAGAGAAGAGGAACGUGGAUUCUGCCGAUAGCAUAGUGAGGUUAAUACCCAACAAGGUGCUUCUCUAGUUUUUGAAAAUGAUUAUGAAUACUCACUUCAAGUAACCUUUUGUAUUUCCCAUAGGCGAGGAAUGGAUGCCAAUCAAUCCUUACGUGCACGCUUUUCUUCAGCCGUGUCAUCCGCCCUUGAAGAUGCUGAUGUCGCAAGCAGGAAUCUCCUUUCUUCUAUUGACCGUAAGUCAUCCCAUGAAUUACAUAUGACAAUCGAAACUAUUUAAGCAUUGGUAUAUAAUCUUGUUUUCCAAAAGGGCUCAUAAUUUUACUGAACAAAUCCUUGCAGAUUCACUGCAACUUGACAACGACGCAUGUGGUAAUCUUGAUUCACUGAUUGUUCCUUGCUGCGGUGAGCUGAGGGAACUGAAGUGUGGACAUCACCACAAAAUUGCGGAAAUCACAGAAAAUGCAGGAAAAUGUCUUCUAGAAGAAUACUUGGUAAGAAAAUUGAAAUUUGUCAGAUAUAAGCUAUAGAAAUAUUGCAGAAACAGUCUUAUGAAAAUAUACCUCAUCUUCACAGCACUCAAGUGUUUCACAAUGGUUGGUUUAUUUUUAAUUAUCAUAGGUCGAUCAACCAUCCAGCGCUGCUACGCCAAGAAGGAGGGCGUACAAUCUUCCAAGUAUUGCUUCCAUUGAGGAACUCAAAACCCCUGCUUUUGAAGAAUUAUUGAAUUCCUUUUGGGAUGCAAAAACAUCAAAGCAAGCAAAUGGAGAUGUAAAGCAGCAUAUAGUUGAAGUUGCUUCUCCCUUGAAAGAUUCUAGAGUUCCCCUCACUGCUAUUAAUUAAUAGAAGAGGGACUUAGAUUCUUCUAUAGGUAGCGUAGUAGACAAUAUAGCAGCAGUAAGUAACUGUACAGGACAUAGCUUCAGUAUGUAGAGUUAGUUACCAACUUAUUUGUUGAUUGUUUUAUCAAUUCGUUUCUAUGGCGGCGGUUUAUAGUCCGCUAGCAGCAGAUUACCUCAUAUCUUGUUGGUAUUCUUCAAUUUAUAUUUUACUUUAGGGUCAGGGAUUGGCGAUGGAGUUUCAGUCCUUGAAAUUCCUUGAGCAAGGAUAAUAGAGACGAGUGAUUUUGCAUGUUUUGGAUAAUUGAAUGAGGCUCUUCUAGCCCCUCCUCUCUGUAAGAUGCAUUAUACUAUCACAGUGAGCUCUCUUGAUGAUUGAUCAUAAAUUAUCGUCAUAUCAUAUGCUUCAUGCUAUAUUAAAUAAUAUAUUAUCGUCAUAUCAUUUUCAAUUGAACAUUUUCAUAUAGUAUCUGUAUCAACGUUGAACAUUUUCAAUUUACUUUUUUUCGUUAUGAUUAUUAUUUUUGAGUUUACAGGUACACUUUUCCUUGAAAGAAAUGUCCUUAAUUUUCUUGAGGAAUAAUAUUUUGAGUUGGAAGGAAAUUGUCUGAAAAAGGGUUGUACAAAAUUCCGGUGCAAUGCUUAGGAAACUCUUCUUCUUUUUUUUUUUUUUUUUACUCAAACAAUCUUAAACUAAUGAAAGUAAAGAAUAGAAAAAGGAAAUUUCUUAUUUAUCAUGAAUGGAAGGAAAUUUCGUACCCUACAAAUUAGAAAAGAAAUUUUGUUCAUAAGCAAAAGGUGUACUUUAUUCAAGCUAAAAAUUGUUCUGUGGAUAAUGCCUAUUUAUGGUGAAGGAAAUUUACACCACUUUUGGUACUAUUUACUACUGCCUUGCAAUUUGUCUUUCCCUUUUUACUCAUCACUUGUGUUUCUUUUUGUUUUUCCCUUUUUGUGUUUCUUUUUUUUUUUAAUUGAUAAUGAGGUGAAAAAAAAAAUUCUACCUUUUUAAUGAAAAGAUUAACACCACUUUUGCUACUGCCUUGCAAUUUGUCUUUCCCAUUUUCCCUCAUCAACUGUAUUUUGUUUCCGUUUCUUUUUUUUUUAUUUUUAAAUUGAUGAUAAGGAGGGGAAAUAAAGGUAAAACGAAGUUAUUUUCUACCGUAACCUCAUGAAUUUUCUUUCUUUAUUUAUUUUUUUUGUACAGCCUUGAAUUUGUUUCCGUUUUUCCUCUUCACUUUGUUUUACUUCUUUUUUCACGUUUUUGUUGUAUCUCGCACCGCCAUUUAACUGCGGUUGCAUCUCUAGUCUUUCGUAGUUUUGUUGCAUCUUUGGAUCUAAAUUGAACACGUUCGGUGAUCAAAGGGUCGCUGCUUUGUUUGACUGCCGGGCAAAAUCUUCUCCAAAAACCCCAUGCAGCUAACUACUCUAAAGAGUUGCCAGGCAUGCAACAACAGUUGUUUGGAGUUAGACAAACUUUUUAAGGAGAUGACAUAAUAUUAUUAUCAAAGUACUAAACUUUUUAAAUCUGUAAAGCAGUAACUUCCCUACUUCUCAAAACUGAAAAACCAAAAGAAGGGGAAAAAGAAAAAAAUUCGGUGUGCUGUGCUCCCUCGAGGCCUUGCUAGACUAAAAAUCAGAUUCUACAGGUGAUAAUGGAGAAAUGCACUCUACAUCUGUAAGGGAAAAAAAAAAAUCAUGUGAUUAAGAUCAGAAGGCAUAACAAAAUAAGGAACCCAUAACAAUACGGGCACUUGGAAGAUACAGGAUCUCUCAGCUAAUUCUAUCUAUGUACAAGAAGCCAUAAUCCACAGACGCAGAGCUUCAACUGAUAGUGAUCGGAGAAAUGAAAGGCUAACUAAGUCUGACCUGAUAGUAUGGAAAAGAAAAGGGAAGAAAAAGGAAAGAACUAGGACAGAGCACAAGGUGAAUUACCUAUGGUAAUUGUUCUUCGGCUUCAUCAAGAUUACUAUUCUACGUUUUGUAACCUAAAAUGAAUUUACAUUUGAAUUAUCUCACUUCAGCAUACGGCUUGAAGGGCUUCAACUCAAUCCCAUGACAACAACCCUGUGUAGGCGAGCUUUAGCCUGCAUGUUUAUAGUAAUUCACAUUAUCAAAGGAUCCAAAUGAAUGGUUAAAGAACUAGCACCUACUUCUAAGAAUCAGGAUGUGAAUUUAGCAGCUAAUGGAAAUUAGUAAUUUGAGAGAGAACAAUCUUUAUAAACAACUUAUGGCAUAAUAAACCAAGAAAUUGCCUCUUUUGAGCAGUUACUCAUCAAAGCACCUUAUCCUAUCAGCCCAAACCUUUACUGGUUAUCACAAUUUUAAAAUGAAUUGCACGAAUGAACUUUCCAAGUUACCUUAUUGUAACUCAGAAUAAGACUGAGCUCAACAGUUAAGCUGGUGGCUCUCGGCCGAAUAUUUCUUCAUCAAAAUCUUCAUUAGUAGAAUUCUCCUGACAUAGCAAAUUGUUCUCUUGCAAAGGAUUCAGGCCAAGAGAGUCCCAAACCAGUGGAGUAGAACUGCUGUGGUCAGCACCUUGUUCAGUUCCGUGACAAGUCUCAACAUUCUCCUCCACAUUAUCCCUAGCAUCAUAGUAUGUAAUCUCUGGCUUUUUAUCAUCAUCCGUGCAUGACGGUUCAAUAUUUAGAUCAGAGCUUAAAUCAAAACCACUUUGUUCUCCCGGCCCAUGAAAAGCAACAGUCACAGACCCUUGCUCUGAUGGCUCAUUUGCUUCUUUUCUUUGCCUCUUCCAUUUCUUAGUCGAUGAUGUCCCGUCAUCCUCAAAAUCCUCUUCUUCUCUUUCUCUGUGCAAAUACACCCACAGUUUCCUCUCUCCAUCAAACUGCACACAAGGAUCACGCUCGUAAUGUAGCCGGUCCAGUGCUCCACUAACCACUUGAUUAACUUGAGCAUCAGAAACAUCUUCCACAAUAUACUGUGAAUCUCUGAUCAGCGUGCAAACAUCUGCCCUUGUCCCAAUGCUUCCUGGCAAUCUAGCAGCUGCAUCUCUUACAAGACAAAGAAUAGUAACAUGGGGAGGACGAUCACGUUUUAGCAUAAAAUGAUCCCUGGCCUUCGAUGUUGGCUUGCCACCACAUCUUCUCAAGGGGGCAACGAUUGAUUUUUUACCAUCAAUAGCUGUAUAAGCAAAGGCUCUGUCUGGAAUUGAAUACCUAAGUACCUCCUCUUUACGGAAAUAAGAUCUUACUUCUUCACAACUUGGGCUGAUAGUGGUGAGACUCUUCUGAGCUCUCAGGUCCUUGAACCGUUCUUUCUCAUCUAAAUUGAACUGCAUCAGUGUCAAUGGUGGGGCUGGUAAACUUCCUAUUUGUUGGAGUGUCUCCUGACCAUUUUUCAGCCAAUUAGCAAAAGAAUCGACUAACUUGACAAGCAUCUUGUGAGGAAGACCCCAGGCAUCUGGAGAUGUCACCUCCUCGACAGCCUCAUUAUCAGAUGGACUGUGAUUCACAGGACCAAUCCAGGACCAACUUUUGUUUGUCUUUUCAUAGACAACAAGUGAUUUCCAACCUUUAGCUCCCAAAGGUGCUGUUUUGGAUGAAAAUAUUUUCAGAACACCUCGGACCAAAUCCUGAAGUGGUUCUUGAGUUUCAAGAAUACAGGGAUCUCCAGGAUUGGAUCUAACACGGUUAACAAUUUCCUGAACAGUGAGAGAAGGAACGUUCAGUUGUGAAGAAGCUGCAAGCUUACUGACAUCCAAGUCUGCCUGUGGAUGAUUUCCGUUGGAGCUAUCCUGCCUUGUAUCUUGGUCCUCGUUGACAAUUGCUGCACCCUCAGUCUGAUCAAGAUGCUUUCCAACCUCUAAAGAGUCCUCUGGAAUCUGAGUAAUCAUUGCCAUGCGAACUGCUGAAAGAAGAUGAAUGACUGAGAAUGAGAAGCCGGUAUGAACCGUGGGUGUAAUUGGAGUGAAAUGCUUUUUCUGCGGUUUAAUAUCUGGCUCGACAUCUUCUACUUCCAUCUCUGUAUUAGGUACUUCAUUGAUUCCCUUUUCCAACAUAACAGUGUCAUCCCCCAAUUUCUUUUUCCCCCGCUUCUUUGAGGAAUCAGCAUCAUCCAUUUGCAAUUGACUAUCAUAGGGGAAAUAACUUGUAUUUUCUCUCUCAUCCAGGUAAGUCACAUCAUCCUUCACUUUCCGUUUCUUAGCAUUAGAGUUGCAUCCUAUCAAUUGAAUAUCAGAUUUUUCAUGAUGAUUACCAGCAUAUGUUUCGUUCACUUGAGCUUUUUUCCCCAACCUGGCAGAGACCUUGGCAUGCCCUGCCAAUGACUUAAUCAGAAGGGAAUCAUCAUCCUCCUCAAGAUCAUUAUCUUGCAGAAAAUUUGACUGGGGAACGCCAUAGUCCCUGUACAAUUCUCCUUUCCUCCUCCUCUCCAAAUGUGGUGACUUAAAGAUGGGAAUGUGCAAUCUUUCGCUCUGAUCUUCUUGGAUAUGGUCAUUCCUUCCCAACUUGUACAUUUGCUGCCAAUCAUCCUCACCAGUUAGUCGACCAGAUCCAGAGAAAUAAUUCCUGCCCAAAUCUCUAGUAUAAGCAUUAACUUGACCAAUAUCAUGCAUCUUGCCUUUCUGCUCAGCUCUCCAGUUGUGGUUCCCAUUUUUAAUCAUCCGUAGAUGUUCACCAGAAUCAGACAUCUGUCUUGUGGAGUGGGACGAUCCAUCAAGAGUCCAGAUCCCAUCUUUUGCAUCCUUCUUAAAAAGUUUUGACUUCUUCGAAUUUCGGCCCACUUUUAGAUCAGAAAUACCACUAGGGUAAGCCCACUUGCUCCUCAUCAGGGGAUUAUCAUCCUCAUCUUCAUCAAUCUGCUCAGAUGAAUCAGAUUCAGUUUCAUCCUUUUUAGCAAAAUCCCUGACACCUUUAAACUUUGCCAUACCUCGCCCACCAUUUUGCAUAGAACUUGAUCUGACUCUUUCCUGCAAUGGCUUUGGCUGAUACUCGGAAUCAAUAAAUCGAUUAUCAACUCCAAGCUCAGGAGAGUCCCUACCCAUUUUCCACUUCUUGCUUUUUCCAUUCCAAUCUCCAUACUUGUAUGAUUGCUCAGCAGAGAAAGGUCCUCCCUGUCCUGUACCAAGCCAAAAGGGUUCCUUCCCAUCUAACAUUUCCGUGUGACUUCCUUUCAGUAACAAAUUUGGUAUUCGACCCUUUCCAUAUAUCAUCUGAUCUUCAGAACCAUGAUGCGGAAAAUUUCCAACAUUCUUGACCUUUUUCCCAAGAUCAUAGGGAAUCCUAGCAUUAAGUGGCUUUGAAGUUAAAACCUUGAUGUCUGAUAAUUGAUUGACAGUGUUGUUCCUGCCAUACAAAUGCAAAUCAUUCUUAGGUAAUCCCAUAAAAUUGUCAGUAUACUCUUCAACUCUUAAAGGUUCAUCAUGUCUUUUCCCCAUUUUGAAAGUCCCUCCUUUGCUUGAUACCCCAGCCCGAGAGAAAUUCUGAUCUCUGUGCACAGACACUUCAUACAUUGAUUCAUUUUCAUAAUCAUCAGCUUCCAUUUGAUCCCUACUGUGGAAUGCUGCCCCAGGAUCAAACCCUGCCACUCGAUAAUGGUGAGAAAGAGGCAGAGCUGGACCAUAAGGCCCAGAUUUUAGAUCCAUCCCGUGGUGGGCCAAAGAAAAGCCACCUGGUAGUUCUUUUGCCAUUGCAGAUUUAGAUCCCCCUAACUUGAGAUUUCCUUUUUUAUUCUGCUUCCCGGCCUUUGGUGGUUCUAAAGCCAGUUGCCUGCCAUGAGAUGGGAAAUCCGAAGCCGAAGCAAUGCCAUAUCCAGACUGUCGGGCAAGUUUCUGCCCAAGCUUUCGAUCCUUGGCCAGUUUGCCCCAUGUACCAUCUCCUGACUCCUCCAUCUCAGACGAGUCACUUUUUAAUUCCUCCAUCUUGUCAUACAUCAAGCUAUUUUGGCUCUUCAUUAUGUUCAGAACUUGAAGCUUUUCCUCAAUGCUAUACCCUUUGCAAUUCAACCAAGCGUCUUUCAUUUGACAAAGAUUGCUCACCAUUGUAUUCUGAUGCUUCCGCAAGAGAUGGUAAUGCUGCCUUCUCUGAAAGAAAUUCAAACCCUGCCGAUACAAAGCCACCCUCGGCUCACACAACCCUCCCUUCAACAUGUCAAACAACUUAUCAAUAGGACUUCCAAAAUGCAAAUUACACCCAGUAAGGAGCUCCAUUAAAGUCCGCAUAAAAGUCUCUUGGUCCAUGUCAGGUAAAUACUGAGUAAGACUGUAUCUUUCUUCCUCACUCAAGACCUCAUUCCACACAUCCAUAUUCAACACAUCAUGCAGCCCGGAAAGAUCAUACAACUCAACUGGAAUGCUGCAGGUUUGAUCACCAACCUGGCAAAACUCCUCCCCAGCUUCACCAAAUUCAAGUAAAUCAAUGUCAUCCGAGCCAGCCCCAGAAUCACAGUCAUCAAAAUCAUCAUCUUCAUCAUCAUCAUCAGAAUCAACAGCACUCAAGUUUCGCCUCUGAAACUCCUCAUCCUCACUUGACAACAUAGUGUUAGUAUCUCUACUAUGUGGCGAAAACUCUGAAUCAAAUCUCGAAACCUUAAAGUUAUUCUUCUCAAUCGCCAUUCAAUACCACCAACAUACACAUAAGCCCCUACCAAAUUUAAAAAAAUACAAAACUCAAAAAAUUAGAACUUUCUCAACUAAACCAUCACCCAGCUACAAAAAAUGCAUAGAAACAUUAAUUUCCCCAAAAAAAAAAAUUUAAAACCGAAAAAAUAAAAGCAACCCACAUUCUAAUUCACAAAACCCGUGUCAAGAAACCCAAAAACAAUCCAAAUACUAAAACAUAUUCCAAACCAAUAAAAGAAAAUUCCAAUCUUUCUUCAACCAACGAGCAGGAAUGAACAUAAAAACAACGAUAGAUAAAUGAAGAAGAAGGUGAGAUUGGAUCAAACUCAUACCUGAGAUGUCGUCGAUGGACUCGAGGCCAGGCCAACUGGAAAAAAAAAAGAGAAUUAUGAUAAGAAGAAAGCAGGAGAAGCGAGGCGAGAGAGAUUUUUUUUUGGAGAGAACAAAAUAUAAUAAGAGUGGGAACCCUAGAGAAGAAGAAAGAGAAAGGGACGGAGAGGGUGGGGAAGGGAAGGGGAGUGGGUAUGUUAUGGUGUGAGCGGGUGUAGAGUGGGACGACAGGGAAGAGCAAGAAGAAGACGAGUGUGUGGACUGGGCCGAGCCGUCCGAUUGGGGAGCAAAGUGAAAAGACUGAAAAGGGCAUGAAAGAGAGUGGGGAAGGAGGGAAGGGGAAGUGGGAGACGUGUUUCUUUUACACUUUGCAGAAGGUCUUGGGGGUAAAGAGAAAGAGAAGGAAAAAAGAGGUGUUUUCGUGAGGAGGUAGUGUGUGUAGUGUGUGUAGAGAAGGUGGGAGAGAACUGAGAAGAGAAGGGAGUGGGAAAGAGAGAGCGCGGUUUGGUUUCUGCAGGGAAGAAAUUCUAAUUGGGACCGUUGCUUUGGUGGGGCCUAAGAAAUUGCAAGACUAAAUGAAUUAGCAUUUUUUAAUAAAAAUUUUGACAUCGUUUUCUUGGAAAAAUGUACUAAAGUAUGGAAGUUUUUGUUUUGAUUAAGGUUGUAAAAAUAUUUAUCUUCAUGAUGGUGGAAGAACAAAAAAAACACAUGAGAAAUAACAAAGAGUGCAAACUUUUAUGAAAAGAAGAAAUUGGUGUACCUCUUUUUAUUGUUUACCCUUUUCCUAUAUUCUAUCUCGAAAAAAUUUUCAUGUUUCUUAUUUAAACUAGGUUUUUAUUUUUACGACAAAGAUUUCUUCAUUCAUAUUUUCCUUCUAAUAUCAAUUUCAUUUUGAGUUUUAAACUUUAAAUACUAUAUUUCAACAAGUCUAGUUUUUGUUUUCUUUUUUUUCCUUUUUUUGAAACGAAUUACAAAUCUACCUAUUGCCCCAAGCUUUUGUAAAAUGAUGAGUUUCUUAAAGUUAGCUUUUCGAGUCUGUUUGGAUUGUAAAUUAUUUGUCAAAAUAAUUAUAUCUUUUAUUUUGUAGUGAUGACUAAAUCUUAGGCUUUUCAACAAUCCAAUUUUAAAAAUGAAAGUCUCUACAAAUUACCAAUAAAUGACUUCAAUAUCAAUGGUUCGAUAUAGUUAAAUUCAAUAUAUUUUUUUUCUAUUUUGUAAUGAAUAUGGUUAUGUUAACUUACAUCCGAAAUGGAAUCUCAGAUUGUGUAUUAAUUUUUUUUUUCCGAAACAUUUAAGAAGAUGUUAUCAGGGACAUGACUUGUCUAUAUUGUGAAUUGAAAUCCAAAGAAUUUGAAAGUGGAAGCACUGUACACAAUUAUUUAACGAAAAUGUACAUCAAAGGCCUGUAAAUUAAAAUUUCAUAUUUUUACCUGAAAAAAAAAAGAUAUUUGCAAGAAAUCCCUGUUGUAGCUAGUAUCCUCGUAACCUCCCCAUCUAUUACUGCAACAUAUAAUCAAAUUUUGCGAGUAAUUUUACAUUUUGGCAACCAUUGUUUGGAAAUGAAAAAGAGGCCAAGGAAUUCUAACCCCUAAACUUCUUGUAGAAUGAUUAGAAAGUUUGCCUAAAAUGUCCAAAACAGACAUUGUUAUUUUUCUGGCAAGAACUUAUUGCAUCUAAUGUUUUUCAACAAUUUCUGAUUGCAUUUUCAUGCCUGUAAAAUAAUUGGUGCAGGGGCUUGGAAAAUAUUCUUUUUUUUUUUGUAACUAAUGACAUAUGUCGAUCCAUCUCAUCGUACCAAGUCAAUUAUAUGUCGUGGGUGCAAGAUGUUAAUCACUAGUUCUGGACAAAUCAAUGGUGGAGGUGAGAGAAAUUGUUUGGCCAAAUGCUUCUACACAUUUCCCAUAACAUUUUCUGAGCUGGUGUUCUCAAGGGAAAGCUGAAUGCCUGACAGCCAAGUUUUCAACUGAAAUAACUAAUUUUAGCUUUGCCACCUUUGCAACCGGAUGCCUCUCCAUCUGAUUCCUUCUUGAUUUCCUCCAUUGUUACAUGUCUCCUGCAACCAUAUAUUCAGAUUCUACAGCUCCCUAUGAAGUUGAAAAAAAAAAAGAUAUGGGACGAAUCGACCGCACAGAAUUGGCUAAAGGGGGAUCGGCAAAAUGGAUUCUUGAGAGCAUUGAAAUUGAUAGUAUUGCUGAUGUGCCCGAUGAUGAUGGUGAUCAGCCAGGCUCCAUACCGAAAAACACAAAUCAAACAUCUUUUGAGAGGCAAAUAAGCAAUUUGAGGAAGAGAAAUGGAGUUCCUGGCAACAACUCCCCCAUUUUGACAAGGACACAAUCAGGUGCUGCUAGAGGGCUUAAUGGCUUACGAUUCCUCGACAGGAUUAACACAGGGAAGGAAAUGGAUGCAUGGAAAGCAAUCGAGAGACGUUUCUAUCAGAAUGGGGUUAAUGGGAGGAUUUUUAGAGACAAAUUUGGGGUGUGCAUUGGUAUUUAAUUUUUCUUAAACAUCUCUUCUUGUUAAGCUGAUUUUGUGCUAGUUCGAGGAUGAAAGCCAAGAUUACAUAUUUUGCAUUUUCCUUGUUAAAGGGAUGGCAGCAGAGAGUAAGGAAUUUGCGGGUGAAUUGUUUGAUACGUUGGCCAGGCGGAGGAUGAUCAACCCCGAAAAUGGUAUAGUCAAGGAGGAACUAAGAAAAUUUUGGGAAGAUAUCACAAAUCCAGACCUUGAUGCACGGCUACAUAUAUUUUUUGAAAUGUAAGACAGUUUUGAGGUUCUCGAAGCAGGAAACAUAAGGGAUGUUAAGAAAAAUAACAAUAACACUUGCCAAUGAUUAGAUGUGGCCUUUUUAUUGCAGGUGUGACAAGAAUGGCGAUGGCAGGCUAUCAGAAGAUGAGGUCAAAGAGGUAACAAGUUAACAUGUACCAAAAUGUUUUUAUCUUUAUGCAAAUUCAUCCUUUCUCAUGGAUCAAACUGCUUCAUAUCUUGUGGAAAAGAUUCUAGUAAUGAGUGCCUCAGCAAAUAAGUUGUCCAACUUUAAGACUCAUGCUGCAACAUAUGCUGCUCUAAUCAUGGAAGAGCUCGAUCCUGACCACACGGGAUACAUAGAGGUUAGGACGUAAAAAAAAAAACCAAAACCUCUUCUUCAUCUUCUUCUCCUUGUUUCUCUUGUCCACUUCAUUGCCUGUGUCUCACGGCGAAUAUAAACAGAUGUGGCAACUAGAAACUUUACUAAAAGGGAUGGUGAGCUCAGAAGAUGGUAAAGAUAUUUCGAAGAGGACGCUAAUGCUGGCGAAGACCAUGAUUCCCAAAAGAUAUAGAACUCGAGUCAGCAAAUUUGUCCUAAAAAUCUCGGGGAAAAUACAUGAGAACUGGCAGAGAAUAUGGAUGGUCACAUUGUGGUUGAGUGUGAAUUUGGCACUCUUUGCUUAUAAAUUUCAUGAAUAUAGAAAAAAACCGACAUUCCAAGUGUUGGGAUAUUGUGUCUGCAUGGCUAAGGGUGCUGCUGAGACUCUGAAGUUUAACAUGGCUCUGAUACUCCUUCCAGUAUGCAGGAGAACUCUUACAACGCUACGGGAAACAUUCCUUGGUACCGUGAUCCCCUUCGAUGACAAUAUCAAUUUCCACAAAUUGAUUGCUCUAGCAAUUGCAGUAGGAACCUUUGUUCAUGUAGUGUUUCAUUUGAGUUGCAAUUUGGUGAGAUUAUCAAGUUGUCCAAGUGAUACAUUCAACGAUAUAUAUGGAAGUGUCUUUAACUACCACCAACCUACUUAUUUUGAGCUUACGCUUAGUACCCCUGGCGCAACCGGAAUUAUGAUGGUGUUUAUGAUGACUUUCUCCUUCACGCUAGCGUUGCAUUCAUUCAGGCGCAAUGUUGUAAAACUGCCACAUCCAUUCGACAAAUUGGCAGGGUUCAAUUCCUUCUGGUAUGCGCAUCAUCUACUGGCCAUUGUCUACAUCCUCUUGAUCUUACACGGCUACUUCUUGAUCUUCUCUAACGAAUGGUAUCGAAAGACGGUAUGCUGAUUUUCCCUUAUUUACUAAUUCCUGAACACUUUUUCUGACGGAGGUAGACGAAUGAGAGUCAGAAGAACAUAUAUAGCUUCCAGUAGUGGUACGGUACAUUCGCAUGGUUUCUGGAAUUCAAUGUUUAAUGAUUAAAGAAUGGUUUUCAAAGAUAUAAGUUUUGAUAAUGCGAGAGAUAAAAAAGUUUCCAAUUCAUUCUCAACUCAGCAAGGUCGUAAUUACAUUUUGAUGAAUUUCACUUGUAAGGAUGACCGUUCCACUUUGCACCGAAAACAGAUUUAGUUCCCCCAUCAAAUAUCUCAUUUUAACCGUAUUGAUCUGCUGAAAAUGCAAUCUCCAGUAGUAAAUUUCUGCAUGAGGCUAAAUACAAACCAAUAUUCUCAUCAAACAAUGUUCUAGUUAAAACCUCUCAUAGGUGUGGAAUUAUGUAUGAUGUCCUUAUGGUGCAGACAUGGAUGUAUCUUGCUGUCCCAAUGUUCAUAUAUGCCAGCGAAAGAAUUCUCACAAUGUAUGACCACAAGUACCAGGUGGACAUAGAGAAGGUUGGUCUUCCUUGUUCCAUUAGUUUCCUUCAAAUUCACAAGAAUAAGUUUAAUUCACUAAUGCAUCUCGUAUGCAGGCUGUUAUAUAUACAGGAAAUGUUCUAGCACUAUACAUGAGCAAACCUGUAGGAUUCAAGUACAAAAGUGGGAUGUACCUUUUUGUCAAAUGUCCUGAUAUAUCACCUUUUGAGUGGUAAAGCAAGCAGGAAUUUUUCAAUGAUCUUCCAUCUAGCCCUAGCAAUAUAUAACAUGAUUUAUCAUUUAUCUCUUUCAGGCAUCCAUUCUCCAUCACAUCUGCACCUGAUGAUCCCUAUCUCAGUGUCCACAUACGUGCACUGGGAGACUGGACUACGGAGCUCAAAAACACAUUUGAGAAGGUAAUACUUAUUCCUUUUUCCUCACCGUUUAUUUAUUCUGAAUCGAGUUCAGGUGAUCUGAUCCCAUCAAACCAUCUACGAGAUCUCCUGUUUAGAAAAAUUGGUUAAGUUUUGUGCAACUCAGAGUACAGUCGGCAAAUUUUUACCGGCAACACAAACAUUGAACCUCUUUUUCAGCCACAGGGUCACAGGAUCAGUUGAUCGGUCCUUGUGCUCUUCUUUCUCAUUUAAAGAAUGGCAGAAGCAUACAUAGACCCUUCUUGCUCAAUCGUCUGUUUUUACAUCUCAUUUUCCUUCUCUCUUUAUUCUGAGGCACUCGUGCGCAGGCCUGUGAACCUCAAGAUGCACAAGCUAAAACGGGAAGCCUUGUAAGAUUGGAAACACGGGCGCGUUCUGGUACUCCUCAGCAAUCACAAGCAGGGUGAGCAUGUAAAUCCCAUUCAGUAAUCUUAAGAUUGCUCAAAUAUGUCACCUCUAAUAUUAUGUUUACAUUAAGUAUAGGUUCCCAACGAUCUUGAUCAAAGGACCUUAUGGAGCACCUGCACAAAAUUACAAGAAAUAUGACACCCUUCUUCUCAUUGGACUGGGGAUUGGAGCGACACCAUUCAUCAGCAUUAUAAAAGACAUUCUAAAUAAUAGAGUUGAAUUAGUAAGUAUCAAGCUCCUGAAUCUUUGAUUAAAUUUUCUCAAGAAUGAGAGGACAAUCAUACCGGAUGAACAUAUGAAACAAAAAUAAACUAUUGCAGGACCUUGCAGAUGACUUACUAGCAAGAAAGAAAGGUCCUAAAAGAGCCUACUUUUACUGGUUAACACGCGAGCAAGGAUCUUUUGAAUGGUUCAAGGGAGUCAUGGAUGACUUAGCAGAGUAUGAUGAUCAUGUAAGUCACAUAGAAACUAAAAAAGAUCAUAAUUAUUCAGUUCCCUUUUCUUAAGAUUGCUCGAACUGAACUCUUUUUUCAGCAUGUCAUAGAAAUGCAUAACUACUUGACUAGUGUAUAUGAAGAAGGAGAUGCUCGAUCAGCAUUAAUCUCAAUGGUUCAGUCACUGCUGCAUGCCAAGAAUGGAGUUGAUGUUGUCUCAGAAAGUCGGGUAUUCACGUCCAAACAUACAAUUUCCACAAAGCUUUUCCCGCAAUAAACUUAAUGUUGGUUUCUGACACAAUAUAUUGACAGAUUAAGACGCAUUUUGCAAGACCAAACUGGAGGAAAGUGUUCACUGAUUUGGCAACUCAAAAUCCAUCCGCACGGAUUGGUAAGUUGAUGUCAUCCAUUUCCUUCCAACUGAUGAUUCCAGCUUUGUCAGGGCUUAAAGAUUGUUCUCAUUGCCAAAUGAUGGAUUGUUGCAGGAGUCUUCUACUGUGGAAGUUCAGCACUUACAAAGACACUCAAACAACUAUGCCAUAAACUAAGCUUAGAAACGACAACACGCUUCCAUUUUCACAAGGAAAACUUCUAGAGAAAUUUUGUAGUCUUAUUAUUAUAUAUAUAUAUUCUGAAUAGGCAUGUCCAAUGGCAUACCAUACUGUGUCAUAUUGUAUGCAUCUUUCUUUUUUUUUUUUCACGAUACAGAAGACGUAUAUAGAUGCAGAACUUAGUUAGGCAGUCAAAUUGAUUUUGGUUGAGUUUUUUUUUUUUUAGUUUUUAUUAAGCCUUUGCUAUGUUGCAGAUUUGAUGGUAGUAGCUCUCGUACGGGCAUCCGCCCUCAGGCAAUGGAUUGCAAAGGCUUUCAAGUUUUAAAUUUUAAUCGUAAUCACUCCAUUGAACUUUCGGUCUCUGUUUCCACUCCAAGUAGAAUUAGGCAUACCCAGCUACCCCAAUGAAAGUAUGAAAACCAUCCAUAAUCCUCAAGAAAAUGUUCAAAAAUACACUAUUUUCCAUAUAAUACUACUUCCUCAAGAAAAUAAUCCUCAUAUAAUAUUUCUUGGUCAAUUCUCAAAUCAUACAACAUAUAACAAGCUCCUUGUAGCAAUUGAUACAAUCGUUUUGGUCAAUCCUCACUUUAUACAUCGUACUGUAUCUCAGAAUUUUAUAGCAUAAAACCUAUUUUCAAGGGGAGGGGGCCGGGAAGAUACCAUCGUGCAUAGUUAUUCCUUCGUCUUUUUCUGACUGGAAACAGGCCUCGUCUCGCCUGGGUGAUGCUUUCCAUGUUUUGAAAUAUUGGCCACAGGCUUGUACAAUCUAAUCAGCAUUCGUAUAUAGUUUUCUUGAUUGCUAUUGGAUAAAGGGCUGAUAAUUGGUCCACAAUUGGUCAAUAAAAUCAAAGUUCAAAUUGUGCGGAUCAAAAAAAUUCCACUUUUAUCUUUGACAUAACAAAUAUGUACAAAGUCUAUAUUAGCAGUAGCUAAUAUACAAUACAAGAUCUAUGGUAACGAUAACGAAUAAAACAUCUGAUUAUAGAAGUGCACAAGUCAUAUAUAAUAAUAAAUUGCAAAGUAUUAAAAAUUUAUUAUAUCGUUCAGAAAUAGUUAUACUAUCAUUCAUAUUUCUUGAAAUUACUAUGAUUCUACGUUAAAAAUAAUACACGUAUUAGGGCAAAUGGACCUUUAAUUCAUCCACGAGAGGAGUCGGAUGUGCUCCUACAGGAUAGAACCCUUCCGUUUUUCUUAUUUCUUAACCCAUUCGUUCCUUUUUGCCUCGGCUGCAGAAUUUUUGCCACUGGUCCGUUUGGUUCGAAUGAAAACUUUAAAGCAGCUAAAUCAGAUUUAUAUGGAAAAGCAGCUAAACUUGGCCACGUACCGAUCGGAGUCAAGAAUCCAGUCAACCAAGACUGCCCACUUGAGUCCCUUUUCAAGCUUUUUCACUUUCCGAUUAGUUUCGUCAUGCUAAUUAGUAAAUGUCUACUGGUAACUUCUACUCUUUUUAUGAUUAUUUUAUUUUUACACAACCUCUGUCAAGAAACUUUGGAAACGAUAUGAUAGUGCGGGAAAAUGUGGAAAUUGACCUUUCAAAGCUGGAGACACACGACAAUGUCUCAGAUGGAUACUGAUCAGAAGAAAGAGUCAGAUCAUUUUGCUUUUUGCUACUACAAAACAUGAAAAUAACAGUGUGAAAAUUAAAUGCAACACAAUAAUAAUUUGGAAGGAAUAUCCUAUUGCCAUCUGCUAUCUCUUAUGUUUUUCUCUUGUUAGAUAUUCUUCACCCAGCAGUAGUAGGGAUUCUCAAAAAUGAUCCCCGCUGGGACAUGCCCCAAGAGAAAACUAUAGUGCAACGUAUUGUUCCCACCAAGCCUCGAAGUGUCACACGAAAUCCAGGCUGAUCCAUUUCCACCCUUCAUAUCAUCGUUUCAGGAGAUGUACUUCACGCCAAACAGUCACCACACACAAGCAUCUAUCUUUUCACCAUUAAUGGGAAGAAUUCCUUCUUCUAUUGAAUUUCCAUCUUCUACUCCUAGAUCCCUUUUCAAAUCUCACCAAUUUGCUAGACUCAGACCCUAAGUUUUGAUUCCAAAGUAGGGAGCCUCUAUAUGGUUAUCGACAUUCUAAAUGCAGAGUGGUGUGACAGUGUGACCAUUUUUCCGUGAAAAUUUUUUCGUUGCGUCAUAUAUAUAUGUUUUUCUACUAUUUUUUUUGUCUCACAUAAAACCUGUUAUAAUAUUAAUUUUAAAAUUUUUUUCCAUGUAAGCUUCAUUCCAAUUGCAGCUUAAAAAUGAAUUAAUUUUACUUUACACUUUUCAACUAUACUCGAAUUAUUAUUUUGGUUCAUAAAUUUUAAAAUGGGACACUUUAAAUCCUAAAGUAUAAAAUCUAUCACACUUUAGUUCCUAAAGUAUGCAAUUUUUUCUACUUUAGUUCUCAAAAUAUAAUCUGUCUCAAUUUAGUCCCUAACAUAUAAAAUCUAUCCUAUUUAAGUAUAAAAUUUAUCUCACUUCUAUCAACCAUUUUACUUAAGUAGGACUAAUUCUUAGAUUAAUAUUAAGGGGCUAAAGUAUCCCGUUUUGAAGUUUAGAAACUAAGGUAGAAAUUUCAAUAUAAUUGAAGGGUGCAAAGUGGAAUUAACCCGUAAAAAACAUAUUUCAAUUGCAACUAAAAAAAAACUUUCUUUUUUUUUAGGGAUAAUUUCAAAAAAAUAACUUUUUUUUUUGUAAUGAUCGCAAUCACCUUCUUUGAGAUUUGAAAAAUUGUAGAAACUUCCCCUAGAAAGUAUGUUUUGUUAACAAAUGGUAAUGUAAGCACAAAAAGUCUAAUGAAUAUCCUAUAUUGCCUCUAUUUAAUUUAAAAAUAAAUUAAAUGAAAAAGAAAUCAAAUAUUAGCGUUACUUGCAAAGUAAAAAAAACUUUAAGGUAGUUCUUUGCAAAAAAAUUUAGCCCAUGUUUCAAGGCAUCAAUUUUUCCCCCUUUGCUAAGUAAAUCGUGAAGAAACUAUUUUUAACAAAUACAUCCUUGCUAGUCGGCUGUUUAUAAAUUAAGUAAGAAGUUCAUUUAAAUAACUUAAGAAUUGAAUUAAAUAUAAUAGAUUGAGGUUGGAGCUUUUGAUUAAAGAAACAUUUGCAAGAUGCGAUUUUUUAUUCUUUACACCCACUUUUUACUUAGAAUUUGUAGAUUUGUCAAGGCUAUCGUAAUCUUUUCAUAACAUCAAGGGAGGUAAGUGUAAUUUUUCAAACCUGAAGAGAGAUGGUUGAAAUUAUCAGAAACCUUAGGGGAGGUUUAUGAAAUUAUCCCUUUCUUUUAUCAUGCCCCUAUCUGCAAUCUGUGGAUUAUGCAUGUGCAUGCAUUGACUUGUCCAGCAGUCUAUUUUCCCAUGGAUAUAUUAGUUAACAAAGCCUGAUAUAUAUGGUCACAUCUUCUACACUUCUAUGGCAGGACAGAAAUUGAGCCAUAGCAGCUAUACAUAAGAAUAGUAGUAUAAGACAAGCUGGAUCCAGUUUGUGCAGAAUCUAGUUUAGUACGAGUAAACAAGUCCCGCGCAUACAAUCAAAUAGUGGUAGUUGCAGGGCAGGGUGAACAUUUUCAAAGGUCAGUAAGCACUGCAUGAAUACCAUUUACCGCAAAUUAGACAAUUCAGACAAUUCCAAGUCCACAGGAAAACGUAACAGAAACCACGCAACACGAUAAACAAAGUAAUAGUACUCACUGGAAGAUGAAAAAUUCAAGCCUAUAGCCUAUACUAUUCUCAUCUCUAUCUCCAUUCUUAUCCAACAUAGGAAUAAAAUAAAAGAGAUAAGAUAUUAUCGUACAUAAGUCAUAAGUCAUGAAAAUGGUAUCCCAUAAAUGUCAUCCAUCACACGCCGUACCUAAAGCUAACUCUCAAUGAAAUACACAGAAUUAAGCAACCUGCCCGUUUUAUUAUUCUGUUACAUGUGAUCCAUUGAAGUUAGGCAAGACGUGCCAUGAUUACAUAUAUGGGAUACCUUUUCCAACUUUCACGAGUAUGAGUUACGGCUAGGGUUGGAAGUGGUGGCCUGAUGAUCUUUGACAUUUUGGGUUGUGAUGGGAAAGAGUUCUAGGGUUUUCAGGGGUCUAUUACUGCUGCAGCAAGAGGGAUAAUGAGUAGGACCCGCGUCUCUCAUCUUCAACAUCAUCAUCGUCCAAUCAUCACCAUAACUUCUCAUCAUGCUAGUAUUUUGCAAUUCGUACAUGUUUGGAGGAUCCCUCUUCCAUGUGCAGCUGGUCAUAUGUGCUGCUGCACUGCCAACUCCACCCUGUUAGUGUUAAAGAUAACCAAUUAGUUACUUCCUUUAUCUGUUGAUGGCUGGAUAGCAAAUCCAAUUCAUUCGACACAGAUCCAGAAGGCCUAAGAACAUUUUUAGCGUGCAUGCAUGAUCCAGGCACACAUAGUUGCAGGCUGAAAAUUUGCCUAACUUUACAAUCUUCAGAACCUCGUUUGUUCUUUUUGGUACUUCCAUGAAUUUGUAUUAGGACUUGGACCGAGGAUCCAAGUUUUCCCAAACGGAAUAGCCAGAAAAAACAAAAAAAAAAACUAAAAGACUUGCGUUACAGGUCACCUUGCUUUAAUGGAGUCAAGAAAUAUGUCUUCUAGUCCUACUCUAAGUAAACGAGAAUGUCGGAAAUACCAUAAGAUAUGACUAUUACACCACUUAAAAAAAUAAGAAAGGAAAAAAAUUAUUUGGAAUUUGUGCUGCUGUUAAUGUACUUAAAACCUGCCCACUAGCUUAGCUCUUACAUGCAUUUUAAUUUUCAGCCGUCUAAAUAAAAAUAAAAUGAUGAAAUUAGUUUAGAUUUAAGAUUACCGGAUGAAGAUAAUCAGCUGACUUGUCGAGGGAUAGCUGAUGCAGAGCAGGAGGAGGAGAUUCAUUUGAGCUAAGAAACUUGUUUUCUUGAUUAUGGCAUCGAUGGAGGCACAGCUGCUCCUGUAAUAGUUGUUGUUGGUAUAGUUGCUUGCUCAGUUUCCUUCUUAGCUUCUGUCUCUCCCUGGCUUUGUGGUUCUGAAACCAGUAAAAUACAUUCUUCCCCUCGAUUUUGCCAUAGAAAGAAAGGUGGGCCGUGAUCCUUUGUAUUUGAGAAGCAUUUGGUGUUCUUAUGCCUCCUCUAUACAUUUCCUCCAAAAUCAUGAGCUGCUCUGGGGUUGGACACCAUCUGGUUGAAUUUGAUGGAGACAUUUUUUUUUCACCUUUUUGGUACAAUUGCAAUGCCGCACUGAUUUGUGUGAAACUUGGGGGCUCCAACUUAGGAUAUAAAUAGAUGGAGAGAAAAGUACAGAUGAUAUAAGCGAUAGAGCGUCAGAUCAUGGCGAGGAAGUAACAGUGUCCAAAUCCAAAGUUGUCAUGCUGAUGUCUAAUGUCUGAGAGAAUAGGGCCGCAGGGCUCAGGACGGUUGCUAUAGCAAUAGUCCCGAACAACUUGUAGCUAUGAUUUGGCUACAAUACUAAGUACUCAUAGUAAUCUCUGGCAAUGGUUAGGCUUUAGGGGAAAUCCCAGAGCACACAACUACAGCUAUUAUUAGGUUUAUUUUAAUGUCUCUACCUAUACUCAAUUUGAGAGGCGUUCCAAUAUUUUCUUCAUUACAAUUAUUUUACAAUGAUGUAUGGUGGUAUUUUUCGAUUGUCAUUAAAUUAAGGUGGAUGUAACUUAAUAGCGACAAAAAUAACAUAUUUAACACUUUACAAGAAAUCAUAAUAUGUAAGGGACUUUGAAUGGAAAUGUAUCAAGUUCCUUUCUAUCCAUUUCACAAAGAUAACACGGUGUGCUAUAUUAUGGUAUCUACACUCUACAGUUAGUUUCUCUUGCUCUCCCUCAUAAAGGAAAAGGUCUUCAGUAAGAGAAUGCACACCCGCCCACACGGGAGGGAAAGUGACACGAUCGGGCUGGUUGAAUGAGAAAAGACAUUACGGGGUUGGUUGGGGAGCUCGCAUGAAUGGUUUCGUCAUCAUCACCGCAUUAUUUACUUCUUUAACAGAAUUUGGAGUAGACAUCUGCAGGUUGGAUGCAACAGAUCGGGCAGACAAAUUCAAUACACCAGCUAACUUUUUCUUCUCUUUAACUUAAUGCAAAAGGGUUUGAAGUUUGAAGAACUUCAGUACUGCUACUGCCUUUUUGUUUUUCUUCGAAAUGCUACAGUUAUAUUCGAAGACAGCAAUUAACUAGAGAAGAAAGUGCGAUCCACACUUUUUCGUACAUGUCCUUGUCUUCCUUUUGCUAAGAACAGAAAACAAGUGAUAAUUCUCUUUGUUUUCCCUAUGCAAUAUGCUUCCUCUUUGAUUUUUCAACGAUAAUCAUUAGCAUAAUCGAUUGCAUCGAGCUAACGUACUUAUCAUGUGCACUUGACAUUUUUAACUCACUUUCAUGUUAAUGUCUAUAUCUCUAAACCUAAGCAACCUAUUUAAAGCUGAUUGCUUGCUAGCGCUGCCAGGUCGAGAGUUGUAAAACAAGAUCUCAUGAUCAACCAACUGAAAUUUUUCAUGGAGUGAAUCGCUGUUAAUUAUGAUGUCAUUUAUAUGCGGUCUAACACCGUUGAAUUCUUAUUAUGACUACAAUCAAAUGGAGCUUUAACAUGAUCAAAGCCAUAGUAGACAUGAUCGGAGAAGAGAACGUCAAGGAAUCCAGAGUUGCAAUCUUACUAGAGGACAUUCAAAAAAUGAAAGGGUUGUUUGAUAAAUGUAUAUAUAUUUUUUUUAUUAAUAGACUAGGCAAUAAUUGUGCACACAAUCUAGCAAAAUUUGCUGUUAAGCUUGUUAGAGAUGUAGAUUGGGAAGGAAAUUUUUUCAUAUGGCUCAAAGAGAGCGCACAAAAUGAUCUGUUGGGUAGUAACCCUUUUGUAGCUGAUCUUGUAAUAUCAAGUUAGCAAUGAAGUAUAAACUACUUUUGACAAAAAAAUGGAGUUUUAACAAAAGGGAAGGACUAAAUUCAAAGCCUUCCAUACUCAAUUUUCAUCUUAUAAAACUUUACACACUCAUAAUGUAUAAUACGGAUUUAGUUCCUUGCUUAACAGAUUUGUAAGAUCUUCAGUAAUUAGAGAAGAAUAUAAGCGGGUCUAAUGAUAAAUUUACUUUAAAUCAUCAUUCUUAUUUCAUUGGUGCUAUUAUACCUAAUAAUGGAUGUCACUGAACAACUAAAAGGGCUCAUAGGAGUAACUCAUAACAGGUAAAAAGAGACAUAUGAGAUGCCCAAACAAAAUGCAUUUUAAGAAUGACAACGGAAGUAGGUGUCCGGGAAAGGAGAAAUGAGGUAUGGGAGAUGCGAGUCGGGAGGAGGAGGUGGGAUUGGGAGUUUUCCUCCCUGCCUUUAAUAGGACGGGGGAAGGCACCCUCCAUUCCCCACCUACAAUCAAUACAUGUAAAUGUAUACAUAUAAUAUAUAUCUAGCUAUAUAUACAUUUACAUUAUAAAAUGAGUAAUAUAAGAAUUCAUUCGGGUAAAAUACAUAAUAUGUUAUUUCUUGUUCAUCCUCUUUCUUGUUUAUUUAUCAUUUUAAAAGGAUGUAUUUUUUUUGUUAAGUUAGACUGCUUAAUUUUCUUUUCCAUGCAUUGCCUGUUGUUCAUGAACAAGCAACAUCUAUUGAUUUAGACACUAAAUAGUAUCCAUCAUAGAAGAAAUUAAAAUGUUAAAAUGAUAUUUAACCUUAAUUUCAUACUAAAAUUUUUACAAAAAAUUCAAAAGAAUAUUUAGAAAAAUGGUUUUUAGUUUUAUAAAUGUAAAGAAUAUAAAGUUAACCAAAAAAAAUACUAGUGGCCGCUGGCAAGGUGCAGGGGUGGAGAUAAACGAAGCAGGAGAUGCUGCCGAAGCAAGUAAACAAGCUUUUGUAGCAUAGGGCGGGGAACGGGGGAUAAGGGAGCUCCCCUGUCCCAAACCCGUCCAGUUGUCUAUCUCUGGUGCAUUUUACUUGGAACAUCAUUCUAUACAUUGUCCAAGCUUCUCACUGCACAAACUACAAGGACUACUACAAGUUUUGGAAGCAAAAUUAAGUGCUGUUAGAAGAUGGACCAUGUGAUGAAGUGUAGAGCUUUUAUAAGUUCCAACUGUCGGUUUAAUUUCUGAUGACUUUGGUUUCAACUGGGUUUUUGUCUGCUAAGGCUGCUCAUGAGGGUCAUGCAAGAAGCUAGUGUCGGGAAAUGGCAAUACUUUUGGUCCAAAAUCUAAGUGUCAGUGUAUGCGUGUUCAGCUUGUGAUUCACGGCGAAAAGAGGAGCAAUAGGACUAGUGCUGCAGUUGGGUUUGGACUACGGAUCGACGAACAGUCUAAAAACACACUAUUAUUAAUUCCAUUCAGCUUCAGUAAUCUCAGAAUCCCAUCAUUUUGUCUAUGGUGGUUCGCUUCACAUCCUCUGCUAAACUGACUGUAUAAUAAUAACUUAGCACAUCCAUAUUGAUCAUUGAGCCGUCCAAUUAUAAUUUCUACUUCAUUUUGUGGUAGUUGCUUUUAUUGUCCAAGCUGACAGGCCAUAUCCAUUCCUCAAGGGACAACUAAGUGAACCUUUUCCUCCUACCAAAAAAAAAAAAAAAAAGUGAACCUUUUCCACCUUUCUUUUUUUUUUUUCUGUUUUUCUUUCAAGGGAAUAAAAUGAACUUUGAGAAUACAAUAAUAGCUAGAAGUUUUUGGAUAGUAAUAAUCAAUAGAAGGUCGAAAGCUCUGAUGUUCAAAACUCUGGGGAGCAGGGGAUUAUUUCCUUGCGAAUACAACUUUCUCACAGCAUCCAAAUGGUGAGACUAAAUCUACCUCUUUACAUAAGAAAUCAUUAUCAAUCCAUUCUGAUUUUGAUAAAUGUUUCCUUUAAUCGUCCUUUCUUGCAUGUUAAAACAUAUCUUAAAUUGAAAUUCAUAUUGCUUUAGUGUCUAGUUUCAAAUGAUCAUCUCGAGUUAUGUUUCACGCGUACAAACCAAAAAAGUUGAGGAAUGAUUCACUAGUUUUAAUGCUUAAACUGUGUGUCACUUCUCCAUGCUCGCAAAGAUGCCACUUCUCGGCCACAUUGCUUUAUGGUAAUUGCAACGUACAUCUUCCUGUUCUCAUGUGAAGGAGUACAUCUCUCUCUCCUUUUUUGAUGAAUAUGUCAAAUGCUAAACUACUUACUAGCAUUCCCUAAAGAGUGAUAAUGAGUUACCAAAAAGCUGUAUGCAUUGAUCCUAUCUUGUAAACAAAGAAAUGCAUUUUUUGAAGAUAAAAAUUUGGAUGAUUUCCACUCCGAUCACUGUCAAUGUCCAAACAUGCUUUUGAGAUCAUAAAUUAAUUGCAGAAGUUCUUACACAAAAUGCACUUGCUACUUAUGACCGCUAGCUCUGAAUUAGAGCAAUUGAGAUGGAACCCGGCUACGAGGGUUAAGCAAUCAUGACUUAACAUCUAUAAAACAUUCUGCAAUAUUUUCCUGUCGAUCAUCAGUUUCUUUCAAAACAUAACACGAUAAAGUAGCUGAAAAUUACUGGUAUCAAACUCAAACUGUCUGUUUGACUGCACUGUUAGAUGAACAGGAAACGCUGCUCUACCAAUUAAUUAUGUGAACAAAACGGUCUCCUCUUUUGAAUGCAUGUAAUCUAAUUCCGUGAAUGAUUAGGGCCAACAUUGACAUCAUCAGCUUACCAGUUUUGCCUGCUUGUUCAUCCCAGAUCAAGAAAUUUGUAAACAUCAGUCACUCCUUAGGAAACACUUCCCUGUACUAUGCUACUGUAUUAAGGCUAAGGGCCUCUUGGAGUUGGGGUCCACCUGAAUGGUUCAAGAUAGCCAGUUGUCAACUUCAAGUAUUCAAGAAUAUAACAAAUCAGACAAAAGCUGGGGGAUAACCAGCUUUAUAUUAUCUCUCAAGAAAUGAUUGGAAAUUUCCAUCGUCUCGAUUUCCUUCCCAUUCCCAUUGUGCAUGAUUUGUUGAUGUUUACACUUACCGUGAUAGGGCUAUAGCUAAAAAUUGAAAAAAUAUCUUUUUUAAUCUUCAGUGCUGUAUUAUUUUUUCCCUAUACCACUCGAUGUAUAUUAAACUACAACUCUCGCAUUUGUAAUUAAUGAAGAGCAACUUUUGCUUUUCAGGUAUCUACCAUGCUUAUUGUUUGUUAUUAGACCAAGUUUAUGUGACAAACAUAAAUGCAUAUAGAGUUCUUUUUUGCAACCAUUGAUAGUGGUUAAUUUGCUAUUUUGAUAACAAGAUGUGUGCAUUUAAUAUUUCGAUGAGGAAGCGGCAUUUGCACUCCUAAAUUAGUCUCUCGCAUUCCUGGAAAGUAUAGUAUUUACUAAGUAACUUAGAGUAUAAGAGAUUAAAAUGAGAGUGCGAAUAUCGAUUCCUUUUUCAUGAAAUUCUGCGCGAAAUGGUAAAGAUGCUCCUUUACAAAAGUUGGGUAAUCAAUUUCCUAAUCAAACCAGUACAAGGUUGUGGUGGGUGUCAAACCUCCAAAAAUAAAGUUAAAAAUAACAGCCUAAUUGCCAACCAACACAAUCUCAAAUUUAAUUCGUAAACAGGGCAAGUAGGGUCGUCUCCUCAGGGAACUGGUAGGCAAAUCACACAGGAAAAUGGGGGGGAAUUUUUAGCAAUAGUAUCAACUAAUUAAAAAGGAAUAAAAACUGAAAUUCAAAGUUGAGUAAGAUAGCGGGAACCAAAUUACACAAAUAACAAUUAAUUAAAACAACCUAAUCAAGGAAUUAAUCUUGGGAUCCAAACACACAACUGAUCACAGAUACAAGGGACAAUUCAUAUACUCACGAAUAAACUGGUUAUAGUGGUCAAGCGACGCGCCCAACCACUAAUCUUUCCUUAAUUUUAUGGUAGUUAAGAGACGCUCAUAAACUACCCUCUUGUGAGUAGACAACCCCAGAAAUGCUCACAGGAUUUAAUGUAGCCACAGUAUUAGGAAUUAGAAAGACCCAAUUCUAGAUGACAAACACAUAUACGGAUUUGUUUAGGCUAGAUUAAUUAUCCCCACGAUCCAAAUUAGACCGCUUGCGAGGCGGUGCAAUUGUCUCGUUUGCCACUAAUCAAGAUGCUUAAAGGCGACGCGCCAACAUCCUAAUUGGCUAUCAAUUAUUUAGACAAUCGAAUAACAGGCCUAAUUAUCCAAUAAAUCUAAACAAUAAUAACUCAGGGAAAAAAUAGAAAAUAAUCAAAUACCCAUGAACAUAUAAAUUAAAAAUAAGCAAUUAAAACGAUCUCACAGUUAUGGUGUCCCGAUCCUCGAUUUAUUCCUCAACUAGAUAAACGAUCUAGCCUUGCCGUAUAGUCAUGACAACAAAGCCAAUCAAAGUUUUCAUGGAGUUUUGUAAAUUGAAGAAGGAGUAAAAGAUUUUUCGCCGCUAGUCUCCUAACAACGAAGAAAACAAAAGCAGAGAAAAAGUCCAAGUCCAAGAUCCCUCCCUAGUCUAUUGCUGUCUUCUUUUUAUUGUUUGCGCCGCCGUUUCCUUUUUGCUAGCCGAAAUAAUAGGUGGGUUUCUUCAAACAAUUUGCUUCCUUUUCCCCCAUUGGAUUGUUACCAAAAGUCAUCUUCCAAUUCUAUUUCCUAAUCCCACGUAAGUUUAAAGUAUGGCUCCAAGGAAAGGCGGUGGCCCCAGGAAUAGGACCUGCAAUCCGGCUUUUUCACGCAACUCUGCGUUGUCUGGCGUGGGCACGCCAGAGAAGGCUUAGUCUUCUGGAAUUUGCUCUUUUUUUUAUCACUUUUAUCACCAAUUGCCUGUAAUUAACACAAAUACCAAUUAUGAGCAGAAAUCCAAUACUUUGCAUAAUAAACUGCCAAAAUUAAGACCAAAUAACCACAAAUAAAAUGCAUAAUUAUAUCCCUAUCAAAUUCCCCCACACCAAGACAAUGCUUGUCCUCAAGCAUUUCAAACUUUAAAUACACAACUAAGCGAGCAAACAUUUUCGCAGCAGUUGAAUUCAAAGCAAUGGCUAUUAAUCAAAGCAACUAUUACCAAUGUAUCAUUUAGAUAACUGUCAAGUACUGAUGACAAAUUUUACGAGAUAACUCUCCAACUAGCUUUUAAAACCAACGACUCUUUCAAAUCCAGACUAACUAAUCUAAGAAUAGAAAAUAUCCAUCCAACAUUUUUUCAAUAACUGGUCCAACUAUUAAGCAAAAUCUCAACAUAAAGACUUAUGGAUCCGCAGGCAAUACAAUUAUUCACAUACUUUCAUGCUCGUAUACUUUUUUUUUUUCAUCAUUUUCAUUUUUUUUCUGUUUCUUUUUCCUUUUUUUUUUCUUGAAGGAAGUGCUUAGUCUUGAGCCAUUCAAGUCUUUUGACACGAACUCCGACAUCUCUCCAAUGAAGGAGCCCGGUUACUCAACUUUAACCGCUUAAAGACCACAUACUCAUAGUUAUCGCUAUUUUUUGACGCGAAAAUCGACACUUUAGGUGAAAACCCCCGGUUACUAGUCAAUGAUAACCAGCGGAGUAUAGCCGAAUAUUAUUCACAAAAAAACACCCAAGUAAAAUUAAAAUCAUGCAAGCCUGCUUCAUUUCCUUAACAUGGAGAACUAAGAUUAAUAGUUGAACCAAUUCACAUAAAAAUAUCAGAAAAAUAUUUACAAUGCCUAGAAAAAUUAACCAAAAGAAAUUGCCAGAGUCACAAAAUCUCAAAUGUUUACCAGAGAGACAUCCUAAAAUUUUACCAUAUCAUAUUUACAUAUUAUCAUCUAAAACCGUAACAAUAGUUAAAUUUGAAAAUCUAGCCAUUGCUUAUCAACGCUAACCAUAAAAAUCCAAAAGGCAUGGUAAUUUUUUUUUUUUAAGGAGGAAAAGCAGUAAGAAGGAAAAGCUAGACUACUCCCCCCACACCUAAAGUCUACAUUGUCCUCAAUGUAAGCACGAAAAGUUGAAGUCAAGUGAAAUGAGCAAAAAAAAACUUCCCUGAAUGAAUAAAAAUUGCAGCAAAAUACCAUGGUAGAGGAGGUGUCAGGGACUGGCAGCGUGGAGCCUCUGACGGUGGUGUGGUGUAGCGUUGCUUCAGAUGGAAGCGGAAGUCUUCAAUCCAAGCCUGUGUCCCCAGAGUGGACUAGAGUUGCUGUAAGGCGUGACCACGCCUUAUAAGGCAGAAUCUUCUGCCCAACACUUGCAAUGAAACAAAACAACCCAAAAUCAACGAAAAACGAAAGAGAACUAUAACAAAAAAAAUGGAGGCCCUGGGUUGCCUCCCAAGAAGCGCAUUUCUUUAACGUCUUUGGCUAGACGAUUUCACAGUGAGCAAUUAGGCAUAGCUAGGAACUAUCAAGUGUACCUUUUCCAAAGUGCCAAUGUCUGAAACAUCAACAAACGAUUUUAAACGAUGACCAUUAACCGUAAAACUCUUAUUAGUCUCUAAACUCUAGAUUUCAACCACACCAUUGGGAAAAAUAUUGACUACCACAUAUGGUCCAAUCUAACGAGAUUUUAACUUACCUGGCAUGAAUUUCAAUCGUGAAUUGAACAAGAGUACCUUUUGUCCUGGGGAAAAGUGUUUCGCACGCAAUAGGCGGUCAUGAAACUGCAUGGUACGCUCUUUGUACAAACGUGCAUUGUCAUAUGCUUCAAGACGAAUUUCCUCCAACUCCUGGAGUUGGAGCUUUCUCUCUUCGCCAUCUCUAUCCGCAUGCAAAUUGCAUUGCUUGACUGCCCAGAAUGCACGAUGCUCAAUAGCCGCAGGUAAAUGACACAUCUUACCAAACACCAACCUAUAUGGGGACAUUCCAAUGGACGUUUUAUAAGCCGUUCGAUAUGCCCACAAAGCAUCAUCCAAUCGCAAGCUCCAAUCCUUACGGUUGGGGUUAACCGUUUUCUCCAAUAUGCGCUUGAUCUCUCGAUUGGAGACUUCAGCUUGCCCAUUGGUCUGAGGAUGAUAUGUUGUACUCACACGAUGGUGCACUCCAUAUUUUCUCAUGAGAGCUGCAAUGGUGCAAUUGCAGAAAUGGGUACCUUGAUCACUGAUGAUGGCUCUCGGCACCCCGAACCUACUAAAAAUGUGAGAUUUGAGAAAUCUUACAACAACUUGAGAAUCAUUAGUUCGGGUAGCCUUUGCUUCUAUCCAUUUUGAUACAUAGUCAACUGCUAACAGAAUAUACAAAAAUCCAAAAGAAAUAGGAAAAGGUCCCAUAAAGUCCAUACCCCAAACAUCAAACACUUCACAAAAUAACAUAGGCACUUGAGGCAUUUCAUCCCUAUGAGACAAACUUUCAAAUUUUUGAUAUUUUUCACAGCUUUUACAAAUUGCAUAAGCAUCACGAAACAAUGUUUCCCAAUAAAAGCCACAAUCAAGGAUUUUUCUAGCAGUUCUCUUAGGUCCAAAAUGGCCACCACAUGCAUAAUUAUGACAAUGAGUAAGGAUAGAAGGAAUUUCACUUUCAGGUACACAUCUACGAAUAAUUUGAUCAGAGCCUAUUUUCCACAGAUAUGGCUCGUCCCAAAUAUAGUAUCGAGUAUCAUGGACUAUCUUAUCUCUCUUACUCUUACUCAUGCCAAUAGGAAAUUUAUGACUGACCAAAAAGUUCACAAUAUCUGCAUACCAAGGUUCCUUACCUUUGAGAUAGAAAAGAUGUUCAUCAGGAAAUACCUCAGAUAUGGGAACUGCUUCCUCUUCCCUUAUCAAUCUACUCAAAUGGUCAGCUACUGAAUUAUCCACCCCUUUCCGAUCCUUGAUCUCCCAGUCAAAUUCUUGCAGUUAGAGCACCCAACGAAUGAGUCUUGGCUUGGACUCCUUUUUUGACAGGAGAUACUUCAAAACUGCAUGAUCAGAGUAAACCGUUACUUUUAACCCCAAUAGAUAUGAUCUAAAUUUCUCAAAAGCGAAAAUAAUAGCUAGAAGCUCUUUCUCCGAGGUGGUGUAGUUGCAUUGAGCUGGUGUCAAUGUUUUUGACGCAUAGUAUAUCACGUGACUACACUUCCCACUCCGUUGUCCAAGCACAGCUCCUACGGCAUACUGACUGGCGUCACACAUGAGUUCAAAGGAUAGCUUCCAGUCUGGGGGUUGGAUGAUUGGUGCCGUGGUCAACAUACCCUUGAGUGUGUCAAAAGACAAUUUGCAAUCAUCUCCAAAAUUGAAUGGCACCUCCUUUUGAAGCAGGCGAGACAACGGUUGAGCAAUUUUUGAAAAAUCUUUUAUGAAACGCCUGUAAAAACCUGCAUGGCCUAGAAAACUACGAAUAUCCUUGACAUUAGUAGGGUAAGGUAGACAAGUGAUCAAAUCAAUUUUAGCCUUAUCUACCUCAAUACCCCUUGAUGAAACAACAUGGCCCAAAACUAUGCCUUCCUUAACCAUGAAAUGGCAUUUUUCAUAGUUAAGAACCAAGUUUGUUUCAAUGCAUCUUUUCAAAACCUUUGUUAAAUGGUCUAGGCACUGAUCAAAAGAAUCACCGUAUACUGUAAAAUCAUCCAUGAAAAUUUCAAUGCAAUUAUCAACCAUAUCAGAGAAAAUACUCAUCAUGCAUCUUUGAAAUGUUCCAGGAGCAUUACACAAACCAAAAGACAUACGGCGAUAUGCAAAAGUUCCAAAAGGGCAGGUAAAAGUGGUUUUAUGUUGGUCCUCUUGAGCAACAAUAAUUCGAUAAUAUCCAGAGUAACCAUCUAAAAAGCAAAAGAAACACUUACCUACCAACCUCUCAAACAUUUCAUCAAUAAAUGGGAGUGGAAAGUGGUCUUUCCUAGUUGCGGCAUUUAACUUCCUAAAGUCAAUGCACAUUCUCCACCCAUUUUGCAAUCUCAUUGGCACUAACUCAUUUUUUUCAUUUUUCACCAAUGUGAUUCCAAUCUUCUUGGGAACAACAUGGACUGGACUUACCCACUAGCUGUCAGAAAUAGAAAAAAUAAUUUCUAAUUCUAAGAGUUUGAGAAUCUCUUUCAUCACCACCUCCUUCAUUGCGGGAUUGAGCUUGCGUUGAUGCUCUCUCACGGGUUUUGCGUCCGACUCCAUAAGGAUGUGAUGCAUGCAAAUAGAUGGAUUGAUGCCUUUGAUGUCUGCUAACGUCCAUCCAAUUGUUGGUUUAAAUUCCCGUAAGAGCCUCUCUUCUUGCAACGCAGUUAAAUCAUUGGCAAUGAUUACAGGCAAAGUCUUGUUAUCUCCCAAGUAAGCAUAUUUCAAAUGCUCGGGCAGUUCCUUCAAUUCCACAUUAGAUGCCUGUUGAACAGAAGGUAGAAUUCUUUCAUUAGAAGUGGGUAAUGGUAGAAAAGAAUUUUCAAAUCUGCUUGGAAGCGGAUGUAGUGAAUGUAAGGACAUGAUAGCUUCUUUGACUUCCUCCUCCUCCAUGUCGUCCACUUCCAAAUUGGUCUUGCCUUGUUGUAAGACAAAGUCCAACUUGUCCCCCAUGAAAUUCUGUUCAAAAUUCUCUUGCACAAUGGUGUUAGUCAUGCCAACAAAAUUUACAGACUCAGUAUCCACAGGAUGCUUCAUUGCAUCAAAAAUAUUGAACAUGACCUUCUCUCCAUCAAAUUCCACAGAUAAAGUUCCUUUAUGUACAUCUAUUUUAGUCCUUGCUGUACUCAUGAAGGGUCUACCCAAAAGAAUCACUGCUGAAUUAGUAGAGUAUUCAUCAUUCAUAUCAACAAUGUAAAAAUUCACAGGAAAAAUGAAUUCAUUGACCUUUACUAGAACAUCUUCAACUAGGCCUCAGGGUAGACAUUAGACCUAUCUGCUAGUUGAAUGAUUACCCUAGUUUCUUUGAGGGGUCCUAAAUUCAAAACUUUAAAAAUUGAAAGAGGCAUGACAUUUAUUGAAGCACCUAAGUCAAACAUGUUUUUUUCAAUUCUUUGAUUGCCAAUUAUGCAUGGUAUAGUAAACAUACCUGGAUCCUUGCAUUUCUGGGGCAACUUCCUUUGAAACAUCGCUGAGACAUUCUCCCCCACCUUCACCUUAUCAUCCAGACUCAAUUUAUUGCGAUUAGUGCAUAAGCCCUUCAAAAAUUUAGCAUAUUUAGGCAAUUGCCUAAUAGCUUCCAACAAAGAAAUAUUGAUCUUCACUUUCUUGAAGGUGUCCAAAAUUUCUUUCUCAGAUUCUUCCUUUUUAGCUUUUGUAAACCUGUUAGGAAAAGGAAGAGAAAUGUCAACUUUCUUUGAGAUUUCAGAGAAUUGUUUCUCUUCCUCCUCUUCUACCUUCCUGGGCACUUAUUCUUCUCUGGCAUGGGCACGCAUAGGAGACUGUACCUCUUUGCCACUCCGUAAUUGCAUUGCACUGGCAUUCUCCUUGGGAUUAGGAAUUACUUGAGAUGGUAACUUCCCUCUAUUGCUAUUUCCCAGGUUGCUCAUGGAAGUAGCCAAUUGGGACAUUUGUGCUUCCAAAUUCCUAAUGCUAGCACGAGUCUCUUGUUGAAAUCUGUGAGACUCCUGUUGAGAUCUUUGAACCUCUUGCUGUAAUUGACUCAUGCUUUGGGCCAGUGAUUUCACCAUAUCUUCAAGAGACAUAUUUGAACUGGAAGUGGAUGGUUGUUGCACUGGUGGUCGUGGUUGGAAAUGUUGUUGAAGACCAGGGGGUUUUGGAGCAUAGCUAAAGUUAGGAUGAUUUCACCACCCUGAGUUGUAAUUGGGUGCAAAAGGAUCAUUCCUUCGUGGAGGUGGUCCAGAAAAAUCUCCCAAUAUGUUGGCUUGUUCAGGUGAAUCCUCUUGGAGAGUUGGGCACAUGUCAGUCAUGUGUCCGGGAGCAGCACAGGUACCACAAGUCUUCACAGAUUGUAAUUGCCCCCUUGCCAUUUGACGCACCAGAGAGGUAAGCUCAGAUAGUUUACCCUCUAAGUCAGAGUGAUUCACUUCAUUGACCCUUCUUAUUGCUCCAUCAGCUCUCACUCCAAAUUGUUGGAAAUUUUCAGCCAUGGUGAAGAUCAAUAACGUGGCUUCGUCUGUGGUCUUGUUCACCAGAGCACCGCCACUGGCUGCAUCUAACAUGCUCCUAUCCAUGGGUGAUAAUCCCUCAUAGAAAUAUUGUAUUAAGAGUUGGUCCGGGAUUUGAUGAUGUGGGCAACUGGCACACAGUUGUUUAAAGCGCUCCCAGUACUCAUAUAGAGUUUCCCCAUUCGCCUGCCUAACUCCACAUAUUUCUUUCCUUAUAUUGGCGGCUCUAGAGGCAGGAACAAAUUUCUCGAGGAAUCUUCUCUUCAAUUCUUCCCACGUAGUGAUGGAUCCUGAUGGCAGGUAAAAUAACCAAUCUUUAGCCUUAUCUGCCAAAGAGAAAGGGAAGGCUCUUAACUUGAUGUGGUCCUCAGUGACUCCUUGAGGUCUCAUUGUGAAGCACACCACAUGAAAUUCUUUCAAGUGUUUAUGUGGGUCUUCACCUGCAAUACCACGAAAAGUAGGAAGUAAGUGAAUAAAACCAGACUUAAGCUCAAAUGCCUCUUCCGUGUUAGGAAAUGUAAUGCAUAAUGGCUGUUGGUUCACGUUAGGAGUUGCCAACUCCCUCAAAGUUUUGGGGCUGCCAUUGCUACUCGGGGAAUAUGCACUUUGUUUUCUUCAGAUUCACUUGAUGAAUCACUGGAAAUAAACUCUUGCUCAGAUUCUGAAGGUGACGUUGAAUCUUGUUGCUUACGCAACUUUGCCUCCUUAGUCAACCUUCUUGCAGUCUUCUCGAUCUCUGGAUCAAAUUCUAAUUCUUCUGUACGAGAAGAUCGAGACAUAAAAUAAAAAAAAAAUAAAUAAAAAUAAAAACUAAAACCUGUGCAAUAAGUCACUUAAAACACCAGUUCCCCGGCAACGGCGCCAAAAUUUGGUGGGUGUCAAACCUCCAAAAAUAAAAUUAAAAAUAACAGCCUAAUUGUCAACCAACAUAAUCUCAAAUUUAAUUCGUAAACAGGGCAAGUAGGGUCGUCUCCUCAGGGAACUGGUAGGCAAAUCACACAGGAAAAUGGGGGGAAAUUUUUAGCAAUAGUAUCAACUAAUUAAAAAGGAAUAAAAACUGAAAUUCAAAGUUGAGUAAGAUAGCGGGAACCAAAUUACACAAAUAAUAAUUAAUUAAAACAACCUAGUCAAGGAAUUAAUCUUGGGAUCCAAGCACACAACUGAUCACAGAUACAAGGGACAAUUCAUAUACUCACGAAUAAAUUGGUUAUAGUGGUCAAGCGACGCGCCCAACCACCAAUCUUUCCUUAAUUUUAUGGUAGUCAAGAGACGCUCAUAAACUACCCUCUUGUGACUAGACAACCCCAGAAACGCUCACAGGAUUUAAUGUAGCCACAACAUCAGGAAUUAGAAAGACCCAAUUCUAGAUGACAAACACACAUGCGGAUUUGUUUAGGCUAGAUUAAUUAUUCCCACGAUCCAAAUUAGAUCGCUUGCGAGGCGGUGCAAUUGUCUCGUUUGCCACUAAUCAAGAUGCUUAAAGGCGACGCGCCAACAUCCUAAUUGGCUAUUAAUUAUUUAGACAAUCGAAUAACAGGCCUAAUUAUCCAAUAAAUCUAAACAAUAAUAACUCAGGGAAAAAAUAGAGAAUAAUCAAAUACCCAUGAACAUAUAAAUUAAAAAUAAGCAAUUAAAACGAUCUCACAGUUAUGGUGCACCGAUCCUCGAUUUAUUCCUCAACUAGAUAAACGAUCUAGCCUUGCCGCAUAGUCAUGACAACAAAGCCAAUCAAAGUUUUCAUGGAGUUUUGUUAAUUGAAGAAGGAGUAAAAGAUUUUUCGCCGCUAGUCUCCUAACAACGAAGAAAACAAAAGCAGAGAAAAAGUCCAAGUCCAAGAUCCCUCCCUAGUCUAUUGCUGUCUUCUUUUUAUUGUUUGCGCCGCUGUUUCCUUUUUGCUAGCCGAAAUAAUAGGUGGGUUUCUUCAAACAAUUUGCUUCCUUUUCCCCCAUUGGAUUGUUACCAAAAGUCAUCUUCCAAUUCUAUUUCCUAAUCCCACGUAAGUUUAAAGUAUGGCUCCAAGGAAAGGCGGUGGCCCCAGGAAUAGGACCCGCAAUCCGGCUUUUUCACGCAACUCUGCGUUGUCUGGCGUGGGCACGCCAGAGAAGGCCUAGUCUUCUGGAAUUUGCCCUUUUUUUUAUCACUUUUAUCACCAAUUGCCUGUAAUUAACACAAAUACCAAUUAUGAGUAGAAAUCCAAUAUUUUGCAUAAUAAACUGCCAAAAUUAAGACCAAAUAAUCACAAAUAAAAUGCAUAAUUAUAUCCCUAUCAGGUUGCUUCGGCUAUUAGGCAAACCAGUACAUUCACUAAUCAAUUUCCUUUCAAAUUUGAGAAGGUUGGAUGGAAAAUCUCAUGCUCCAGAAUCCCAUAAAGACUUGUGCUAGUAAUUUUCAGAGUAACAUAAACUAGUAAUAUAUGAACUUCAGACAUUAAAACAAAUGAUAAUAAACUUAGAAGCUACUUUCUGGUUUCCUAUGCUAAAGUAUAGUACCAAUUACAAAAGAAAAAGUUAAGCAAGACAAGGAACCAGUCAAAUUCACAAACACGAGAAUUCACGCCGAGAAACUUCAUUGAUGUUACAGAUCAAGGUUACACAAUUAAUUUGCCGGUCAUUGGAUAAGCCUUUGUCUAUCAGAUGAAAAAAAAAGUGUCUGUUUCUGUACGCAAAUACAUCGAGGUUCUGUUGAGUUGCAUUCGAAAAUUUUGACACUUGGUUCAUACAUCACAUUUAUUAAAGUUUUCAUGUCUUUGAAAGUUGCAUACAUUUCUGGAAAGGGACAUCAAUGCCAGUAGUCAUUAAGUCUUUUCCGUAAGCAAAGAUAGAAGAAAUUCAGACCAUUAAUUUGAGACUCAGCUGUCUAAUACUUUUAUAAUACUGGUACAAGGAAGGACAGUUUUUAGAUUCCGCAUAUUUUCUUCGAUUCAAUGCGUGCUUUUGCAAUUUGCUUGCAGGCUCAUUUAAUUGUUGAUAUGACAGGCACCAAAUUUUCCAAGAACUCUAAUGAUGGAAGUGUUACUUUUGUGCCUUCCGACUUACAAAGAUUACAAGGAACUUCAUUCAAGAGUUGGCUCUCCUCUCGAGUUGAUAAAUCAUUUUUUUUUGAUAUUUGCCAAGUUACUCUGUGAUUUUUUGCCCUUUUCAACAAAUAAUUAAUUUACAAGGUAAGUCGUGAAGCAUUUUAUUUCUUGAAAAAAAAAAUCAAUUCACAGGGAAAGAAAUGUGAUGAUUUGGGUCCCUCCUAUGUUAUUUGAGCAGACUUUUCUUUAUUUGCAAAGACCUUUCUCCUGUACUUGAUCCCAAAAGGAGUGACCUCGGUGUCACACACGUCCAAGCCGUACCAAGCAUCGCGCGGCAGAUACCGACGAAAAUAGAAAUAAUCGGAGCUCAGAUGAGAUGAUGCUUCUAAAACCUGCACUUGGGCAAAACCAGGCCUCCAAUCAUCCUUGCCAGCCAAUUUCAGAUAAAGAUAGCAAAUGGGUGAUUCUACGCAUGGCCCUCUAACUUGAAAUUCAUCCACCAUGCAAGCUUGGAAUGGCUUUCUGGGCACAUCAUCAAGCACUUGGGGCUCCAAUGGAUCGACCCAUCUUACGUGUUUGGAAUUCAAGUGACGCACUAAAAUGUCAUUGGAUUUGACAUCUCCAAAUCGUAGGCUGACAUGAUCUGAAGUUUCUGCUCCCUUGGUACAACAUGUUUCUAUGGUCACUGCAUACGUACAAUUACUCUGCAAAUUUUUCAAGACAAAUUAAUGUUGAUCUCAAGAUUUCUAGGCUCGAUCAAUAUUCGUUUGAAUUGUUAUUUUUAGAAGUUUUUUUUAUAAAAAAAUAUAAUAUAUGCAUAUGAGAUAAAAAAUAAUUAAAAAUAUAUUUACAAAAAAAUAACAUGAAUAAAAUUCAAGACGGGUAUAGUCAAAUUUGAGUGACUAAAAUUAGGUGCAACGAACAUGGAAUUCAUGGUUAAUUGUUUUGCAGAUUCCAGUAUCACCCUUAUAGUGCAUGCUUAUAUAUAUAUAUAUAUAUAUAUAUAUAUAUAUAUAUAUAUAUAUAUAUAUAUUUUGCUAUUGCCAGCUUGCUUUUAUAUAAUUAAAUGCAGUGGAUGAGAAUUUCAUAAGAGGAGAUUAACGGAAUGUUAAGAAUCAACGGAUUCAUUUGAUUAUGGCAGAACUCAUGCAUAGAUUAUCUUUAAUUGCCAGAAUUAGAAGACCUAAUAAGUUUAUAAAACUGUUGUACAUCCCAUCAUCUCCCGGAAAUUUUACUCCCGGGUAUGAUACAGCUAUAAUCUCUGAUACAUGGUACAUGCCACUAUGCAAAUCACUGAGUUCAUCAUAAAUUCAUGGUGCAGGUCUGGGACAAAAGUUUCUAAGUAAUAGUAUGGUAAUUAAUCAAAAGGAGUACCUUCUCUUUAGAGGUCUCGGCAGCAAUUUCGCCGGUUAAUAUCAUCAAAGUCUGUAGAACAAAAGCAAGCCAUUGACAUGCAAAGAACGAUCCUCUCCAGACUCGAUUCAUUUUCAAUCGCCUGAGCUGAUUCUAGAGACAACUAGCCUCUUUACUCGGAAGCAUUUUGUCGCAGUACUUGUGUAUUAGAGGUAUAUAUCUUUUGUCCCGAGAGUCGAGACUACUUCUCAUUCUUUUCUUGCUAAAUGGAAAAGAAAGGAUCCCUCGAGCCUUUUCAUAUUCAAUUAGUUUGCGAUUUCUGUUUUUUCUUUCCAAACACCAUCAUGUUCUUUCUUGUACUUCACUCAAACCGACCUGCUUUAUUAGGAUUCAUCCUGUCUUAGCCUAGGUAAAGCAUCUUUGUACUUGAAGUUGAAGUAUAAUCUUUUGUCAUUGUAUUUUUUUAAGCUGCAUAGCUGAACAAUUCGUAAAUAAAUUUGGGGGCUGGAAGCACUGCAUCCUUCUGUUUCUCUGUUGGACUUGGAAACUUCGUAUUUCUCGAACAGAAAAAUGUUACUUCAGCCCAUUAUAAGCCCAUAUCAGUCCAAAGACUCUUAUGUAUGACGCGAAAGAAAUCAUACUGUAAAACAACCAAGGGCCCAUCGGAAGUCUGUGUAUCAGUCCAAAGACUCUCCAUGCAUGACGCGUAAGAAAUCAUACUGUAACAUAACCAGGCUUAUUCUCGGUUAUUGUUUUCGAUUGCUUUUGUAUUCUCGUCAUAAAUUUUUUAUUGAUAAAAAAGUUAGAAUUUAUAACCAUUUGACGAGUAGUUUUUGCUGGUUUUGAUUAAUCUUUCUCAAUAAUCAGUUUUCAAAAUCAGAUUCCGUAAAAUUUAAAGCAACCGAGAACAAGGCGUAAGUGCAUAUUGGCCUGCAGAGGCAUCUCGAAUGAUUCCUUGAUACAAUUCCGACAAGAAGGCCUAAGUGCAUGUUGGCCUGCACAGGCAUCUCGAAUGACGACUCCUCCCUGAUACGAUUCGGAGCAAUGCAACAAUUGUAACCAAUCUGCAGUCCUUUUACUAUUCAAAGCUUGUAGUUUUACACACUACUUUAAUCAGGUCCGGCCCUUAAACACAUCUCACGGUGAUCUCAGGGAUCACCACUUGUGAUCCUGAACCAUGUCCCAGAAAGAAUUGAUUAAGCUAAUCGACAACAUGGCGUUUUCACCUGCAGGGGAACGAGUCAUGCCUUGUACAACAUUCCAAUUUCCAAUCAACAGAUAUCCUCGAAACGAUACAGAUGCAUAAUACCAGUUGUUCGGCAGCAAGGAAAUGUCCCAGGAUAUAUGCUCCAAAAAUGAAACAUAGGCCUGCAUAAGACAGACAAAUUGCGCGUUCACAAGAAAAAAUCCACUCAAGAUUGCUUUCUUCAUAAGUAGCAGGAAAAGCUGAUCUUGUUGCAAGCAUGGAUUUUUCAAAGCUCCUCAUCUCCUUUCUCCUUCUACAAUUUCUCUUCGCCAAUUACUCGACAGCCCAUGCAGCUCCAAAUUGUCCCUCGAAACUCUUCAGGGAAUACAUAGGAGCUGAGGGCCAGGACUUGACGUUUUCUGAUGUACCCAUUAAUGCCAAUGUCGAAUUCCAUUUCAUUUUAUCAUUUGCCAUUGACUACACAAAUUCAUCAAUUCCACUUCCCACCAAUGGUUACUUCAAUGUCUAUUGGGACAAGGAGAACCUCAGUCCUUAUCAAGUAUCUUGCAUCAAGGCCGAACAUCCUAAUGUCAAGGUGGCAAUGAGUCUGGCUGGAGAUACUGUUGGCGGUGGUUUCAACGCCUCCUUCGAUCCUGUAUCCGUCGAGUCCUGGGUGAGAAAUGCUAUCUAUUCAGUCACUAAUAUAGUCAAAGAGUACAACCUAGAUGGCAUAGACAUUGAUUACGAGCACUUCAAAGCAGAUCCUGAUACGUUUGCGGAGUGCAUUGGAAGACUUUUAUACUACCUUAAGCGAAACAGGAUCGUAACGUUUACAUCAAUAGCACCGUUUGAAGAUGAGGAUGUCCAACCACAUUACUUGGCACUCUGGAGAAAGUAUGGACAUCUCAUAGACUAUGUUAACUUUCAAUUUUAUGCCUAUCAGAAAGGGACAAAUGUAUCUCAGUUUUUGCAGUAUUUUGAAACUCAGAGAGGUAAGUACGAAGGGGGCAAAAUACUAGCAAGUUUCGGCACCGAUGAGAGUGGGGGCCUGAAACCUCAAAAUGGGUUCUUCAAUGCCACCAGCAUCCUCAAAAGCCAGGGCAAACUUGAAGGUAUCUUUAUCUGGUCUGCAGAUGAUUCAAAGAAGGAUAACUUUUACUAUGAGAAGCAGGCACAGGAUCUUUUGGCCCUCUAAAAAGUCAUCUCGCUGAUAUGUUUUCAUUGAAAAAUUUAUGUAUCCUUUAUUCGAAAAUUGUUGUUGUCCACUGUGACUGGAGAAUAAACUCAUGACGUCUAUCUUUAGCAUGCCUUUUCUUUUUUGGGGUUCAAAAACUAGAUAGUAUCAUGGAAAAGCAUAAUUUGCUAACAGCCGCUAAAUUGUUGAAGCGCAGAUUAAUGAUUGAAUUCAAAACUUAAGCAAUUAUAUUGGUCACAGAAGUAGGGAGACCACCUUCGUACUGUAUGAACCUUGGACUGUUAAAGUUUCAGAGUUUGCACAAGCCAGCAUGGAAGAUGCAUCAGAGGCAUUAUGUCUAUCAUCAGCAAAAGCUAUAUUUCCAUAGUCAGUAUGCUGUCGGCAAGUUGGGCACAUUACCCACUUAUUUCCAUGGUGAACAAAUCUCUGUUCAGUGAUUGCAAAUAAACCUGCAAGCAGAAGUGGAAGAUGCAUCACUAAGAUAUUUUAUUCGUUAACAUGAGGCUAUCCAUGCAUUUUCAGAAAAGAAAGCUAUAUGUGCAACCCAUAAAGGGGUUUUUUUCGGUUUUUUUUUGGGGGGGGGGGGGGGGGGGGGGGGGUGGGGUGGGGUGUGGGGACGGACGGAUGGGGAGAACUACCAAAGCCAAUAAUACUUCGGCUAUUUUCAUCCAUGGAAACAUGAAGAUGGUUUUGACACAGAAUUCUACCACACCAGAAAUUUCAGGAAACAAAACUUACAUUUACAACAAAUAACAUGCCCACAUUGGAAUACCAUCUUUUGGCCUCUGAGCUUCUCUUGACAAACUGGGCAAAAUUCCACAUCAGCUUUAGUUUGGCAUCGUUCAUCUUCCGUUGCAGAAGCGACAGACGCCUUGGCAGAUUCAGUUAAAGUUGAUUCAUUUGAACAUUCUGACUGCAAGUUUUGUUUAGAUUGCACCAAACCCUGGAAAAGAAUCAAGGAGGCAGCAAAAAUAAUUGAGUAUAACAGAACUGCUAUAAAUAAAAUUGCAGUGAAGAAAACCUAUCUACAACUGAGCAUUUUGCCUCACUAGCCCCACAGCAAAGUCCAGUGAGUUCAAGUUGAGCCUCGCCACCAAAUUCUCUAACAAAAUUGCCCAAGUGACUAAGGAUGAGAAGGAUUAAAAUCAUCUGCCGUGCAUGAGAUAGUGGCUGACGUGAACUAAGAAAGUUAACCAAUGAAAAAUCAUCAGCAUGAGGUAAUGCCUAAUGUGAACUUCAAAGGUUGAUCAAUGAGAUCAUCUUUUAGGCACAUGGUGCAACAAAUUGGACUUACGUGCUUGUCAACAGAAUAUUUAGAUAGGACAACAAAACAGCAGCUAUAACACUGAGUAGCCAUAAAAUGAGCUAGAAGAAAAAACAUAUCAGAUCAAUUUAAAUGACCAUAGGAAUCAGAUCAAGCUGAAAGUGGUAGUUGUAUAUUAAAACCUUGGUAAAUAACUGCUAGUUGUACAUUAAGACCAAUAAGGUAACCACAGAGCCUCUAUAAGAAAGCAAUGGUACUUUGGAGAUCUUAAAUGCUUUCAGAAAACUACAUAUGUAAACUGUAUCUCCAAAUUAAAAUACACGAGCAUGGUCAUUACUUUGUAAAGGGAAAUCCUAAAUAGUCACUACCAAUACAGCUGAUGCUAUUCUGUGGAUAAAUGCAAUAUACUCUUGUCCUCUAAUAGUAUCUAAAUUCAGAAUAAUAUUAAAUCACAGAACAAGCAGAAAGCUUAAAGACAAAACAUGAAUUUACUGAUUACCUUCAAAUAACGAAGUUGUCCUCUGAUACGUGCCAAUGAAGACACUGCCAGAAAUUUAUCACUAGAAUUUUGAGUACUUGCAGCAUCUAACUCCUCAGGACCCAAGGCAUCAACUGAAUUAUCUUUUUCAUCUUCUUUUAGUCGCAAUCGUGAGCUUGCCAUCUUUAUUUCAUCAUGAGCCCUAAGCACAUGAGCUUGGGCACGAGCCAAGGACCUUGCAUAGGCAUAUUCCUUGCGCAUUCCCUUUGGUAAUUUAAAUGCCAAAAUUCAGAUCAUGCAAUCCAGCAAGCUAGAGUUUUUAGUACCCAAACCCCCUCCGAGCGAGUGUAAGCGACAAAAUAUCAUUCUUACGUUUCUUCUAACAUAACUACAUUGCAUUCAUGUUUAGAAACAAAAAAACACAGCAAGACAAUAUCACACAUAAUGAGCUAACAGCUUGAGAUAAUCACACUAAUGCUACAGCUCUGAUCAGGACUUUGGCCAGAUAGACAAAACUCUGAAAGAGAAACCAGAAUGUGCCCACAAAAAUAACUCAUACCUCAAGAAGAAAUAGGUGCUUCGCAGCUGCUGAUGUGCCUUCUCUUUCUAACAAACCCUUGGCGUUGUUCUUGAUAUUCCCAAGCACCACCUCCAAAUCAGAGGGAGAUUUUGAAACCUAGUAAUCCAAUGUCAUUACAAAUUGUAAAGAACUGAAAAUCUUAGAAAUUGAUCGAGUUUUUCUCUAGCCUAAAGAAGCUAAUUCAACUUACAUUCUGCAAGCUAGGAAUAGCUAGAAACUCAUAUAACUUUAACAACCCACUUCUAUAUGUGGUGGUCUGACUAAUAGCUAGACGACUGAUAACAAUUUCAAGAAACAGCACAAUGAAGUUUGACAUGCAGGCAUGCAUGCAUCUCUGUCACUUUAAUUGCUGCUGUUUACACUAAAAAGAAUCUAUCAUAUGUUAAACUUGUCAAUUCCUAAUCUAACCCUUAUUAGAAUUUGAAAAGGCAUACCUUUGAAUUGAUUAAAACCGAAGUUUAGGCAUCAAAGUACCUAGACUCUACUAACCACCUCGACAUUUAUGAUCAUGAACUUUAAUGAUUUUCUUGUUUUGUGACCAACUCUGCAUACUGCAAAUGUAGCCUCUGUGAAUUAAUAGUCAAAAUGAUAGAGAGAAUACUUCUCCUACAUUAAGACAUCAAGUCUGCUUUGGGCAAUUGACAGAAGCUCACACUCUAUUCUAGCUCUUGCAGAGUGGUAUCCCACUAAUGGCUCAGGCCCCCCAGAAGGAGGCCUUCUUCACCUUCCACCUAAGCUGCACAGGAAAGGCCCAAAGCCAAUCCCAGGGACCGGUGAAGCUUCAUCGGAUCUGUCCAUAGAUUUUCCUUCCUUUCCUUUUGCUGCGUUUUGCUCAGAGGGUUGAAGGGAGAUAAUGCAGCAAGCUGUUGGCAAGGGCCAACUUGAUCUGUUUCCCCAGGGAUCUCAGAUGAGGAAACCCUGGGAGAGCUGCCAGUCCUAUCUUUUUUCACAUUCUGAACCUUUGGUUCAAAAUGGAAUGGCUUUUCUUUUUAUUGUGUGAACGGUGGAAUCAUAUGCAUGGUAUGCCCGGCCCCAUCAACCUAGAUGAUUUACAAGUGCAACAUCAUGAUUUCAUUCAGCUAUCCUGAAACUUGGAAGGCUGAUUACCCUAAUGAAAUGUUAAAUACUUCGCCCGGGCUCUUUUGAUCAUACAACAAAUUUUCCAACGCCAGUAAGCAUAUAACAACAAUGAUGAAGAUAUUCUUUCUAGUUUCAUCAGAACCAUUUGUUGAAACUAGCCAUUUGAGCCCAUCUAUUUUUCUGCAUAAUAUGCCAACAUUAAAUUGACAUCCUGAUAGAAAGACAAGACCAAAAAAGAAUGGAACAAAACGAUGAUUGUGAGUGCUAAAUUUUUCUCCACAUGCAUGAUAUUCUGCAACUGUUGCUCAAUCUAUGGCUCAUAUUAUAAGCAUAUAAUUUGGUAUCAAAGAAAAGACCACCUGCCUCAAUAUUACAGAAUAAAUAAACAGAACAAACAUAUCCGAGUAUUGGUACCUAGAAAUAUGAAACAAUUAUGUUCUGACUCACCAUCACUUUCUCCUUGACAUCCCUCUUCUUUCCAUCAUCUUCAUACUUGUUAGUAGUCAAAGCUGACUUAGGGUCAGGUUGUGACAAAGUGCGAUAAAAGUGAUUGAGUGCAGAUCUUUUCUUUUGCAAAUCUACUACUUCUUCAGCAGAAGUUAUCACCUCACCAUUCCUUCCUUUAUUUGUACGGAAAAGCCUGGCCUCAUAAACCUAUAGAAAAUGCAUAAUGUAAUAAAAUAUCAAAUGCAAUCCCCAACCUUUAGCUAAGUUGAUAAAGAAUCAAGCUAAAUAGAACUUAACUACAACACCUGAAACAAAUCGUCCAGCUCACAGUGGACACAGAGAGGACCAUGAUCAUUAUCUUGACAGUUUGAACAGUGCCUUACACGAUCAAUAUCUGCCUCGCUUGGAUUUUCCAUUGUGCAGUCGAUCUCCAAAAGUCUAUCAAGUACGUUUUUCCUACCCUCUUCCAAUGAAUCCAGGCCAGUCUGAAUGUAAUAUUUUAGGCUUGUUAUGCUACCAAAGCUGCAUUAAAGAAGCAAAAGUGACUAGCAGUCCAAAAAUAAUCUGAGCAAAAUAUUAAAAAACAUAAAAACAGGAAUUUAUUCCUGAGUAAACGAACCAGGAUGCAAUUCUUGAUGUACGUGAAGUACUCAGAGUAACAGAGAGAGCUUCCCCUAUUUUCCUGAUCAACUCACUUGAUGUGUCCUUGUUUUGCUCGAGAUGAUGCAGGGCAUCUAACCACCAAGUCAUGUGCUGGCUUUUCCUGUUGCUAAACUCACUAGAAACCUUCAAUAAGAACAAAAAGAUAGCAACUGAUGGUCAGCCAUUGACAAAUUUCUCUUUAGACCAAUCCAUGAAGAACUGGUCCACACACAAAACCACCAUUUCAUCUCCUUGCACUCGCAAAGAAAUAAUUCGCAAAAUGAUUUCUCACUGGAACAAACAUACCUGUUCAUAUGACUUCCAGAACUCUUGUUGAGCCAGGGACAAUUUUGAAUAGAAGAGAGAUAAGUAUUUCUGCUUUAAAUUCUCACAUACUGUUCUGAAAAAUUGAUCACUUGUUGAUUGAGAUGAAGCAUGUGGAUCAACAAUGAAUGCUGUCUGACUGGAACCAUUUGCCUCAGCAUAACAUGGUUGCUCGGGUAAUUUCUCAGAGUCAAUGACCAUAUUAGAGUUUCCAGCAUCAAUUUUUGCCCUUUUUACAGCACGUUGUUCACUCUCUUCAAGAUCACAUACCAUGGAUACAUCUUCUUUAAAGCUUCAAUGGACAUUCUGUGAUUGUUUUUUAUUGUCUGAUGACAACAGGAGUAUCUCAGCGAGAUUAUGAUGAAUAUGUAUGUUCAACAAAGGGUCCAAGCGAAAAUCUUCCAAGUUUUCUUCAGCUAAAGCAAGUGCUUCCUUAUACAAUGAAACUGCUUGUGCAAAAUCUUGCUUAAGUACAGCUAUACCUGCAAGUCCAUUUAUUGCAGAGACUAAUUUUCUCAAAGCUUCCUCUCCUUCUAUCUUUGGUUUACCUACAAGAGCCUACAUAGAACCCAAACAUACAAAUCUGCUUUAACAUUUGAAAUUUUCUGGCUAAAACUUAUGAAAGAUACAAUAGUAUGUUGAACCAUAGGCUAAACCUACCAACAGUAUCUCCUCCAUGGUCAUGGGAGAUUGUUGCAAAGAACGUAGACCAGAACUUCCCACUUGAGGAUGGCAGCAAGCUUGUCGAAGCUUCAAGAGUGAGUUAAACAUCUUUGCAGCCUCCACAUGCGUAAUGAACUCAUCAGAUAAACUAUCAGAAGUUUUGGAACCUAUGCAAGGGCAUCAAAAUAUGUAAUACAGUUUUUUUUUAAUGAAUUACAAUUGAAAGAGUGGAAGAGACCAUAAGUACCUGGUGCUUUUCUCUUGACAACGUCAUUCUUCAAAUUUCUAAUCACCUCAUGGGCAUCUUUUAAACAAGUCUCAUGCUGCCUCUGGUAAAAAUGCUCCUCAAUUGGUCAUACUGAUUCUUCCUGGGGAGGAAUAUGUAGCUCUUCUGCAACAUGCACUUUUGAAGAGCGCCACAUUAUCUUUCUCAAAAAACUGUGUUCAAACAUCAUAGCUCCUGCAUCCCCUGCCUGCAAAUUGAGAUCCUCUCACAUAAGAGGAAAGGGAAGGAGAACAUGACUACUAAUUCUGCAUGAAUGAGUACGGACAUUUGCAGUCAACAAUUAGAACUGAUAAUGUAAGGGUUAACUGAGAAACUUAAAGGUAUAUGGGAGAUUAAAUCACAGUUUCAAUGAACCAAAACAUCACUACGUCUCCCUUAUAAAAAAAUAGAUAUAUAAAAAAGACUCAAUAUGUUAUAUCCUCAUUAGAUUUACUAGAAGAUCCUAAGAAUUGUUAUAAGAAAACACCAUUUUUCCCUUUUUAUGUCUCUUUUGUCUCUAAGAAGACAAAAGAAGAAAAAAAAUGGUAUUCAGCACAUCAGCAACUUUCCAAGAUUGUAAAGCCAGAAUCUUUGCCAGAAUCUAAAGAUUGCAAGUUUCUUAAAAGUCAUAGGUGAAAGAUUUGAAUUCACUACAGCAGAGGCGCUGAUAUACCUCAUAGGGAUCACGUAUGACUUCAGCCCACCACCUAAAAACAUCAAAAGGGCAUGCUCUGAGGAAUUUCAAAAGCCCGUAUAAGUCAUCAAGCUUUCUCUGUAUGGGAGUCCCUGUAAUACACCACCGGUGCUUGGCAUGUAGCCUUAGUGCCAUUUCUGUUGCUGCAGCAGCAUUACUCUCGACCAUCUGAGCUUCAUCCAAACAUACUCUCCACCAUAGUAUUCUAGUCAGGAGAGUUGGGACAACUGGGUAUCUGCAGUUUUGAAAACCAAGGAAAUGAAAAAUAUUUCAAUCUUUGUCUGUAAUAUAAAUGCAAGAAUAUGCAGUAAAAUAAGGUUUCCAAUAAUUUUGCAAAAAAAAAUUGAUAUAAAAUGAUAUCCUUGAGAUAAAAUUGUAGAUCCAUGAAGCACGACUUAAAUAACCCAAAGAUAACAAGAUCAAUAGAUACUUGAAACUUGUAGAAUGACUAAGACAUAGUUGAGUCUGACAAAAAUUUUGGACUUGCAAUCUGAGCAAAGGGGUUUCCGUUUGUCCACAUGAAUAAUUCAAUGGUUAGACCUUCAAAGACUUCUGGAAAAUAUAGUAAUUAGUAAAUAUUGCAAGCCAUAUUUGAUAGUUGCAAUCCCGAGUUAUUACUGUAAUCUCUUUCAGAUGUUACCCAUGCAUUUUGGGGUUUAUCCCGGCAAUAAAUCACAAUUGCAAUUAUCCAGAUACUUCUCCGCUCCAGUCUCAAUGCAAAUGCUAAUGAUACAUCAUUGAAUCGUAGAGAUGUUCAAAACAUCUCUUCCUGGGAGAUUAUUUUCUGAACCUCCAAACAUAUGAUAGAGCCCUCAGCAAUUAACAUGUAAACGAAUACUCAUGCAGAGAACAACAUGAAAAAUCAGCAAUCAUCUGCAUUAACAUGCAUAUGACUGCCAGAUGUAAUCUUGAGAAUUUGAGAAAGGAAAUAACUUCUCCUACUAUCUAAAUAGGUGCAUAUAUUGCCAAGUGCUUAAUUACUUAAAUGCAAAAGAGAAAACAUACAGAUAGAGUUCUAAUAGAGGGGUGUCUUAUGAACCAUGUAAACACUAGAUAGUAUCAUGGAAAAGUAGAAUAUUUUCUACCCAAAUCCUAUAAAAGCAAGUAUAAUGGAGGUAUCCUGUCGCAGUUAGGGAUGUAACCGAAAGGAGCCGAGUUCAGAGCUCAAACUAUUGAUUGAGUCAAAAUCACUGAUUGGAACUCGAAAUUGAGUUUGGUUGAGUUUGAUUCCUGAAACUCAAACUCAAUUAAAUACAAAUGAGUAUUCUAGCUGGACUUCCCUUAUACAGGAAUGGUGGAGUCUCGCUAGCUCUGCAUUCAAGCACUAUUGGAUAAAUUUGUUUAAUACUAAUUGGGAAAAAAUCUCAACUAUUCCACAAACACAACACUCAAACAUCAAAAUCAAGCACAAUCACCAAACACUACCCUAUAUCUAUCUAAAUUUUCUUCCAACAAGACUUUCCAAUAUAUGUAUUUUAUUAUUGUCAUUGUUGUUGUUAUAAAUUUUCUUCCGUUAAAUCUUUCAAUUUGGUAAAUGUAAUGAAAGAACCAUUAGAACACAAAAGGACUUCAUAAGAGUUUAGUGGACUCUAGCUUUCUCAAAAUGGGAGUCCAUGUUUAACCAUUCAAACACAGUAUGAUCCUUAGUAUAUGAUUUGAACGACCUCAUAAUUGUCUAAUAGUUCCAAAUAAUAUAGACAAUCUGCAGAAUCAAACAAUGUUGUCUUGAUUCUUCCAAUAUCUCAAUCACAAUAUAAGCGAAAAAUAUGGAAAGAAACGGGUAAGAAACAUCUAAGAUCCACGUAGAAGUUGAAGCAACUUUCUCAAGUUGAGAACUUCGACAAGAUAUCUAACUCCACCAAUAGCAAUGCCAGACUCUGUUAUGCUAUUGCUUUUGUGUUAUUGUCUGAUUAUUAUUUAUUACGUUAUCCAGCACCAGACAAAAGCACAAAAUGAGAUCUUAUUAAAUAAAUUUUCAGUUGGACAAUCAACACAAUAUAGCCAGGACUUAAGUCCUUUGUGUUGUUACUCAAAAGAUCAUCAUAUAACCUGAAAUGCAAAUUACUCUUCUAUUGCAAUUAGCUUAAAAUUUUCUACUAUUACAUGAAUAACAGGAAUUACAAUCAAAGUCAGGCUGCAAAAUCUCGACCCAUGAAUUGUAACACAGGCAAAAUUUCCCUCAGUAACCUAUGAAUUACAAAAAGAAGAAAAUAGAAGUAAAACCAAUACCAUCGCUCAUAAUUCAUCAAACCCUUCAGUUUUCCUCUUUUUCCUCUUCUUCUUUUCAUUCUGCUCUGCAGAAUCACUUCUCUCUCCACCAUCAACCUCCCUGCUCUUCCUCUUCUUCCCUUUUUCACUGCCAACAUUUGCUCCAUCAUCUCCACCCUCAUUCUUUUUUCUCUUCUUCUUCUUAUCCUUACUCUUCACACCUUCAACUCCAUCCAUGUCUCUUUCAAUUUCCACAAUCUCUUGCUUAAUAUUAUUCUUAACCUUAUCUAUUUCCUCUCUAUCUUCACCUCUCCCAAUCUUCUCCUGUUUUUUCUUUUUCCUUUCCUCCCCAACCCCACUGUCAGGGCUUCGUUCAAUCUGUUCUCUCUGCUCACUCCUCACCUCCGAUUGGCUAUUUUUCUUUCCUUUUUUGCCAACAUUUUCUCCAUCCUCCUCACCCUCAUCCUUCUUUUUCUUCUUCUUAUCCUUUCUCUUCACACUUUCACCUUCAACUCCAUCAAUAAUGUUCCUUUCAACUUCCACAAUCUCUUGCUUAGCCUUAUUCCUACCCUCAUCUCUUUCCUCUAUAUCUUCACCUCUCACAAUCUUUUCAUGUUUCUUCUUUUUCCUUUCCUCUCCAAGCCCAUCAGGGCUUUGCUCAAUCUGUUCUCUCUCCUCAUUCCUUAACUCCGAUUGGCCAGUUCUCUUAUCUUUUCUGUUCUUGUCCGAACUUCUCUGUACCUUAACUUUGUCAAGCCUAUCUGCUUCUUGGUCAAUCUUCAACAAGCCUUCAGUGCUCGGCUCAAAUUCGCGAUUUUUCUUAUGUUUUCCCUUCUUUUCCGACCUUUUCACGGCGUUAACUUCAUCAAUCCCUCCUUUAUCCUUCUCAAUCUUUAACGGUUCUUCAUCAUUUACCUCUAAUUCGCGAUUUUUCUUCCGCUUGCUCUUGCUUUCCACAUUCUUGAUCUUUUCUUCAUCUAGAUUUUUGUCAACGGUGGCUAAAGUUUCAAUCUUUGUAUCAACAACAAGAGGUUGAGAUACCUUACGUUUGCGAUUCGAAUGGGGCGCUUUUAGCUCCUUGUGGAAUUGAACCAAACUGUUGAAGGCAUCAGAAGCGCGUUUCAGAUACACGCGGACGGCAUCGGAAGCUCCAUUCUCCUCUUCCAGGGAGGCGAAGGCGGAGAGGUUUUUGGCUGCUGAAGAUAGAGAGACUGGCUUUGUUGAUACCACUUGGCCUGUGACAGUCUUCAUUGGAAUUUGACUAUUUUGAUACUUUUUGGGGUUAAUUCAGCUGCGAUUUAGGGUUUAAGGGGUAUUCGUCGGGGUGGCGAUCGAUCAAAAUCGGGUUGGUGGGUCGGGUUGAGACCCGGAUAUAACAGAAAAUCCCGCUGACUCGAACCUGACUCGAACUCGAAAAUUUUGAGUUAGCGGGUCAAUCUGAAAUGAUUCGAAAUUUAAUUUUAAUUUAUUAAUUUAUCACUGUAAUUUUUUAUAAAACCAAUUUCGCACAAGACUAAUUACAUAAUCAAGUAAUAAAAUUUUAAAUAAAUAAUUCCAAAUCAAAUAUAAAAUAAAUUAAAAUAAUAUAAAAGUAAAAAAAAUAUAAUACAUUAUUUAUCCAAAUAUCAUAAUUUUAACUUCACACAGGUUAAAUAAAUUCAUUUAAAAUUAAGUGAUUAAUGCCUUUGGAAAAAAAGAAUAACUUAGUUUAGUUAGAUAAAAUAAUUUUUAUGUUUAUCAAAUUAUUUUUAAUUCGUAAACGGAUUAUCAGGUCAUUCAUAGGUUGAUCCGAAUUCGACCCGUUUUCUUUUCAGGGUUCAUCGGGUUUGACCCGAUUCUAAUCCGAACCCCCGAGACCUCAAUCAAAAUUCAUUAAUUUCGUGUUAGAUUCUUGUCGUGUCAAAAAUUGCCACUGCUAGAUUUUCGGAGGUGAAGUCAAACCGGGUCGAAGACCCUCAGCCAAGCCCGGGAUCUUAAACGGAUCAGACCCAAUAAAACAAGAACCGCUAAAGUAGGGCAAAAAUUUUUCUGAAUGAAAAUGUAACACGUUAAAAUAAAUUUCCCACUGCAAAAAUAGGAAAUAGGAAACUUAGGAGUCAAUAGCAUGUACAAGUUUGAUAAGACCAUUGAAAUGUACAUGAGAUCUUCAGUCUUCCUCAAAAAAAAAAAAAAAAGAAGUAUACGAGGUCAUACGUACAAACAUGAAUGUGAUACAUGUUUACAUAUAACAAUUGAUUUAGGAUUCUCUUGAUGGAAUACACUUGAGUAAUUACAAGUAAUACUGAUAUCUUACUUAAUUUCAUGUUAGCAUCACAUAUUAUAAGAUACAGAAUAAAAUAUAAAUUUGUGUUGAAUUUAUCUUCUAAACUUCACCCUUACAAAAUGGAGAAAAAUUAAAACACAAACCAAAGGUGGAGAAAGGGAAAAUUUUCAAUUAUAUCAUGUCAAUUGGUCAUUCUUGUCAAUAAUAAAUAUAAAACUGUUUUCAACUUUCUUACAAAAUAAUAGAUAACAUUUAUCUUAAAAAAUGUUAUUACUUUUCUCCUAUUCUUAGUGUAACAACGUUAAUUUUGUAGUUAUGAAUGGACUGAAUAUACAGCGUAUGAAGGGAAUGUUUGGUUGAAUGAUAAGAUAGGAGAGAUUAUGAAUGAGAAGUUUUGAAAAUAAAGUUGUAUAUCUUACUUACAAAAAGUUUUAAAAAAAUACAAAAGUGUAUGCUUGUGUUUAUUUAUUUUAAAUUACACAUUUAUCUUGUUUCAUGUUUUCCAUUUACUCAAAAUCUUACAUUGAUACCUUCCUUAUCUCUUUUCAUCUUGAAAUUCUUAUUAUUUUAUCUAAAGAAAGCUACUAUUAGAAAACUUCCUCCUCAAUUUUCAUAUUGAAUUCUUAUUUUUUCUCCUCUUAAUAUUCCUGCUAUUUUCUCUAAAGAAAGCCAGCAUUAGAUUUACUAUUUGGAGGGUUAGAAGGCAUCUAAACUCCUUACAUAUUAAACUUCCAUAAAAUUUCAAUAUCAAAGAUUAAAAUGAACACAAAAAUUUAGAAAAUUCAUUAGUUAUUUUUGGUACAAACUCCUUUUAUCUUUCUAUUUGCUUAAAAAGGGGGGUGAGGAAAAUAAGAAAAACAUAUUUAAGGCAAUUCCGUUUGUGAGACUCGAUCCCGCAACCGCCUUCGACGGAGGAAAAAUGAGCCAAUCGAACCCUGCAAGGCUGCAACGUUCUCACUCCACCAGCAUACCGUCUUGAAAACUAGGUCAACCGUUCGCACAAAUUUUUAGUUCAGCUAUUGACUUUAUAUGCUGCCUCUGCCAGCUUUAUUUAUCAGUUCUGCAACCGCUGACAAACUCUAAAACCCUCCCGCCUAAUUCUUAAACCUCAGUUUUUCUGCGUAAAUUAGCAAACAUUAGAAAAAAUGACGAGGAUAGCGUAAGCUCCGAUUCAAUUCACAAAACAGCCCUACAUUGAAGAUGUCGGCCCUCGCAAAAUGUAACUGAUCUCUACUGCUAUUGCUCUGUUUUUUUUUUUUUGGUUAAUCUUAAAUAGGUGAAAUUCCAAUGUGUUUGAUAAUUUCUUUACUUUUUUUUUUGUGGAAAUUUGUGAACAGAGAAAGUAUUCAGUUUUCUACAUUCGGAGAAUCCGAGAUUCUGAAAGCAGCUGAAAUACAAGUAUACCGCGGUGUAUAUUAUGAUUCUGCGAAAAGGCCUUGGGAGAAUGGCUUAUUAGACCCUCAUAUGGUAUCUUAUUUAAUGUUCAUUGUUUCUUUUAACAGUGGUGAACUAUUUUUGCGUACGAUGAACUGAUAGCCGUGAUUCAUUUUCCAUAUUUUCUAUCUGAUGGAGAAGAAAAUGUAUCUGCUAUUGUUAUUUCACAUUUAAAAGAAGAAGAGAAGGGGAGUUCGAAUAAAUAGCAUUUUCUGGGGAACUGAUGAUGCAUCAGUUAUCUUUUAGGUCUCUUUUGUGCAGCUAGAGUUUGUUUAAUCUGUCAAAUUAUGCGAUAGGAAUUGCUUUGUUCAGUAAAUUACUUGUAAUAGUCUAUUGAUAAGGGGAUCACUUCCAGUGACUUUCUAAUUUUCUAACAAGCUAAAUCAAUGUUGUUUUUGAAUGUAGGUACUGCUGUUGUUUCCAAUUUAUUUAUAGUUCAGAAGUGUAUUAAUUUAUUGGUUACAUUUUUGAGUUACUGGAAUUGAUAUUAGAAAUCUUCUGAAAGGUGCUGUUUGGUCCAGGGCCCCGCAAACAAGAAUGGAAUUUGUGAAGCAUGCCAUGGGAACUUUAGGGAAUGUCCAGGGCACUACGGAUAUUUGACUCUUGCUCUACCAGUUUACAAUGUUGGAUACUUGAUUACUGUCCUCGACAUCUUGAAGUGCAUUUGCAAGGUAGAUGCUUAUAGUUCUACUUAUAUGUUUGUGCAUAGUGUUUACUUUGACAUGCAAAUCUCUCUCUCUCUCUCUUUUGGAUUCAAGUUGAUGCAAAGUAUACUUCUUAUUUGCUGUUGGUUCAUCAUUUUGUAAGUAGGACUGACUUGAAUAAUUAUGGGAGUGCUAGGAUGACAUUCUUUUGUCUGAAAAAAAAAUUCUUUUACCAAUCUGCCUUCUAUUUGCCACUUGUGUCCUCAUGUGCCCAAAAAAAAAAAAAUUCGCCUUCUCCUUGCACUCAGAACAUGCAAAGAGGUGCUGUUUCUAGAAGCAACUACUUCUGCACGUGGGAAAUGCUAAAUUUGCUAAUGGGAGUCAUCUGUAGAAGCAGCUCUGAAUAGUUUAAGACUAUCAUCUUGGAAUGUUAAGAGGUUAAAAUGACCUUCUCUCAUUUUUCUGUUGGGAUUGUAGCUAGUGAUAUGAUAUUUGGUAAGUUCUGCUAAUGAAAAUUUCAUCUGAAUUUUUGAGAUAAAGUUUCUUUCGGAAGUUUCCUUCCAUUACUGGGAGUCAAAGCACAUGAGAUGAAUAAUUUUUCCCACGUUGUCAUUUUUUAGUUGCCUCCUCUCUCUCUCUCUCACACAUAUUUUGGUGAAUGGUGCUCGGCGUGUUGAAUGCUUUAUCAGAGUUAAAUUUUUAGCUUAUUCAUUUAUUUUUCUCCUAGUGUGUUUUCUAGUUUUGGAUGAUUUUUUCUUCUUCAAACAGCAAUGUUCGCGUGUGCUUCUCGGGGAGAAAGAACGCCUUAGCUUUCUAAAGAAGAUGAGAAAUCCCAAAAUCGAGCCCUUGAGGAAGAGCGAGCUACAAAAAAUGGUAGUGAAGAGGUGUAAUGCCCUAGCAAGUAGCAGAAAAGCAGCUACUUGUUCUAGAUGCGGCUAUGUAAAUGGUUUGUGCCUGUACUUUCUUUCAAUAUUAUAGUCAAUUAAGUCCAAUAUGGUGUUUGGUUAACGAUUCAAUCGAGUUUAGAUAUGGUGUUUGUUUAGCAAUGUAUAGUCCUAAAACUACCACUAAUUUCCCUUUAGUACUCCAAAAGCAAGGUGGGAAUAGGGAAAGGGAAGAAAAUGAUAUAUAUUAAGUGCAUAGAAAAGAGAGAAAAUAGGAAAAAAAAAAGAUAAAGUAGUGGGCAUGCAAAGUUAAAAUAAAUAAAUGCUUUUUUGCUGUGUACUUUCACAUCAAAUUUUGUAUUACUUUGGGUUGUGAAGAUAAUGUCAGGUUACUCUUAAAAAUAAAAAACCUGUUUUCUCAUUCACCUUAAUACAUUUUCUGGAUAAAGGUUUGUAAAACUUCAGGAUGUACUUACUGCAUGAAUGAGAGGUUUAGGCAUGUUAUUGGGGGCUAUUUGUUUAAGAAGCAGUAUGAGUCCCUUUCCUGCAGUGUAUGUUUUCAUAUGUAUGUGUAUAUAUAUGAGGAAAUUUCAUGUGUAUGUGCAUAUAUAAGUGGAGAUACAUGUUUGCAGUGUAUAUUUCUCUGUUUUAGUGAUAUGAAUGUGAGCCAAGUGUUUUGCUUUUAUCUUCUUAAAGUCAUCCCUUUUGGUUAAAGCUUUGAAAAUGUAAGACAUAAAUAAUAAGUCAAGCAUGAGAAUAUAGUGUGUGGAUAUUUGUAUUCACAAGGUCAAUGAGACAAGAAGUAAUAUCCACAAUCCCUGAACAUGAUUCUGCUUUAAGCUUCGAUUCUUAGGAACUUCAUUUGGGUGUGGAUGCAGAAUGAGACCUCUGAAGAGAGAUGAUUGGGGAUGCUAAACGUCCUGGUGAGAACUUAUUUUUGGUGGGUGAGUUGCUGUUACGGUCACUGAUAAGAAUGAAAAACCAAAAAGGCAAAAGUUGUAGUUCAUAUUCUUUUUGGUACUCUGGUUGAAUUUCCUCAAGUCACAGAGCAGCUUAUUUUUGCAAAAGUAGGGCUGAAAUUUGUUUUGAUAGUGGAGCAGUUGUAAAGCUUUGGUAGGUUAUUUUUGCGGGCAUAGUGUGAUAAUGAGACAAAAAGGGGACAUCUUUGUACACAACUAUACAUUAUAAAAUUGUUUUCAGUUUGUCCCUGCUGGUCCCCUCCUCCUGCCACACUCGUCAUAGGACCUCCACAAAGUGUUUCGAAGUUAGCCAACAUCCAAUUAGUGGUAGUUGGUCAUUACACUUUUAAAGACAAUCAAGAGGGAAGUUUAUCAUGUCCCAAUCGAAUGGAUAAUUUAUACAAAUUACUUGAGGGCAAGGUCUGUUCAACUUAUCAAAAACUAGGGAGGGGGAGGUCUGUACCGUGAAUUUUGUUCAACUUUUCCAUGUUGCUGUUAAAUUAAGAAGCUUAUUCCUGAGCUUUUCUUGAUCAUGUUUCAGUGUUUGGAGAGAGAUUUCAUUUUUAUUUGAUUUAGAUAAACUUACUAAUUACAGGCAUAAUUUUUCCCUGAAUAACCAAAUUUAGUUUAUUAUCUUUAAAUUAAGAAUAUUCUUUGUUUCCAUUUAUGAAGAGCAUUUGCAUCCUGAGCUGAAACCUUUGUCCUUCAAUAAUCUAUAUAUUAUUCUUUUUAUUAAGUGCAGCUAUGUUUCUAAUUUCGUACUGCCAACAUGCUGGAAAAGUGUGUCCCUUGGAAAAAGCUUAGAGAAAUUAGGUUACAAGUUUGUGGGCAGUUGGAGUUUUACCUGUUUCAGUGCUGUAAAUUUACUGACAUCUUCUUAACGUGGUUUCAUUGCAGCUAUGGUGAAAAGAAUACUAAGAUGUUAGGCAUCGUGCAUGAAAGGACAAAAGUCAAUGACAGUUUCUUAAAUGAAUAUGGUUCUGCAAUUUCACACACGAAAGACUCUAACACAUCCAAUUUUAGUGUUCCUGAUGAAAUUGACCCUAAAGUGGUUUAUUCCCUUCUCAAGAGAAUGCUGGAUGAGGUAUUAUCUCUUCUGUGAUACAAAAUUUAUCUGCUCUGUAGCUUAGAUCAUCUACAGAUUAUUUAUCUGAGUUUGGCUCACAUUUAUGCAAUUGUGUUUCCUUUGAUUUCCAUCUUGAAUCUUCUCUACAGGACUGCGAGUUGCUGUAUUUAAAUGAUAGACCUGAGAAACUCAUGAUUUCAACCAUUCCUGUGCCUCCAAUAGCUAUUCGUCCAUCAGUUUUUGUGGAUGGUGGUAUGCAGAGGUAAUGUCAAAAACAUAUGUGCUAUUUUUUGUCAUUGCACCUAUUGUCCAAUCAACUGGGAGGGAAUGAAUAGAUUUCUUUUCAGGAGCAAAACGUACUGGUUUCAGUUUUGCUUUUUUUUUUUUUGGUGGCAUUUCUUCCUUGAAUAGAUAGGAAGAAUGUAAUCUGGUACUUGAGUGAUAGGUUUAUGUGGUCAACUGAACUGUUGAUAUGCUUGUUUAUGUACUAAAUAUUAGUGAAACCCUCUUGGGUGGAUCACAUUGCAAGAUGUUUAACGGAUAUUUAUAAUAACCAAAUUGAAUCAUACUCAAUAGGUUUCGAAUUAUUGCUAAUCCUCUUGAAAUUUUAGUUUCACAGCUGAAUUAGGGUAACUUGUGAUUUUAUAGUUUUAUAACUUAAAUUUGGAAUGAAAAGGUAUUAGAACAAUCCUCAUGGACUCAAAUCCUUUAUGGAUCUGUGUCUAAGACAGGAGUGGAGGGCAAGGCAUGCAAGGAGAAGCAAUGCAAUGGAAAGAAAUUGUUAUACUGGAAUUUCUCUAUUGCCUUGUACUGAUGUAUGUUUUUUUUUAAGACCUGAGGCCUGCUCACUCGGGGAUUUUAAGUUCACUUAAGUCACUGAUUAACAUAGGCGUCGUCAAUCAUAAUUAUUAAAUUAACUAAGUGUAUAUAAUGUAGCUUUAUAUUCUGGGCUUAUGUUCUAGGUUUAUUAUAUCAGCUUAGUUGCAUUAUGAAAAAAUUGGUACUAUAUGGAUGCUAACAUGGAGUAUCAAUCUUGAAAAGCUUCAAGGAAUCUUGGCUUGGUAUACAAACCAAAUGUUGAAAAAUUGAACUUUGAUAGUUGAGCUGGCAUAAAAACCUAGCUAGAGUGAUGCAUUGAAUUUUUCUUUUUCCUGCUUGAGCCACAUAGUUUGGAGUGUUGUGGAAGAAUUUAUGCAAUUAAAUUUUAUGGCUGGCAUGUUUGAGGAAAAUUCUAUAUAAUAUUCUGGGAGAUGUAUUUAUGGUUCUUCGGAAAAAGAGGAUUAAAAAUCUUUUGGAUCCUGCUAAAUGCCUGCACAUUGACAUUGUACAACACUAAUAUGUGCAGUAACGAGAAUGACACUACAGAGAGACUAAAACGCAUUAUCCAAGCUAACGCUAGUCUUCGUCAAGAAAUAUCAGACACAAGCCUUCCAUCCAAAAGCUUGGUAUGAUUUUUGUUUCCCAAGUUCUAUAUUCUCUGACUUUGGUUUGUUAUUUACUUCCAUAUCCAUUUUGUAAUUAUUUGUCUGCUAGAUUUGUGUCACACAUCUUUGAUAACUAUUCUCUAUGCUUACUUUUCUUUUUGAGUUUUUAUUGUGUCUUUCUUAAUUCUGAAUCUGCAUGCUAAUGAUUGUUAGAAAUGUAAACACAAAUAACUUUUUUUUCCUUACAUAAAAUAGGAUGAAAAGAAAGAGGACUGGCUGCAGUAUCAUCUUUGACUCUGAUUGAUUCUCUUAUUGUUGUGUAAUUUGAAAAGAAAAGUGCUUCAAAUUAAGAAAAAUUGCACAAUGAGAUGACAGGCACUGCUCCAACCCUAUCAACGAAAGGAAAUAUAAGAAAACAAAGACUAUACAUGCUUUUCUUUGCUCCCAACUGGAAAAUCUGAUUGCUCAUGUGUCCUCGUGUUUGGCAAAGCAUGUUUCGUGGGGAUGUUGUCAUGUUUCAGUGAUCACAUUGACCCAAUCCAUCAUAUGCUAAUUUAUAUUCUUGUAUUGUGGAUACUAUUGUUCGAGAUGUCAACAUUUUGCUGCAUGCCCUUGACUGUAGUUGAAUGCAUGGGGUGUAUCUCACUGAAAUCUCCAAUGCCUAUUGGUUAUGUGGGGGUGCUAUGCUAUCUGUGGAUUUCAUCAUUUUGUAUUACCAUGCAUUUUGAGAGAUUUAUGGGCCUUUUAUCCUGUUUUGUGUGGUUUGCAUUCAUUCCCAUGGUUAUACCGACACCACAGCUUCUUGCUUUCCCUGUCCGAUGGUGUAACAAGUUCCUUCCCAGCAAAGCCCAUCAUACCUUCUGAAAAAACUGAAAAUGCCAAAAAGUUAAAAUUUGCAGCUAGUAUCAUUGAUUUAAUUGGCAUUGACAUAAUAGUAAUAUUUCAUCUAUUAAGAAGGUCACCCUGAAUACCUGAAAUAGAGAAUUAUAGCAAGAUUUCACUCCUACAUCUUCUAAAGCCCCUUUGAUAUCUCUUCAUCUGCAACUAAUUCUUGGUUUGUUGGGUAAAUAUUUAACUGCAUGUUAUGGAACUGUUUAUAUAGACUUGAAUUUACAAAAUUUCCUGGGAAUCGUGUACUACAUUCCUGUGAUAGUGGUAUUUUUGGAUAAAUCUAAAUGAAAUUGUUUCUUGGUCUUCCAUUGCUUCUCUUUUUCAAUGUCCAGGAAUACGUCACAAAAUUAAUUGUAUUGUGCCAUUGCAAAUGUAACAUCACUUCUGUCUUUGAGUAUAUCUUCUAAUGCACUUCUAGUGAUUUGUUCUUCACCUGGUUUAGAAUGGUUGGAUUGAUCUGCAAGUGGAGGUUGCACAAUAUAUAAAAAGUGAUGUACGUGGAGUUCCCUUAUCUGCACCAGCUACCAAACCUUUAAGUGGUUUUGUCCAGCGUCUGAAAGGGAAGCAAGGAAGAUUUCGUGGAAAUCUAUCAGGAAAAUGUGUUGAGUAUACAGGAAGAACCGUUAUAUCUCCUGACCCAAAUUUGAAAAUCACGGAGGUAUGUUGUUUGAGUUAACUCAUUUCUGACUUAAGAUGAUGGUUUACACCAUGAGAAUAUCCUGUCUAGGUGAUUAAGGUAAAAGUAAUUUAGCCCUUCUUACAGCGUGAGAGCCACACCAGUUUGUGUCCCUUUUGAUUGAUUUCUUCUAACAGGCUUUCUUUUCCAGGUUGCGGUUCCUAUAUUGAUGGCUCAGAUUUUAACGUAUCCUGAGCGAGUGUCCUAUCAUAAUAUAGAGAAGUUGAGGCAAUGCGUGCGAAAUGGGCCUAAAAAGUAUCCUGGAGCAAAAUACAUCAGGCAGCCAGAUGGUACCGAGAUGUAAGGAGUGUGUAUGUUGGGGCCUUUUUGUUUGUUGGCUAGAUCUUAUGUUUCCUUAUUUCACAAAUGUUGUUGUCCAUUAUGCUGCAGAUCAUUGAAGUUUAGUUCUAGAAAGCGUCAUGCUGAUGAAUUGAAAUUUGGUUACAUAGUUGAUCGUCAUCUAGAAGAUGGAGAUGUUAUUCUCUUUAACAGACAACCGAGUCUGCAUAGAAUGUCCAUCAUGUGUCACAGGGUAAUUACUGCAGUAUAAAUACUGAAGCAUUAGAGUGUCCUUAUUUAGUUUUUAAUUUAUUUGUCCUUUUUUAUUGGCAGGCAAGAAUAAUGCCAUGGCGAACAUUGAGAUUUAAUGAGUCCAUCUGUAACCCAUAUAAUGCUGAUUUUGAUGGUGAUGAGAUGAAUAUGCAUGUGCCUCAAACAGAGGAGGCUCGCACAGAGGCGCUAAUGUUGAUGGGAGUAAGUAGUUAUUCAUGCCUUAUUUAUAGAUUUAAUUUAGCACCAAGUUUUAGAACAUCUUUUCUCGCGAUUGCUAGUAGAAUUUCAUCGCUGCAUUUUCAGCGUUUUGUUUUGUAUGUGAUUUUCUUUUCUCUUUGAAAUGUUAUUGACAAUUCUGCAGGUGCAAAACAAUUUAUGCACUCCAAAAAAUGGAGAGAUUUUGGUUGCUUCCACACAGGACUUUUUGACAUCUUCAUUUCUCAUUACAAGGAAGGACACAUUUUAUGAUCGUGCUUCUUUUUCACUUAUGUGUUCAUACAUGGGGGAUGGGAUGGAUCAGAUUGAUUUGCCAACUCCUGCACUACUUAAGGUUAGUUAAACUGAUGUAAUUAUAUUCUCUAAUUGCUACUUGAUUGAUAAUGUCUUUUUUAUUAUUAUUUUGACCUAUAUAUUCACCUCUUAUUCUUUUGGAUGGAAUAGCAGAUCCUUUUACCUUUAAGUUUCUUAAUACACCAUUUUUUCUUUUUCUAAGUCAUAUUUCAUGAAUUGCCUAUAACGUGCAUGAAGUUAAUAUUCUUAACUACUUUAGACCUUUUAGGUUGAAAAAUGAUCAUGGCCUAAUAGUAACCCUAAAGUGGUAGAGAAUGUAGUUGAUCUUCUUAUAUUCAGUUCCAAGUUGGAGGCCUAGUUUUUUCCUGUCAAGUGGGCACCAUGCUAGUUCUUGUAGUUUCUUGUUCAAAUUAUAAGGUGCCCUGUUUGGAAAGUAGGAGGAUUUGGGAAAUUAUAGUGUUGGUUCUUUAUGCCUUUUUUUUUGUUGUUUUUGGUGGGGGGGGGGGACGGUGUUGUAUUGUUACUUGCACUUGGUGCUGUUACUGUAUAUAUGAUUUUUGCCUGUGCAGCCAGUUGAACUUUGGACCGGUAAACAAUUGUUCACUGUACUACUGCGUCCAUUUGCAAAAAUGAAAGUCUAUGUGAAUCUAACUGUUGCUGAAAAGAAUUACCAAAAGCCCAAAGAAACCAUGUGCCCGAAUGAUGGAUUUGUUUGCUUCCGUAAUAGUGAGCUGAUUAGUGGACAAUUGGGAAAAGCUACAUUAGGUGAGAUUCUUUCCUUUACUCCAAAAAUAUAAUGCGUGCCUACUUUAUGAAUUUUGGGUUGCUUCUGCUGUUAAUGUUUUCUCUCUCCUGCACUUGUUUUAUGAGGAGCAACCUGUAAGUUAAUUGCCAAGUUUUCUUAUUUAGCCUAAUUAGAGUAUGUUGCAGAGUCAAAGUAUACCACUUUUUGCCUCAGAUUCAGGCUUUUAUGUUGAGAUGCAUUUUCAGUUUUGCAUACUAAAUGACCCACAAACUUUGACCUCUGCAUGAAUUUGUGAUCAUGAGACUUGCCUUUAGAUUUUACAAAAGUCCCUCUAAUUUAAUCUGUGGUCUUUUAUUGGAUUUUUUUGAGCUGAUAUCAUGUUGUGGAAGAGUUGAAGGCUAAGAUUGGGUUUAUUGUUUUAAGGUUGAUGCCUUCUUUUUGAAGGGAUGAUUCUGAAAGUCAUCUUUUCGUCUUGAAAUGUAUUAAGUUGUCAUGAAGCUUUUUUUGGAGAACUAUUACUUUAUCAUGUUUUUAAAAAAAGUUCCACAAAAAAUAUGAAUGUAGAAGAUUGAAACACAAAAUGGAAUCCUUAUCAAGUUUAUGCAUGUUCUUCUGUUUGUUAUAACUUUUCAUACUGUGAGCGAGAAAACCCAUACUUUCACCAAAAAAGUAUGAAAUGUGAUUUUUAGAGCUGGCUUUAAUGGGCAUCAUGUUCAUUUUAGCUCAGUUUUCAUUUGAUAUUCCAUCCUAAAGCAAGUAGUUUCUGAAUAGAUUCUAAUCCUCAAAUAGAUAGUCUAAUAUGUUAAUGAAAAAAAUAGGGAUGAUUUCACAACCUCUCCCGAGAUUUAUGACAUUUCAGUUAGCUCCUAUCAGAUUGCAAUAAUUAAACUUGCAUUCUAUUUUCAUACUGAUAGAGGUCAAAAUAAAGUUACUUUACUGUGUAAAGUGUCUGUUAACCUUCUCAUGUUCCUUAACGUAAUAAUCUAAAAACAAAGAUAGAAAGAAAGAAAGAAAUUCUACUUAGAGUGUGGCAUCACAUUAUUUGUUUGUCCCGUAUAUGCAAUUUGUGCUAGUAUAUCCAUCUUUUGGCCUCAUGUUUUUGGCUUUAGAAAGAGCACACUAGAAUAAUUUAAUUCAUUAGGAUAAGAAACUUGAGUGUAUUUAAGCACAAUGUAGCUCAGCAUUUGUGUGCUGGAAAAGAUUUAAGUUCUAAUUUCUGCAAUAUGCUGUUUUUUGUGUUUAUUGGUAGCUUUGGAUGCCUUAAAAUGUAAAGCUCAGAACAAGAAGUACUUAUGUUUGAGAUUGGAACAGGGAAUGGGAACAAGGAUGGUCUUUAUUCGGUCCUCCUAAGGGACUAUAAAUCACAUGCUGCUUCAGUAUGUAUGAAUCGCUUAGCAAAGUUGAGGUAUGUUAGUAGUGGCUUUUGACUGGCAACCAACCUUUUCCUCGUGUCUCAACAUUGUCUGUUAAUAAGGUUUCUCAUUGAACAGACACAUUAGUGUGUCAUAUACUUUCCAACCACUCAUUUUGGCAUUUGUUUUAAAUUAUUGAUGUAUGUAAUUUGAACUUUGUUUUGAUAAUGUAAUUGUUAAGAAGCAAACCUCCUGUAAUCUUUCAUAUAUUCCUCUGCAUACUCUCUGCCAUAUCUUACAAGUAAUAUAAUAGGUAGUUGCAGUUUUUGUUGAAAAAAAAAAUUCAGAGAGUUUAAUAUUUAUAAGCUCAUUUAUUAAGAAGAUUGUAUAAUCCAAUGCUUUUCAACUAUUGAUUGUUGUAUAUGGUUUACUAUUAAAUUUCCAGGUGUUGAGCAAUGGAUUCCUAGUAAACUUGUCAGUUGUCCGGAAUCUUAUCCAUAUAGUUUUUCUAUGGUCAGGCUUACCUGACCUCUGCAAAAUUUUGUAGUAACUAUAAAUCGUGUCUUGUUAUUUUCAAAUUCUAUUGGAUACAAGUGAUCAGGAUACCUUCCUGCACAGUACCUGAUCAAGAUAACUUCCAUCUUUAGCCUCAUGAUCUAAUGAAAAUCUACCACUUAAAAAGUACUUUGAACCAAGCUCCUUGUGCUUCUCCAGAACAAAAUGAGAUCUGUAACUAAAUAUCGCAUCGACGAUGGGCAUCCUGGAGUUCCAUAACUGCUGAAUGUAUCUCUAUCUUAAAUUUACUUAACCCCCUACUCUAGACGGGCUUCAUAUUUUUCUAUGUAUCUGUUCACUUUUGACCCUCUUUAUGAUCUCUUGGUGGCAGUUUUUUUUUUUUUUUUUUAACUUGGAAGUUAAACAUCCUUAAUAUUCUUGUCUUUUUUUUGGGGGGAUGUUCAGAGAUCUUUUCAUACAUCUUGUGCGACUGGCUCUUGGAAUUCAAAAUCAUGUUGUCCAAUGAAGGCCAAUCUUUUCGUUACUUCCCUAGUCAACCACCAUCAGCAAUAUUUUAGCCACUCUUUUACACCCCCAAGCCCCAAAACCAACCCCAACCCCAAAAAUAAAAAAAGAAGGCAAUAUCUAAUUUGAUUGAAUUACUUGAACCUGAAACUGAAGUUAUUUAUCAUACCGAGUUUGGACAUUAAUUUUAGGUUCUUUGUGGAAUACGAAUUUGAGCACGCUGGAUUUCAAGUUCUUUUCUUUUAAAUCCUCGCAUAAAUUUCGAUCUGCCUAUUCUAACAGAACUUUAGAGUCUUUUCAUCUUGUCUACUGCUUAAGGAUAGCUAUUGCCCACUUACUGAUCUUUUAGGUUAUUUGGAAAAUUAUUUUGCAAUUCCUGUACUUUGUUUUGCUCAUAUAUGUUGAGUGCUUUAUGGUUCGAUAUGCUGGAUUGUAAUUUACCUUUUGUACUUCUAUUCAUGUUGUCUACUGCUUAUGGAUAGCUAUUGCCCACUUACUGAUCUUUUAGGUUCUUUGGAAAAUUAUUUUGCAAUUCCUUUACUUUGUUUUGCUCAUAUAUGUUGAGUGCUUUAUGGUUCGAUAUGCUGGAUUUUAAUUUACCUUUUGUACUUGUAUUCAUUGCUAUGCUAAUUGAUGAACAAUGCUAUUUUGGGUUGUUAAGAUGGAUUUUAGUGUCUUUCAUGUGAGGCUGACAGCUUAUUGUGUGAUACAAUUGCUCUUGAAGUCUAUUAUAUUUGCUUCUUUAUCUGGACACUUUCUCAGGACUGAAAUUUCUGUCACAGAUUCAAAGUAGCUCUACUCAAUGAGUAUUAUAUUCAUUUUUCAUUUAAAAUGUCAUUUGCAGUGCAAGAUGGAUAGGGAAUCAUGGAUUUUCUAUCGGCAUUGAUGAUGUGCAACCACCUGAUCGUCUAAUUACUGCAAGGGAUGAAAAAAUUUCCACAGGAUAUGCAAUGUGUGAUGAAUUAAUAGAGAAGUAUAACAAGGGUGCGCUUGAGCUGCAGCCAGGUCAUGAUGCUGCACUGACACUUGAAGCUAAAAUAACAAAAGUUCUAAAUGACAUUCGAGAUAUUGCUGCCAAGGUACUUCCUGUUUUUACCCUGUUGUAGCACUGCUUGCAUAUCUCUGAUCUGAAAGUACCAGUGAACAACUAAGAAUGGGUCAGGGAAGAUAUACCAAGUGAUUCCUCAUUCUUUUGCCAGCCUGUGACCUUGUCCCUGACCUUAUCCUGCUUUAUGGGUGGCAUAGAUUGUCCAGCUUUUGCCAUUGGCAGCAAACCUCUCUUACUGGUCUUCUUUACUUUCGUCUAACUUAACCCUCCAGAGACAUCUUAUAACUUACAGACUGACUAGCUAAGACGAACAAGGCACAAAUAGAAGUGAAGUGAAGGCAUCCGUUUUCUUCCCCCAAUGUUGAGGAGGAUAUAAUUGCCAGUUGUCCAUGAUUACCUUGUGCAUUUCAACACAAACUUCUUUAUGCCAUUAUCAGCUCCUUAUUUUUAAUUACUAUUCUAGAAUUUAUCAUUGGCUGGGUCAUCUGAGUAGUAACUUAAAUUGGCAGAGUUGGACAAACUGAUAGAAAAUAUCAAACUUUAAGUCCUCACCAAAUAUCUUUCUUUCUGCAUUGAAUAUGUGCACAUGCAUAUGUACUGUUUCUGUCUUGUUUGCCUUUGGGGAAAGAGCCAUUAUCUGCAAUAGCUGUCUGUGUAAAAGGUUAAAUGAAGGAAAUGACUGGACAAGUCAGAACAUUACAUAAGUUAGACUACAUGAUGGAAUAACAUUAGGGGGUCAGAAAGGAAUCUGGCUAGAGAUCAAUGAUAAAAUGUGGUUCUGUGUCUUGUCAAAGGAUAUUAGUCUCUCUUCUGUUGCAGCUCUUUCUUAUUUUUGUACUGUUCUACUGACUUGGUUAUGGAUCUCACACAGGUUGAAGUCACUAUGAUUAUCUGUAAUAGAUUUAUAUUUUUCUAAUGUAUUGCCUUUUGUGACUUCUUAUUUCCCCUUUAGAUUUUAUGUAUUGUUUCUCCAUAUAAUGAUCAAGCCUUUUUAAUGAUUUGAAACUUUUUGUAGGAAUGUUUGACGUGUCUGCAGCGGAGGAAUAGUCCUCUAAUUAUGUCACAAUGUGGUUCAAAGGGAUCUCCUAUAAAUAUCAGUCAGAUGGUUGCAUGUGUUGGACAACAAUCUGUCGGGGGUCGUCGGGCUCCAAAUGGUUUCAUUGAUCGCAGCCUUCCUCAUUUUCCCAGAAAGUCAAAGAUCCCGAAGGUUUGUUCAUUUAUUUCAUCUGGAUAAAUUUUUCUGGUCUGCACCAAAGUUCAUCUGUCAGCAGAAGUCUUGGACUAGGAAGAGGGGAAAAAGAAGAAGGGAUUGAAGGUGGAGUCAUGGAUGGAUGACUCUGUGUGGAUUUAACGGGGAAUAUCAUGUAGUGGGAAGAGAAAGGGGUAUGCAUUUGAGGGGGGAAAAAUUGAUUUAGUGUUUAGAGAUCUGAAAUACGUUCUGCAACAUAACUUAAUUUCUCUUACCUUGUGAUUAAGAAUCUUUCAUGUAUCAUUUAUUAUGUGUAUCAGCAUAUGGUUUAAUACUUUAGAAUCUGCGGGAGGAGUGGUGAUAUCAUUGUUAGUUUACAGAUGAUAUCAUAUCAUUUUGCAGUUAGUUUAUGAAGUCUUGAGAGUUCUUUCAUAUAUUGUAGAAUUUUGAAUAGGAUUAGGGCCAUAGAUUUCAUUGGGGUAAAGAUUGGGAUCACGUCUUUUUUGUUGAAAUCAUUGGUUGGUUCCUGUGGUAGGUUUCUGGCUUUUUUAUCCUGGGCAUUUUCUUUUGGCGAUAUGUAACUUUUGAGCCGAUUGAAAUUUGUGUCUGUCUUAAGAUAAAUUAAAUGUCUUUUCUGGUGAUUGCCACAAGUAUUUAAAGCUUUAAAUUUUAUUGAUAGCCAAUAUAAAAUUGUCCACAAGUCAAUUGCACUUAGUUUAACCAGUUAUGUUGGAUUGUGCAUGUUACAAUGUGGAGUGAGACUUGGAUAAAUAAUACUAUGUAAUUCUUUUCGUGCCUUUUUUAAUUAUUGCAUAGUCUCCAUUACCUGUCCUAUUGUUCUUUGAGCUGCUGAUCUGCAGACUAUGUUUCAGUCUUGUUCAUUCUGGGUUUAUCUUGUGUCCUUUCCUAACACGAUCAACAGUCAUAAGAAUUGUCAUAAUGUGGAAUAAUUAUAAGUGUCGGAUAAAGUUCAUCAUAGUUGUCUAUUUAUCUCUUGAGAUUUUAUGCUUCUCAUUAAUGUUUUGUUAAUUGAUCAUCAAAAUCUAAAAUUUGCAUGUUGGGUGUUAUCCUAAAGAUGUCUUGAUGAGUUACUACCAUUGAUUACUUGAAAAGAAGCAUUUUUAUUCUAUUCUUACAUUUUCUCAUUUGGUGUUCCACUUUGAAUCUAAUACUUAAGCUCAUCUAAUAUUUCUUUCAGGCGAGAGGGUUUGUGGCAAAUUCAUUUUAUAGUGGUUUAAGUGCUACAGAAUUCUUUUUUCACACAAUGGGAGGAAGGGAAGGCCUUGUGGAUACAGCGGUAUGUAUGAUCUUUUUUUUUUUCCCCUUUACACAGUUGCCUAGUUAAAUUACAAAUGUUUACACGUUUUCUUUAUUUAUGUGUUUGUUUAUUUUUUGGGUCCUUGAUUGCGAUUUCCUUGUUUCAUUUUUUCUUUUCCAUUUAAUUAUGUAUUGAACUUGCAAAAGUAUUGACUUAGCAAUGUUGUAGAGGUUAGUAUUGAUCUGCUAGUACUAUAUAUAUAUGUAUAUAUAUAUUUUGUCUUUUUCCUGAAGACCUUCUGGUUGUCUUUCUUUCCUGCCAAGGUUUUGUUCCAGAGGUUUUUGUGCUGUACACAGAAGCUUUAUUUGUAAUGCGUUUGUAUUCCUGUUAGUGCAGCCUGAGAUUUUCCCUUCAUCUUAUUGUCUAAUACUGCAUCCUCAAUUCUGGUUGUUCUGAGUUUUUCAGCCACAUAACUUUUUGAAAUUUAUUCUUUCCAUGAUCUCAGUUGGAUUGUUAAUUCCUUUCUUUUUCUUCCAUAAGCAAAAGUACUAUUUUCUAUCUUUUCUGCUUAUUUACAUCCUUUUCACUUACUCAAGUAAAUGAUAAAGUUUUUCAGAACUAUUUGUGGCACUCAAAAGCAUGGUACUCUUUGUUCUGUGUUCUAAAACAGUUUGAUAACUCUUUAUCGUGCUUAGAAAAAAAGAUAAUUUCUGAGUGUUUAUACUUUGAUUUAGUGUCUUUUGGUUAGUUUGUUUUGGGGAAUUAGUGUAUAAAUGUCUACUGCUACAUCUUCUAUUUUCGGUGUGAAAUGGACUGCAGAUUCACAAUCAGAUUUCUAGAAAAUCUGUCGAAGUUAAAUUUUAUGUACGUUGUUUCAGGAUAAUUGUUGAAAAUCUAGAAAAGGUUGUAGGCUUCCUCUGGACAAUCUAUAGGGUUUUGAACGUUUGACUUGCUUACAUGUUUCCUUACUCUUCUCACUUUAGAACUCUUAUCCGUUUUUGCAGUUCUGAGAUGUUCUACGAUCUCAUAUCUUGUCACUGAUUAAACUGUUGACUUUGGGAUUUUCUUUGAAUACAAUAUGAUAAUUUGGCAAAAUUCUUCAACUAAUGUGAUCCUUCAAAAUCUGUAGUCUGCAAAAUUAUGAUGCUUGGGCUUCAAUUUUAUAUUAUUAUAGGUUAAAACUGCUGAUACUGGAUACAUGUCUCGUAGACUCAUGAAAGCUUUGGAGGACCUUUCAAUUCAAUAUGACAACACUGUCCGAAAUGCUAGUUCUUGUAUAGUUCAAUUUGUUUAUGGUGAUGAUGGCAUGGAUCCCUCACAAAUGGAAGAGAAGAGUGGACAUCCUCUGAACUUUGACAGAUUACUUAUGAAAGUGAAGGUUGUGUAUUCACAUCUUGAGAUCUCUUAUACCUGGUGCCAUGAAAGUAAAACCAGAUCCUCUCAUACUCGUUUAUUUCCAUUGACAGGCCACCUGUCCUGCCGGUGAUCAGAAGAGCUUGUCCCCAUCGGAUAUCUGCAAAAAGACUGAUGAAAGGCUCUCAGAACGUGAUAUGACUCCCGAAGGCGGGUGCUCAGAGGCUUUCAGAGACUCUUUGUCCAAGUUCCUUAAAAGUCAAAUGGGUUCAAAACUUGGAAAAAACAAUUGAAAGUUUGAAAGCCCAGGAAGAUCAACAGGAAGAAGACCAUAACAGCUCUUUCGAAAAUAUCUCUUCAAAUAUAUCCGGCUUUACUUCUAGGCAGCUGGAGGUGAAACCUGAUAGUAAAUGUUCUUUUCUGAUAUACAUCUUACAAUUCAACUACCUGAAUACAUUUCUGUGCAUUCUUGCUGGCCAUCCUGCUUGCAUUAUUAACCUUUCAAUGUGUUCAUUAUUUUUCUAAAUUUUUUAUUGUUGCAAUAAUCAUUAAUUGAUAUCAUCAUGAUGCUGUCAUUAUUAGGUCACUUGCUACAGCCAGGACAUGUGUUUUGGCUUCAAAACUGGAAGUUUCUCUUAGUGAAUUACCAUCAAGUGCACGAAAGGACUGUCUCUGUUUGGGUGAUCUUGGGAUGUUGACGAUCAUUUCAAUUGCUUGAUUUAUUUUUGGUCCCAUCAUACACAGAAUUUUGUAUGAACUGUCACUAAUUGUUCUAAAAAUUUGACAUUAUGUGGACAAAUUCUUGUUUCUUCUGAUUGGGUAAAUUAUGAUUCAUGUUCUCUUGCAUUUGCUUGUUCUAGUGAACAAAGCAUGUAAAUAUAUUAACGCCACAAAAAUCUUCUUAGCUUGUAAGAGUACUGUUUUCUAGUUUCGGGUAUAUACCUGGUAGAUGUCUAAUGUUUGUUUCUGCCUUUUUUUUUGUGUGUGUAAUAAAGCAUUCUGAAGUUUAGAUUUUUAUUCACGUUUUCUUUUCUUGAGCAAAAAAUUUUCAGAUCUCAUUGUUCACAAACUAUUGAGCAUGUUAUGAAAGGUUGUGAGCUUGUGUCUAAGUUGUUCUCAUUAGGCAUGUAGUUUCCAGAAGUUAAACAAGUUUUCAUAAUGUAACAGGACUUGUAUUUUGUUAAUGUGUUAGGUGUUUUUAAGAGUCUGCAUCUCACGUUAUCAUACCAAAAGGGUAGAAGCUGGAACUGCAAUUGGUGCAAUUGAAGCUCAGAGUAUUGGAGAACCAGGCACACAGAUGACGCUAAAAACUUUUCACUUUGCUGGAGUUGCAAGCAUGAGUAUCCUCACUAGUUGCUUAGUAUAAUUUUUGGUGUGAUAUUCGUCUUACAGGUGUUUCAUAUGUUACCUUAACUCUGCCUUAGAUGUUACACUUGGAGUCCCACGUAUAAAAGAAAUUAUAAAUGCAGCUAAAAGGAUUAGUACUCCAAUCAUUUCUGCAAAACUGGAGCAUGAGGACAAUGCAAAGGAGGCUAGCCUUGCAAAAGCUCGUAUAGAGAAAACACUUUUAGGGCAGGUCAGCUGUUUCCGACUACCUUCAACUUAGUGAUCUACCAAGCGUGUAAUAAGGGAUGCAUUGGUGUUUUAUUUGUAAUAGUGACAGCAUUCUAAUGUAGACAUGGGGUGACACAGUCUUGACGAAAUGGCCAUAUUUAAGGCUUUUAAAUCAUCUCUCCUAAAGAACCUAUUCCAAUCUUCUCUCUCUGUGUUUUUUUUUUUUGAAAAAAAUGGCAUAUGGCUUUAAUCUGCAGCUAAGAUAUCAUGCUGUUCGUAUCCAAAAGAUUGUUUAUUCUGCUUGUAUCCAAAAGAUUGUCUAAGAUAUGGCUUUAUUCUGUUUGUAUCAUUCUGACUUUCUCUUUAACGUGUAGGUAGCCAAAAGUAUAAAGAUUGUCAUGUCGGCGAGGUUAGCAUCCAUAGUAAUUACACUUGAUAUGGAAAUAAUACAAGCAUCUCGGCUUUGUACAGAUGCUUAUAGAGUGAAAGAAUCGAUUCUGCAGACACCAAGAAUCAAACUGAAGGAUCAGGUGUACUAUCAUUUUCUCAUUUAGAUCAUCUACUUUCUCAUAUAUUUGCUCAAAAAAAAAAUGUACGGUUUCUGCAGCAUGUUAAGGUCUUGAAUUCCAGAAAGCUGGAAGUAGUUCCCCAGACUGACAGAAGUAAACUUCACUUUGAGCUCCACGCACUCAAGAACAAGCUUCCUUCAGUGGUUGUCACAGUAAGACAAGACAUCUAGUUUUGAAAGUCAUCAUAUAAUGUAAGAAAGUGCAAGGGUAUUUUUCUUGCACUAUGGAAUGUUGAAACUUGUGUCACUCUAAGUUUGUCCAUUAUCUUUGGAAAUGACAGGGAAUCACCACUAUUGAACGUGUCGUAAUUAAUAGUGAAGAGAAGAAGGAUUCUGGAGGAGGUCCCAAGUACCUCUUGUUUGCAGAAGGGUAAGUUCUGUUAUGGUGAUCUUUUGCAGAAAGUUUUGGUAUUGAAGUAAAUGAUGGUCCUCUUGUUUAUCAAAUAUGUCAUCCUUCUGUGCCUUUCUGGUUGAAAUAAAUAUUUUCUUCUAGUUAUAAUAUUGUUGUGUAGUAAUAUGCGUAGCUUUUCAAUUGUAUUACUAUAAGCAGAGAAUUUGUACGGGUACUUUCAAAUGACAAAGCAGAAGAAGCAACUUCAUUUAUCCUAUCAGAUAUCAAUGACAAUGGUGUAAUUAAUUACUUCAAUUGAUGGUCUUUGUGGUGAUUGGUUUCUACUUGACAUGGAAAAUUGUCAAACUACUAUUGAUGGAUAUGAUAUUCAAAAUUUUCAAGCUGUAUUCACAAGUUAUGCAUAUCUGCUUCUUGCAGGACAGGUCUCCUAGGUGUAAUGGGCACUGAAGGAGUAAAUGGCUAUGAAACCAAAAGCAAUCACAUCAUGGAAGUGCAGCAGACGCUUGGAAUUGAAGCUGCAAGAAGUUCGAUAAUUGAUGAAAUUAAGCAUACCAUGUCUAGUCAUGGAAUGACUAUAGACAUACGUCAUAUGAUGCUUCUGGCAGAUCUGAUGACAUUUAAGGUAGUUCCUUCUUCAUAAGUCUAUAGUGAUCGUUUCAGACUUGCAUCAUGGACAUAUUCAUGUUCCAACACUAAGUGUGGCAUUUACCAUCAGAUGCUAAUUUUAUGUACUAUCGCAUUGAUGCCAGGGCGAAGUUCUUGGUAUUACAAGACAUGGUGUUCAGAAAAUGAAAGAUAGUGUGCUAAUGCUGGCUUCUUUUGAGAAGACAGCAGAUCACCUUUUCAAUGCUUCUGUAAAUGGACGGGAUGAUAAGAUUGAAGGAGUAAGUGAAUGCAUCAUUAUGGGAAUACCAAUGCAGUUAGGCACUGGGAUGCUUAAAGUGAGGCAAAGGUACAUGCUUGGCAAUUGGCUGUCAUUUGAAUUGAUUUUUUUUUUUUUUGGGUUUAAUAAGUUUGUCUUUAACCCUUAAUGCAUGUGGCUUAUCUUCUGGGUGGUAGAAAAUCAUAAAGAUGAAUGCCACAGAUAUUCAGCUAUGGUCUGCUGAGUUUUUAUGAUAUUUGACUGAGCUUGUUAAACUUAGAGAACUUAGCAGUUACUGUUAUGAUGGUAAUGAAUUUGAGGGGGAGAAUAGUAUCUGCCAGGGAAGUGUUUAGGUGGUAUAAUGAUGAAAAAUGUUGACUUUUGAGUAAGAAUCUAGGUUGACUUUAUACUAAAUACUUUAAUUGUAGUCAAUGGCGGUACUAAGCUACAACAUGACAACAAUGAGGAGUGCAAAAGGAAAGAGCAAAACAAGUUUGUAACUUGGAAAUAGAGUGCAUGUUGUUCGCUUAUUGAUUCAAAUACAAGCUUGAUUCGUACAUCCUUGAUUUUUGCUAUUACUAUCGAAUUUGAGUUCAAUGCAAAUUAUUACAUGAGCACCUCAAGCCUGAGCUAAGAAAAUUUUAUCCAAUUAAGGUUUCUUUUAAAGCUCUAUGCAAGCAGCUUGGUUCGUUUGGAACCCUGACUCUUACUAUCUGGUGUUGUUAAGUAUGUGUUUCUCUUUUGACUUGAUGGUACUUCUUUCUCACCUUCUAACUUAUUUAUGUAGUUUCAUUGUUGCUGAUAGUUUCCGAACCUCUAUGAAAGGAAACUUUGUGCCACGUGAUAUUCUGAAUUGAGCCUUGUGUAUUCUCUACCAGCCUCAGACAUGUGUCUCUUUUUGUUCCCCUUUUCUUAAAUUUCUUUAAUUUUACAUUGCUUGCAGAGUGCAGCAGGUGGAGCUGAAUUAUGGGUUGGACCCAAUCCUGUCCUAAACUUGUUUUCGUGGUGAGACCAGUAUGUUGUGCUACAAAUGUGCAAAAAUGAUCGUAAUUUCUCAAGACGACGACAAUGUUGAAGGAACUGGACAGAAAAUUUUCUGAGCGAGCAUUAACCUUGCGGAUUGCUGUGCAUGUUCUUUGGCCCAUUUUUCUCCUCUUAAACAGAAAAGAUUGAGGAUUAUAGAAUAGUAGACUAUUCGGUAGACCUGUCCAUUCCCAUAGCAUAGUGAGGUUUGCCCCGAAAGGGCAGAAAUGACAAUUGUGCCAACAAUGUACAAACUGUUGUAUAUAUUGUAAAUACCAAAUCACCCGUUGUAAACCAUAGGCAAAACUUGAGUAGACCUGGUCUUACAAAGUUCAAUGUCUUAUGUUGUGUUGCACCAUUUGGUAAGAUGAUGUGAAACAAUUUAGGUCAUUGGAUUUUUUAAAAUCAUAAAUCGUAAGGAUACAAGCGUGCAUUCUGAUCAUAAAGUACAGUAGCUAUAACCAGAAGGAAAAUGGCCAACAUGGUCCCUCGCGGUUCAACAAGAUCCCUUGUUGGGUCCGUUACAAAAAAAGGAACAUAAGAUAGUCCACGCAUAACAAUUGUAUCAAUUUAGUCCUUGAACUUACUUCUGGCAAAAUUUUAGCCAAAUAAGACGUAGAGUAUUAUUUUCUUCAAAAUAGCCCUUUUACCUCCCUCCUUCCCAUAGGAGUGGUUUUUUUUUUUUGUUUUAAAGUGUGUUAUUCAUUUUCCUAUUUUGUCUAUGAAAGUAUGAGCACAUGAUGUGAGCGUGCAUUUUUGGCCAGAAGUUUGAUAAGAAAUAGGUUUUAGAACCAAAUUGACAUAUUCAUUAUAUGUGGGGGACUAUUUUGCUUUGUUUUAGGUGUGAUGAACAAAAAAGUUUUUUUUUUUUUGGAAAUGUGAGGGACCAAUUUGAUCAUUCUCCAUGACUAGAAGGAUUAAACGUUUGGUGCACUGGUCUCUGUCGAAAAUCCUUAGUUGCAAGUACUGUGUCUUAAACGGGUAAAAGGUUCUUCUUUUGUUUCGAAGGAUUCCAACCUCUUCUAAUGUGUCAAAAAUGACAAGUCGAAUGAAGUUCAAAGUUUGUUUUCGGCAAGAAAAGAUGAAACAAAAUAAAGACUCGUCUUUUGUCUGGUAGAGGAGAGUGGUGCCAAAAAAUGUGCUUUGAGGAAGAAUGAAGUUGUUUCCGAAGAACAAUUAGUAGUAGAUAUACAGAGGAAUUGGAAACCGCCGUCUGAUCGGAGCGCUGAAAUGGUUUAUCCUGGAUUCUGUACAAUGCUUUGCACACUGUACUUCUGCUUCUAGUUGGAGCACCAGUAAAAUUCUUAUUGCCACACCAGGAUGUUCGGGAAGUAUAUUACUCAUCCUUCGAUCCCAAUCGACCAGUUCUCAAUUUCCAUAUGGUUUGUGAGAGACUGAAAACAGAUAAAAGGACCUAAUCUCACUGUAAACGCAUAUUUUCUCGAAUAGAAAGUGACAAACCCCAACCGUUUAGGAAAACGCAAAUUUCUGUCCAUUGUGCUAAGAAUCUUGGGGCUUCUGAUAGAGACGUCUCUGUGGUUUCUAAGGACAAUUAUUAGACUGAAUGUAGAACAGUACCCCUCUCAUCUACACCCAGAGGAAAAAGAUAACCGUACAAAUAACAAAAAUGAAAAGGAUAACAAUUUUACUAGGAAGAAAAAUGAAAAGAAACUGUGAGAGAGCUCAAAUGAAAAGAUUGAGCAUCAAUUCAAUUAUUUCAUCUUCCAUUUAAAAAUUCUAGUUGCUUGCAUGAGUUUCGAGUUCAUAGCAUUUCCUAUUACGCUCUCAAGGGAUGGUACAAAAGGAUCUUUUUACAAGAGGAAAGUUCCUGAAGAAGUAAGGAUUCACAGUGAGGAAGGGUAUAGCAAGUAGUAUGCAGAAAAGCUAAUUAAUUACAUCAUGUACUACAACGAGAACAUACGGUUACCAUCAGUUGGAAUUAUCAUAAACGGUUAAUUGUAACUGGGAUUCGACAACAUAUUGCUUUAUGAAAGACCUCCUCCACCAGACUUCAAAUGCCCUUUGAAGAUUGGGACAAUCAUCCCCUUUGUUAAGAAAUCUGUCAAACCAAUUGAGCAAGAUGGCUUCUUGUUGUGGCAACGGUAGAGUUAAAAUCGUCUGGCUCAGUCCAUCCUCAACCAGUUUCUUGUCCACUGAUCUAGAAGCUCUCCUCAUCCACCCAAAGUCUUCAUAAAGAGCUUCCAGCCAUGUAGACAGUAGAGAAUAUCGAGUAUCUUUAGGCACCAGAAUAUGCCCUCUCCCAAUUGCAACACAAAGCUGUGCAGUUAUACGGCUGAUCUCAUGCCGGUACAUCGUAGGAAUUUUAGAGUGGAGCACAGCAAGUUCCUUCUGUUCAGCCCAUAAUUUCACAAAUUCAUCUCCCAAUUUUCUGUCAACCAAUAUAUCAACAACCCACUGCAUGUUGUCAGCUUCUCGGGCUAUCUCGCUCAUCAAAAAUCCUCGAUCCUGCCUGCCUUCCUCCACACAAGUAGCUUCUGAUAAGCAAAGUAUGAGAGAACUAAGACAUCUGUGGCAAAGAUGAUACAAUGUAUCUCUGGAGAUAUCAAGGCUAUUGUUGAAACUGCGAUGAUCAGAAGAUUCUUCUUUAAGCAAACGAGAUAUCAAUGUUUUCAUUUCUCGACGAGCUUUGUCAUCCUUGGCCUGCAAAACUCCACUCAAUAGCUUGAGGAAAAUGUCAUCAGCUCGAGAAGAUGUUGAUGGUUCUGCCACCACUCUCUGAAGCACGUUAGGUAGUGAUCUGUGAAGCUGAAGGUCACCAAGAAGCAAGACCACUUUUUCCUCUUCAUCCUCUGACCAAGGCACCGCUUCCAAGUAAUCCAAACAUGCCAGUAUCCCAUCAUCAAAUGAUAUAGCUGAACAUACCUGCAAUAAGACACUGCGUUAAGAAACAACUUGCGAAUUGACAAAAGAACUGAGAAACUUGGGAGUAAGUUUGUGUCCGAAGAUUUAUAGUCAUGAUGUUGGAUGUGGUCGCAUUACUGCACACCCCAGAAUGGAAAACCUGCAUGUGAAAAAUUAACUUUUCAUAUUGAGAUAACUAGCAUGCAGAUUUUUGAGGAAUAUGGUUGUUAAACAUCAUAAUGAGCAAUGUGAUGCAGUGAUUUUCCACUAAUUUGGAAUCCCGUUGCCCAAAUUAAACUUGCCAAGAACAAAAGAUUCAGCAAGAAGCUAUACAUCAUCAAGUGCGCUAAAAUGAUUCACAAAAAGCUAUGCUUUCAGGAUUCAAGCGUUUAGCCCAACUGGCCCUAACUCACAAUCUUAUAAGGUUACAGAAAAAAUUUUACUUCUCAGCUCUGCAAACAAUCAUUCAAACUUUGUAAUUCUCUUACUUUCCUUUGACUUCUUUCACAUUCCCGCAUCCUUUACGAGAAAGUUCCCUUAAAAUCCACCAAGAAAUACAUACUAGAGACCAAGAUUACAGGAACCCAAAUAAAAGUUCCAUACUCGGAAAAAAAUAAAAGGUUAAUAAUAAUAAGAAACUAAGAAAUAAUAGAAAAGAACAAACCUUUAAUAAUUCCAAGACCUUGGAAACCUCCUCACCCAUCAAUUUCUUCUUCAAGUCCUCACAAUACAUAAGCACCACCGCCUCCACGUACACCUCCACGUCAUCACAUUCAAGAAUCUCCACCGUGACCAUGUGGGCCCCAUUCCUCCUCAGCUUCUCAGCAAAGAACCUACUCCGGUCGGCAAGUACCCGCCGGUGGACCUCCAUUGAGACCCGGAAUCCAUCACGUGCACUCACUGUCAGUCUGACGUCACCACACCCCAAAUUAUUAUCAUUAGUACGAUCAUUGCCGGAAUUCUUAAAUGGGGCCUCAGCUAAGACCUUAAAGACUCUAUCUUGGAGCUUGAGGCCGGCUUCAGUGGAGUGUCUGGAGUCGCGGGCCUGUUCGUCCGACAUCAUUUCGAAAAGGGUCGGGCUCGAAAUUGACCGGGUAGGGUUGGGAGCAGCUGUGGCGAAGGAAGGCGGCGGGGAAAGAGAAAUGGCGGUGGCGGUGGUGGGCCUGGUGGCGGAGUGGGGUCUGGAGAGGUGGUGAGAGGAGGGGGGUGAGGGUGCAGGGGAGAGUAAAGGGUCCGAGAUGAAACCUUGUUUUAUCAUUGCAGAGACCAAAUGGUUUUUCUUGGAUGGUUUGGUGGGAGUAUUGGUGGCAGCGGUGGUGGUGGCGGCGUGGGAUGGCAUUGGCAGAGUAGUGACUGCGUGAAGAGUUUGAGUGUUUAAGUGUGUGAGAGAGAAAGUGGGACUAGGGGGCAAUGGGAAUCCAAGAAAAACCACAAGAAGUUAAAAGGGAGUGGGAGAGCUUUGGAUCUGCAGUAGCAGAGAGCAGUAAUCGAUUAGAGUGAUGAGAAACGGAGUUAACUCUAAUUUAAUACUUAGUGGUUCGACGGGAAAGUGGAAACUAUAUAUUAACGGCUUAUUAAAGAAUUGGCGGGAGUAAUAUUUCUUAGGACACUUACACUGCUGUUAGUAUUAUUUUGUUUUACUAUUUUUAUUCAAUUUUUGCCAGCUGCCCAUGCCCCGAGCGAUCCAUUUAAAGACUUACAGGUCACUGCAGCAGGAGUUUUUUUUUUUUUUUUUUCCUUUUUUUCAAGAACUGCAAUUAAUGUUAAAUCAGAUUGAAUGAUCGAAUUGAGAAUCAGCUUUUUUUAGGGAUAAUUGCUGAAACCUCCCUGACGUUUCUGACGCUUGUACUUACCUCCCUAUAAUUUUCGUAAUAGCACUGACCUCUCCUAAUAAAAAAUUGGAGCCAAUUGUUGAGGUAAGAGUGUGUGAAUUUACUUGGCUACCCCAAUUAUUUUCAUGUAACCAGAUGAAAGGUUUAAUUAUUUUCAUCAAAACCAACAAAUCCUUUGUUAAACUAAUUAAACAAAUAACUUGUUGGAGUUCUUUUCAGUCUCAGAGAUCUUCAAUGUUGCCUUUCGAUUGCAGGUGCAAUAUUUGAUCCUUAUUUUGAAGGAUGUUGGGGAGUUCCAUGAUGCUCUCUUGUGGCUGGAAGAAGCCAUACUCUUUGCUGCAAUAUUUCACCUCAAGCUGCCAAACUGAAGUCAAUCAAACCAGCUGUGUGUUUGGGUUGGAAACAAACAACUCAUUUUUUUGCUAAUAUAGAGUUUCAUGUGUCAAGACCAUCCUUUAUAAGCUAGUGCAAGAAAUUGCACAUCUAACCGUUAACUAGCCAUUGGUUUCAUUAAGUGAAGAAGCUGUUGUAGGUGGCUUGGAAAUAGUUUGCACUUACACCUUUGAAUUUUUUUGAUCCUUAAUACCUUUGUUUUCCUUGCUAAUACUACUUGCCAAGCAAGAUCAAAGGCAAAUUCGGUACAAAAUUCUCAUCUCACUCUUUAAAAUAAUUUUUUAAUGGGACAUUUUCUUAGAUGGACUGAAUCUGCAACAUAUUCAUUAAGUUCAAAGGUGUUCAAUGCUAUUUCUUAAACCAAAGGAAAGGCGAAUGCUAGUGUCAGAAACCUCCAAUUUUCCCUUUUUUAUUAUUUGGAUGACAGAUAAGUAGAUAAUCCUAGAAUUCAGAAGACGGGAUUUGUGGGGCACCGCCGCAGGGGAUGGGGAUCCAUCACCAUACAUGUAUCUUUAACUAUAAAAGAAAAUGGAAUAACAUUCCACAUAAAGGAGCAUUACUAAUUCUUACAAAUGAAGGCUCUUAUUUCGUCAUGGAUUUAGACAAGGAAUCUGAUUCUCAUUGCUUAGUUUUCUUUUCUUUCCUUUUGCUUUUCAAAAAAAAAACCUAAAAAUAAAAAAGAAGAUAAUUGGAUUGAAUUUGUCCUUUGCUGGUCAAUGUUAAUGGAAUAAAGUGAAAAUUCCUCUACUAAAAUACAUCAGACUUGGUUCGGUGAAGAAGCAUUCUAUAAUUAUAUGAAGAGGUUCGAGUGGCAAGCUAUCGAUUGGUCUGGAGAGACAAUAGGUUAUAAUUUUGGGGAUAAUAUUAGAAAUCUCUCCUGAGUUUUCUGUUAAUAUGAGUUAACGACUAUAAUGUUUUCAAAAUAUUACAUACAUCCUAUACUUUUGUUAUUUGGGUAACAAAAUUUCUAAAAAUCUCAAACUACCCUCUUGCUCUUUUUGCUAAAUAAUAAUACUCCUAAGUCAAAUUGCUCACUCAAUCUUCUAAAAAAAAAUCUCUAGUAGUACCACCACAUCACAAAGUUAUAGUACAUAAAAAUAUAAAUUUGAAAAAUGGAAAAGAUAUAUACAACAACCAAUUCAACUCUAUAUGGUUAGACUUGAUUUCUUAUUAAUCUUAUUUUUUUUCCAACAUCUUCUCAACCCAUGACAUAAACCUUUAAGUUGAACUAAAUCAUUAUAAAAAUCAAUUGAAAAUUAGCAAAGAAAUCAUACCUCACUCAAUUGUAAUCACAAAAAGAAAAUGACAAACAAAUUUAAAUUUACUAUAAGUUACAAAUAAAAAUAGUAUAAUCAUCCAAAUAAAAGAGUAAAAGAGAAGAAAGUGAUUUUUAUUUUCUUUUUCUUUAAUUUUUGGAGCUCCAUUUAUAUGACAUAUGAAACAUGUAUCAAACGAAAAGUUAAUAUAGUUAUUUUACAAUUACUAGAAAAGAUAAGUGAUUAUUUUUAAAACCUUGGAGGUGUUAAGUGAUAUUAGAAAAAAUCUCAAGGGAGGUUUGUGAUAUUAUCCCUAUCCGAGGCGCAGUGGUAUUCAGGUAUUUGAUUGGAUUGUCGGAGUAUUGGUGUGAGCGCACCAGCAAACAUGAAGCAUCUUUAUCUCCGACAUUGAUGGCGGCUCCCACCCUUGUCCUGCUUGUUACCAUGAGGGUCACUAUCCACAAGUCAGGAAUCUCAAAAUCAUUUGUGUUUUCUCCUUUCCCUAAACUGAAGGUCAGUCAGUUUUCCCUGUCUUAAAGGUCAUUUUUUCGUAACACAAACAAUUUGCUUCGGGAGUCCUAACGCCUUAGUCCAACGCGUGGUGCCUGUGUGCCGUGAGUGAACCUUAUGACAGACCCACUCAACAGUUAAUAGCAGUACGAGUACUCAACUUUCCACCUUCAAAGGCUACAGAAAAUACGGGUGAUGCUAAACAAAUGGCAAUGGAAGUUUUGUAUCUUUGCAAUUGUUGGCGUAUGUUAAAUUUAAGCCUUAGAAAUAAAAAAAUUUUAUAUUAUUAUUUAGCAAUGUUUAAAUCAACUUACUGUUUUAGUAAUUUUAUUUGAAUUCAAUUAUGAUAGUUUUAUUAUUUAAUAAUCAAAAUAUUUUAUUAAAAAAUUUCUUAUACAAAAUUGUACAACACAUUAUACAAAAUUUAUCUCCUAUAACUUUUUGGUGCCUGCAAUUUUUGACACUCUUUAUCUUCCUUAGAUCUACAGUACUGGGAUAGUUUAAUGGAGAGAGAGAAUGAGUUCUCGGAGUCUCGUCAAUCCUUAAAUGUGACAAGGAAAGUUCUUGUAUCAAUUGUGCUCUCCUCUUACUUGCGUCAUCUUCUAAGCUCUAAAACUUGAUCCAUUACCCUUCUUUUCCGCUUGUUUUAUUCUCUCUUUUCGGUGUUUUCACAAGUUUACAUACUCAAUUAUAAGGGCCUGCUAUUGUAGAAUUCCACAGAUUUGCAUUGAGCAGCAACUUUGACAGAUUCAUAUCAUGGUGGAAAAUUUUUGUAUCGUGUGGUGCAAAACGGAUGCGUCAAUGCUGUCAUUUCAUCCAAAUUCACCAUGGCCCAAGCCGACUGUGUAUGGCCACUGCAAGCAAUCAUUUCGGGAAUAUUAACAUGGACUGCUUUUCUGAUCUGCUUUGAGGAUGCCUUUUGGGGUUGGAAUGCCCUGCAUCCGCAUGCUAUAAUAAUAGCAAGCACCAACUUCUUUCCUUGAAAGUAGCUGAAACAGUUUAGCAGUACUUUUUGUUGCCCGCUCUUUGGAUAUUUUUGUCAUGUUAGCCAUCUAUCAUUGUUUCACUAGAUGUGACUGGAUCGAUUUAGUAAAUUCGCUACUUGAGCUAUCAUUCAGCUGCAGAUUCGUCUGCUGCUUUCUCCAUCAGGAUAUACGCUCAGAUACUAUCAACAUAGACUUGUAUGUACGUACAUCAAUGUAGCCCAUAGUUGGCUUAAUAAACCGUUUUAUUGCAAAACUUCCACAAAAUGCACAGACAAUCAGAAGGAAAAAACUGCAUUACAGAAAAAGAAAAGAAUGAACAACAAGGACAUAUGAUGGUUUCCUUUACAAACAUGACAACGAUCAGCUGCAAGUUGGAUAGUGAAACAAAGUAGCUGAAUUCAACUCCUCAACGUCGGAUCUGAACCUUCCCGUCUCAUUACAUGCCCUGACUGAAGUAUGCAUAAAACCAUUUGUAAACAGAUGGUUACUGUUAUUCCAUCACAGGCGGAGGAGGCUGUAGAAGUGUUACCGAGGAAAAGCAAAGACAUGCUAUUUAGUAAACAUUUGUUUGUAAAUCUUCUAGUCCGGCGUCAACUUUAAAACCUUGUUCAGCUUCAGUUGUUCCGAAUAGUGGAGCAUCCAGCUCGGGAGGUUUCUGAAGAUGGAAACAUAAUCAGUCACUGAUUUAAACUAGUAUCCUAAAAAAUGAAGAGCACGACUGCAGAAGACUAAUAGAUUUUUUUUUUUCUUCUUUCUUUUCUGACAGAGUAACAUGCAUCGCAAUCAUUCCUGGUGCCCCCACUAGGAAACUCGAAUGCUUCAAAUUAUAAAGAAUAUGAUGUCAUUUGGGUGAUUACAUGAUUUUACUUUUGCUUGUGAUUGAGAAAAUUUUGUUGCCUUUUUAUUAUAAAAGUUCAUUCCGCAAGCUUAAUAUCUGUGUAGAAUCACAGUAAGAUUAUUUCGCAUUCGACUGAUCAAGUCAGUCUAUGUUAUUACCAUGCAACGUACUAAAGCCCAAUUGAUACCCCGGAAGAAUGGAUGCUUCUUGAUUUCAUGUGCUCCUUCUUGUGAGCCCAACCGGCUUUUGGGAUCUCUGUGCAACAACCGAUACAUUAACUGCUUUGCUUGGAGACUUGCCUGCAUCAGAGAAAAUUUCUUCAAAGUUUAUACCAUUGCACUAAUGAAUUGACAAUGCCAGUUUGCCACAGAGUAUGCAGAUUGAUACAUGCAUGAAAUUAUUGAUGUUACACUGGGAGACUUCGUCUGGACUCCAAAUUGGUUGUUAUUUGGCAUGUUUAAGAGCCACGGGCUUGAGUUUAUAGAUUGCAGGUAUACAAGGCAUUCGGCUCUAGAAGUGUAACUAAAUGAGAUUAGUAUCUUACACACAUGGCACUUAAAUCUAACAAUGUUGCAUUAGCUAACUCACCGGUAUGCUCGCAGGAAACUUUAGAUCCUUGUGCAAGACAUUUGCAAAUGUCUUUUGCCUGGUCUUUCCCCUAAAAGGUGUGUACCCAUAAAGCAUUUCAUACAAAAGGAUUCCUGUGAAAGUUGCAGAAAUCAAUUUAAGGGUCGAAGCAGUAAAAAAUGCUCUAGCAAUAAUAUUAACUACUAAAAAAUGGUGAACAUAAUCGAUAGGUUUCUUGAAAAUCCAUUCAUCAGCAAAAGCUCAUCAUACGUUAAACAGUAAGACUUACCAAGAGCCCACCAGUCAACAGCACUAGUAUGGCCUGCUCCUGUAAUAAUUUCCUGUACAGUGGAAAAGAAUAUGCUUUUGGAAUGAUGUUUAUUGACAAAAGAAAUAUUGAUAUACCAAGGGGUGAAAUAUCCAGCAUCAAAGAGUUCAGCAGGUGAAAAUAAAGCAAUAAAGAUAGAAGGAAAGGAAACUUUUCAAGUGGAACCACUACAUUGGUUGCAUUUAAAACACUUGAGAACAUUCAUAUCUGUCACUCCAGUGUCCAAGAAGAUCUAAAUGUAGCAUAUCUACAUUUUUAAAUUAUGUUUAACAGCAUCCUAAGCUUAAUCAAGCGCACUAAUUCAUCAACUGCCAUCAACCUUCUAAAGCUACCAUUAAAAAAAACUCCAAUAGAGAAUGCUUACUGGAGCAAUGUAUUCCUCCGUUCCAACAAAGGAAUUUGAAGCUCGCAUUGGUUCAGCCAUGAAUAUGGGGACUCGGUGACCUUUCUGGUGCUUUUUCUUUUCAUCGAUCUCUGGAACUAAAAGCUGACAAAUGCAUAACAUACCAAUAAGAAAAUCUUGAUCUUUCCUAAAUUUUGCAAAGUUCAUCUUGAUAAGAAGUCAGAGACUUAAAACACACCUGUGGCUUGCAAGAUGUCAAACAGGACAAAUCAAAAUCUGUCAAAGACACGUGCCCAUUGCUCUGUAGCAAGACAUUUUCGGGCUUCAAAUCUCUGUAGAUUAUACCUGCGGGAUAAACAUGCUCUUUUCAAAUGUCAAGGUGAAGAUGAAUACUUUAUUGAUUUAUGAUGUACAGUUAAAAGAACACAGUAGUGAUUUCUAAUUUCUCCAUUAAACAGAAGGCUCCACAGUCAUUCUUAAUCACAUGUAGUUGUAAAUGAAUCAAAUAUUAGUGUCAAGUAAUGAGUAUAAACAUUGCACAUCCCUAACAUUCUUCUUUACUGCACAAAGUUGGUGUCUUGUGAAUUCAAUGAAGGAACAAUCAUGAUCAAGAAGAUAUAUGCAGUUCUUAGUCGUUCUGGUUGAAAAAAAUAAUCUUAGCUUUUAGUAAAAAAUGUGUGGGAUUUGAUCGGUAUACCAGUUAGUCUGAUUUUGUAGCUUUGGACUUAGAUAGGUGGUCUCGUGAGACAGAAUACAGGAGUCUUAUAUAGCAUAAGAAGAAACGUAAACUAAAUAUAGAAUAGUUGAGUCUUAUGUAGAAUAAGAAGGAAUGUAAAGCAAAUAUAAAAAUUAAGUAAACUGGACAAGGCAAAAAAAAAAAAAAAACUCAAUUCAGUUUAAUGGAAAAACUAAAAAGAAUUCACUUUGUAGGAAAUAGAAUUCUAUAGUUAUUAAUGGAAAAACCAAAAAGGGACUUGUUUUUAUGGAAAAAUAGCUUUUCGGUUUAGAAUAAAGGUUUCAAUAUUAUUGUAAAUAACCCUGCUAACCAAUUAUACAGCUACAUCUCCUAACAAAAUAAGGAUAAGCAAAACUGUUAAGCUUUACCUUGACAGUGAAGAUACUCCAAAGCAACCACUACUUCAGCAGCGUAGAAUCUGCAGGGAAACAACUUUAUGUGAGUUCAAUCACCAUUCUAGCAAGAUUAAUCGCUUAAUGUCGCUAAGAUGUCAAAAGACCAAAAACGUGUUCCACUGUGCAACGAGAUAUAGCCAUCUCCAACUGGAGAGCUUUUGAGUCGGCAGAGAUAAGUAGAGAAGAUCAACAAAGCAUCAAAGUAUUGAGACUGCACAAGCAAUUCGGCCAAAAAGAAAAAAAAGAAUUGCCUCCAUACAAAGAAAGUAUUAAUUGAUUCACGAACUUUAAUAUGCAAGCCCCCUAGCAUGUGGGCCAGAAUUCUUCUCUCUACAUUGCUUCCAAGUUUUUCUUCUGGUUCUAAAAUCUGAACUAGCUAUCAUGAUCAGCUCAUCCUUUUAAGAUAUGAUUUGAUAAAAAAAUAAAUAAUAAGUUCGGCUAUUGCCUUUUAAUUAUAUAUUUUAGAAUCUAUGCAUUGCUCAGGUGUCAAUUUCUAAAGUCUGACUAGGUGCUAGAAAUCUUCUCUUCUACAUGAGACUGAUAUUCAGGAAGGAAGCUUUGGGAAUGAAUAAUUUUAUUAAACUUCAUGGUUAUGAUUCAGAUACCUUACAGCAUCUUCCCUGAGUACCUUCAUCGGCUGUCUGUCCAAGAGCAUGAAUAGCUCCCCACCAGGGCAGUAGUCAGUUAUCAGACAGAUAUGAGUUUUCGUCUGCAAAAGUAGUUAAGACGGAUUUCAGCUAUCGCAAUUUGGAUGCAAAAGAAAGCAAAGAUAUAGAAGAUAAUGUGCAAGUAACACUUGAGGAAACAGUAACUAGUAUUGGCUAGAGCAUGUGCAAUUCUUACUAAUAAAAAAGGAAGUUCUUAGAUGACAACUAAUCUCACACAUUAUAAUACCUUCCUAACUUCUCAUUGCCGCUAUGUUUAACCUCUAAGACUUUUAGUCUCUUAGUUUUUCUAACCUGAAAUGAAGCAUAAAGGGCUGGAAGGAAUGGAUGGUCCAACAUGUCUAGGAUCUCUCUUUCAGCACAAGCUCUGUGCACCUACAGGAAAGGAAAGCAAAGGAAUCAAGUGAAUAUGGAGCAUAAAUAAGACAUAAACUACAGUUAAUUAACUGCACAAGUGUCCAAUAAAGUGAUUGGAAAGUUAUUAUGGGAGAAAACUGUUGAAAGCCUGAAAGAUUUCUGCCACAAUUUGUCCAAGAAAAAGAAACUUGGAGAGUACAUUUCACCCCAAGUUUUCUGUUGUUUGCAAAUUUUGCAAAAUGUUAAGCUCACAAGAGGGUGUCGUGUCUGGCAAAUGCAAUUACAAUGCACAGGAAAUUAGAUUCUAUACCUUGUUCCGGUUAAGCAUCAUUCCCUUGUCCAUUGCUUUCAUUGCAAAGUAUUCUUCAGUACCAUGAAGUUCCACCAAGUGCACACUGCAUAUAAUUAAGUUGUCGAGUGACCAAGACAUGAACAGAAUACGGGGAAGUAGAUGAUGGAUGUAUUUGAGCAGUACGGCUUGCUUCUUAAUGAGAAGGAAGAAUCAGCAGUUCAUUUAAUUUAGACGUCCAUUUUCACAAGCAAUGUCACCAAUGCUGUAUGGAGAGAGUAUCUUGGAUCUAUAGCCACUUAAAAAUAAUCCUCCUAAGCAUAUAGUGGAACCAAGAGAAUACCACCGUACCACAUCAAAGUUCUUUUCUUCUAUAUACUUCAAGAAUCUUGCCUCAACAUGUUCAGCGGACACUAUUAUGGAGAAACACUUAGGUUAAAUUCUGAUCACAAUUUUGGUAACAUUCACAAAGAAACAUGUGUUUGAUCCCAAAGAGGCAAAACAUUGAGUGGUUCUGAGCUGAUAUUAACACUUGUAGGACAAGGCUAAUCAGACAAUUCAGGAAAAGCAUUUCAAGGAUUUGCAUACAUCAUUGCAAUGGAUGAAUUCCUAUUAACAUGGUGACAGAAAUCAAAUAGCUUAAGAUCCUGUCAAUUGAACAUUAUAUACGAGUCCCAGGAGUGAAAAUUUUAAAAAGAAAAUGAUGUAAACAACUAACUGACCUUCCUGUAUCACCAGAUCCCAGAGGUUUCACUGGCCUGAAGUGCUUCAAGCCUAUCUGUUCUCCACUAUCAAGAAUCUGGAAAUUACAGGCCAAUCAAAUCACCGUACGUCAAUAUGGUUAUAUAAGCAUCAAAGUGGCUUUGAAAUAGUUAAGAACCACAAUGGAAGUAGCAUAUAGUUGAACAAAGUCCUACAGCUGAAAUUGAACUGCAGAGUUACCAAUCUAUAGCCUUUUAAAUCAACUUUCACUAGUUGUCCAAUAUCAUAUGCACAUUUCAAAUCCUAUGCCCAGUCUUAUACCUGUUGAAUGGCUUUCCAAGAUGGGUUAUCUCUUCGGUGGGGUUUCGGAUGAACCACCUUCGAGUGGUUUGCCCACAAAUCUUCCGGUUUCUGCGCAUUCGCAAAUAAAUUGAUAACUUGAAUCCCAUCUUAGUACUUCAAAUCCACAAGCUGAUGUUACUUUCAACAAAGCUAAUAAUCUUACCAUGUUUGCAUCCGGAAGUUCUCUCACUGCUUCAUCGACAUCUCCUGCAGUUUCUUUCACCUGAAUAUAGAUAAUCAGACCAAAAUAAUUUUCUGUUUUUCAAAUUUGCCAAUGAUUACUAAUAUUAAAACCAAGCACGCACCGAUUAAUUUAGUUGCUCUAAAGGUCUUCUACUAAAUGAAUGUCUAUUUUCUCACAUGCUUAUAUGGUGAAGCUUAAAAGGGAAUUUAAGCACAAGAAGAGAGUUGAGAGUAGAAAGUACCAGUUUAGCACCCUCGCCUGCUCUCAACUCAGGAAUGCAAUUGCGAAGCGGCUCAACAUGUUCGCUCCCAUCCAGUUGGACCCCGAUGAAAUAUUGUACUUCUCCCUGUUCAUGAACGGAAAUUAAACGGUCAAUAUAUCCCAUACAAAGAUGCAGUGAGUUGUUGCAGGCAUGGUUCACUGGAGUUGGUCUGAAGCAUGCAUAUAAAAAUAAAAGCACCGCACCUUUUGGUCACGCAUAGGCUGUAGAUGAAACAGGUUCCAGAACUUUUUGCCUGAUUGGUUUCCACAGAAACAAUUAAUAUGGUUAGAAACCCGAUUUGGGAAUUGAGGAUUUUGCAUUGUUGUUUCAGCUUUCAAGUUUCAAGAAUGCAGAUUGAGUACCAGUCUUAGUAUAGUUAAUGAGCUGCACCGUGACUUCUGAUUGGGUAUCAAUUGCAUGUCUGAUUUUCCUCACGGUUGUUGGAUCAGUUUCGGGCCCUUGAAGAAAUCUACAACAUCCCACCACGCGAGAAUUUGUUCAAUUAGUACUUAUGGUUGAUUAUUAACCAUGACUACAUUCGGCAGCAAUUCCCAAAUCAUGUUUGGAAAUUGUAAGACAAGGUGGAAUGUUGAAUUUCUGCAUGGAUGCUGUACUGCUGAGAAGAAAAGGAGGUGAUCGACUACCACAGGCGGGAGCUCCUAUUUUUAUAAGUAUUUAAGUUGGAUAAUGAAAGUUCAGCUAAGAUUUAGAAAAUGUUACUAGUACAAUUCCUCUCAACAAUUAAAGUAGACGCAUGAUUGUAAUUCUUGAUCUGGUUUCCUACUGUAAUAACUUUUCCUAAGAUUUGUAGCAUCAUAACCAAUUCAUUCAUCUAAUUUUUUUUUUUUCACUUUCUUAUCCAGCAAAGGAACCCAAUUCCUAUACUUUUUAGAAAUGUUAUUGUCUAUUCUCCUAUAGUAUAUUAUUGUUUGUCACUGUUUAUAAUGUAAUGUAAAUAACCCAACCCCUUGGUUUCAGAACAGCAUAAUGACGUGUGGACUAUGGACUUUACACAGAACUUUUUUUUUUUUUUUGACUGUACGAUAUGUGUUGCUGCGGCUUUUUCACUAUAAUUUUUCCGUUUGAUGUAUCUUGUCAUGCAAGAAAAAAGAAGUUGGCUUUUGAACAAUUCUUAGUGAUAGUCUCAUAUAAUCUCUAUUAGAACUACACAAGCAUUCAGCGCUCGUGGCCUAAUGGAUAAGGCGUCUGACUUCUAAUCAGACGAUUGUGGGUUCGAGUCCCACCGAGCGUGUCAUGCUUGCGUGCUUAUUACAUAUACAUGGCUUUAUUGUUUGUUGUCCUUUUUGUCUCUCUGUCUUUUUUGUUCCCCUCCCCCUCCGACAAAGAAUUAUUCCCCACUUUUCUUCCUCAGUUUUUCUCCCACUUACGUGACUGAAAACUUGUUCAUUCUUCAGUGAAAAAUAUUAGGAAAACUUGAAAUAUACCUGCAAUUUCUCCCCAAGAUUUCUUCGCGACUAUACUCGGUCAGCUCCAAAAAGCUAUCCGACGCAAAAAUCUAGGCAACAAUUAACCAUCACAUCAACGAAUUUUAAGACGGUCGAGUGAUCCCGAAAAAAAAAAAAGUUCACAAGAAAAAUUAUGCUAAAAGAGUGAGAGUAUCUCUUACAAUGGGAUUAUCAGGCAGUCUUGGAUCGGUAAUGACAAAAUUCUUCUCGAUACGUUCAAGGGUAGUCGCUAAAUCGAUACCUUUUCUCAUUUCCUUCUUCCUAACUUUGUCAUCAAGGCUUUGAGGCCGCCCAUCCUCCGCAUCACUGUCAUCGUCAACUUCAUUGUCAUCCAUAGUCACUUUGGCCUCGAAUUCUUCAUCUGCAGUGCUCGAACGUCGACCCUUUUUCAUGAUCCUACAACACGUGAAAAAAUUAGAUAAAUAUUCCCCUUUCAUCACUAAACUUGAUUAGUUAGUAACUACUGGAGUACAUAUUAACGUAGUAAGAAAAGCCCAGAUUUCUUGGUGCCCCAAAAAAAAAAAAACUUAGUAACGUGUGAGUUCAGUUUACCCCAUGAGCGAAAGACGUCUAGAUUUUUUGGGCUUGGUCUCAGGAAGCUCGCUAAUGCGCUCCAUUGAUGAUGAAGUUCUGGUGCCUGCAUGAGAGUGUCGUCUAGGGGGAGCUUUGUUCUCUAAGUAGAGAUUUACAACGGCAUCAGGUGGCUGGCCAACUCCUCCUUCUGAUGAUUUUCUGACGAAGGGACGGUUAUUUGAUUCGCUAAGGGCUCUUGGACGAAGAGGUUUCUUCACUGCGUCCACUAAUUCGGUCACGUUACUGGAAGCCUGCUCCUUCUGACGGGCUGCAUAUAAUUCAAUCAGAACACCCCCCUCAAUCAAUUUUUCUGAUAUAUAUAUAUAUAUAUGUAUGCAUUACCUAAUGGAGGAACUAAGUAGCAUGUGAUGAAUAAGAAAUCUGAGGGGAAGUAGAGCUGAACAUUUCGAUUUUUGACUGACCAACUAGAAUGGCUGUGUUUUCUUUUCUUGGGAGUUCUAUGUGAUGACCUUGUUGUCGUUAUUAUCUAUCACAAACUUGCAGAGCGAAUUACUCACUUCUGAUUUAAUAACAUUAUAGUAGGUGUCAAUCAAUGUUAUAAGAGAAGUUUCAAAUGCAGAAACAUAACAAAUUUUUGGUUAUCCUUUACCGGAUGAACUACAUAUAUAGUUAAAAAUUUCCUUGUGUACUUUCUAUAAGAGAAGUAAGGUAAUAAGUAGUAAAUGUACUUUCUAUCCUUAAGGGUUCAUGGGUUUUUAUUUCCUUGUGUUAAUUAGUUUCCCUUCUCAGCAUUUUCUGACCUUUUCUUGAUUUUCUUAAGAAUAAAGUUGUUUUGUUUUUUUUUUUUUUGGGGGGUCGAGUUUCUUAAAGAAAAAUUUGUGGACCUAACAACUUAAUUAUGAAAAGAGAUGCUAGUCUUAUUAUAUCAGUCAAAAACUUAAGUUUACCGAAAAUUAAAAAAUAAUAAUAAAAUUAAAAGAGAGUUUACCGAAAAUAAAGAAUAAAAGGGAAUAUACCGUCAUAGCGGAUCAGUGAUUCAGGAAGCCCAUUGGGCCGGCACAUUUUUUCCUUGGUCCCCUCUGUAUGCUUGCUUACCUCCACUUGCAUUCUGUAAUUUUAAAAAAAAAAAGAAAAGAAAAGAUUCCUUAAAUAACUUAUCAUGUCCAAUUAUCUAAUUCAAUUAAGAUGUCAAACUUCCGAAAUUUUUUUUUUUAAAAAAAAAUACCAACACAAAAUCGAUGUACCUUCUGUAAAUUAAUAACCAGUAUAGUACUAUUUGUCAUAUAGUAAGAGUUGACUUGCCAACUCUUUUGCAUUAACAAGCCCAAACUGAUGAUCAAGAAAGGGAUUAGCAAAAAGGCCCACACGAUUUCAUUUGUGCAAUUAAUCGUUGAGGUCGAGAAUGGAAUCAUUUUUAUGAGCCCAAAUUGAUCCGAAAAGAGAUAAAUGCAUCUAUCAUUGAGUUACGAUGUACUAUGUUAUAUCAAAAAGUAAUCAAAAAAUGAAAAGAUUGAUUGAACAGUAUAUUUAUGAGGUAAUUAGAGAUUUUUUUUCUUUUAUGAAAUAAUAGCCAAUCCUUAAAAGAAACUCAUAUGAUGUCACCGCACACUUGUUAGUUGCUCAAAUGGGACCACGAAAAUGGACCAUAUUUCGGAUGAUAUAUCUUGAUCAUGCUCUUGAUUGCUCCCAAAAAAAAAAAUAAUAAUAAUAAUAUAUAACUUCUUAGUGUUGAGACCACACUUUUCCCAGCCUAUGGAGGUCAAGUUUGAAAGAAGAAUGAAGUCGAGGUCCUCAAAAGUCAACAAAAUAGCCUAGACCCUAGAAAAGGCGCUAAGUGGGGAUAAUUUCUAUAUGCCCCCAAACUCUCUCUCAGUUGCAAAUUAAUCCCCAAACAAUUGAUAGUAGUGGCAUGCUAUUGCCUUCUGUGGUAAACUUUUCGCAAAAAUGCUCUGCUUUUGGAUAUAAGGAUGUCAAGAACAAAUUUGUUUUGAUGGCAAAUUUUCCCCAAGUCCACUUUUCAAACCAUAAAUACUACAGUGUAUAUAUAACCUCGACAAAAGAUUGUGUUUUUCUUCUUCUUUUAAAACUCACCCAAUGAAUUUGAGAACUUUUCCACUUUCAUCUUUGAUGGGUGCAAUAGUGAGCAGAUUCCAAAAGGGAGUCCCAUCCUUCUUAUAGUUUAGCAAUCUACCACAGUAACCAUUUCCCGCCUGUAGAGCCUCCCUGAUCUUCGCCACAUCUUCUGGAUCCGUAUCCGAACCCUGUAGAAACCGACUGCAGCCCGCCCGAGCACAAACAAAAUGUCAUAAAUCCUCUCAAAAACUAUUAUAAUAGUUAUCAGAAAAGACCAAAAAUAAAUAAAUGGGAGGAGGAUAUGGGAAUUCGAACCAGUUUCUGCCUAUGACUUCCUUCGAUGUAUAGCCGGUCAUCUUGAAGAAUCCAGCACUUGCAUACAGAAUCGGGUAAUCGGGUUUGGUAGCAUCCGAUACAACAAAUGUUUGCUGAAAAGUUGACAAGGCAUCCUUCAAAUCCUCCGAUACUCUUGGAAACCCCCUGUCCUUGCCUGCAGAGUUCAAUGAACAUCAAUUUAUUUUUGAAGCAUUGAUUCUGCCCCUUUUCUUUUAAUUAACCCAUGAUAGAUGCAUUGAAUAAUUUUUUUUUAUAGUACUUUACCAAGUGCCAUUAUCUUACUUGUCAAUUAAACUACUAACCUUCGAAACUUUAUUCUACAAAAAUAGAUGGACAACUAAUCCAUAAAAUUUGAAGCUAUUGAUUUACAUUCACGUAUAAAAUAAAAAUCAUUUUUUCUAUGUUCAACCGUUAGGGCGAAAAUUUUUUUCUUAAAAAAAAAAAAAAAGGCUUUGAACCAAAACUUUUCACUGCUCGGAAUUACCUGUUCCAUCAUCUGAUAAAUCACCAGAACUUCGAAAAGAAUUACCAGAAUCCCUUCUUGUUGACCCUGUUUUACUAUUCUGUUCCUCCCCGGAAGU
Molecule: long non-coding RNA, 99437 nt
Filed under: Coffea arabica (coffee)
Lineage: Eukaryota; Viridiplantae; Streptophyta; Magnoliopsida; Gentianales; Rubiaceae
Description: long non-coding RNA (CARA_LNC000748)
Rfam family: tRNA (bases 95627-95699)
Source: RNAcentral